Molecule: long non-coding RNA, 155900 nt
Filed under: Durio zibethinus
Lineage: Eukaryota; Viridiplantae; Streptophyta; Magnoliopsida; Malvales; Malvaceae
Description: long non-coding RNA (DZIB_LNC000764)
Source: RNAcentral
UUUCCGCCUAAAAAAUUUCUUCAAAUCCCUAAGUGGUUUCAUUCUUUCGUUAUUCUCUCAAAACCCCAAUCCCAAAUCCUUUCAUCUUCUUUCAAGAAAAUUUGAUUACUUUUGUUUUGUUAUUUGAACAUUUAAUCUGAAUAAUUGGUUCAGUUUGUAGAAGAGCUUGGAUACUCGAUUUUUAUUAAAAGCAUAUUUGAUUUAUCGCCUUUUGGCGAGAAAUGAUAAGGGUUUUGACGAUAACAAGAUUGGAGGAGAGCAACUGGACGAUGGCAAAGUCUUUUGGGUCAUUUGGACUAGGGGGAUUACUACUGCUGGCGGCGUUGGCUGCGUCUAUGAUGGUUCUUCCACUGGUGUUGCCGCCGCUACCGCCUCCGCCAUUGAUGCUUCUGUUGUUUCCAGUUGGGAUCAUGGCUGCUCUCAUGUUCUUGGCGUUUUUCCCCUCGGAGGCUGCUGGAAAUGUCGUUGUUCAUACAGUAUAAGAACACAUGUUAAACGUGUCUUUCAUAGGAAGAUGGUCGGCCAUUGGGUCGGCGGCUCUGCUGAGGUCGUAGGUGUUGUUGAUUUCUUAUGACUAUAUAUUUGUACAACAUUUACAUUACUUUAUUGUUAGUUAUUUCUUAAAAAUGAAUUAUACAUUAAAUUUUGAGAAAAAAAAAAAGAAAUUUGAAAGUAUAAACAUCAUAGAAAAAAUUUGUGAAUAAUUCCCUUUUCUUCUUUGUUUUCUACAUUUAUGGUGUUAUUAAUACAAAAAUAAUGCAUUUUAUGGUUUAAUGAUAUUAUCAAUGUGUUUAUCAAAAUAAUUAUUUAGUAGAAUAUUUUAUUUUUUGUUCUUAAGAUUUGAUCUUCGUAAAAAGAAAUUAAAAAUAAAAUCUUAAAUACAUGAUAUCAAUGUUAUUAAAUUUGAUAAUUUUAAAUACGUUAAAAAAAUUAAAUAUAAAAAAAUAAAAAUAAUAUAAUUUAAAAUUUUAAUAAAAAUUAUAUAUGUAUUUGAUAAAAAUAAAAAAUAUAUUUUAUAUUUGACGUAUUAAUAUGAAUUUAAUAUAAUUAUUUUUAUUUUUUAUAUGUGUUUAAUAUAAAAUAAAUAUUAUAUAAAUAUAAAUAUAAAUAUAGAUAUAACAAAUAUAUCUUUAAAAUGAUUAAGGCGAAAAAAAUAGAAACAAUCUAACAAAGGAGCUGAAGAGCAGCUAUAAAUUUAAAUGACAUAAAUUUAUUUAAUUUGGAAAUAUCAUAUUUUUCUACAUAAUUCAACUUUAAAAAAAUUAAAUUAUAAUUAAAUUGAUUCAUAUAAUCACUUUUAAUAAAUGACAUCAUACUGUGACAUUUUCUUUAUUAGGCGUGUAAAUUAUAUAUUAGUAUUUGUAAAUUACUCAGGUUUGAUUCGAAUAAAAUUCGAAUUUGGCUCAAUUAUUAUCGAGUUGAGCUCGAGCUUGAGUAACUUGAUUUAUUAAUCGAGCCAAGUUUGAAUAUUUUUAUACUGACUCGAGUAGCUCGCGAGUCUAAUCAAGUUUUUAUAUUUUAAUUAUUUUAAUUGAUAAAAUAUCUCAAACUUGAGUUCGUGCUUGAGUACAAAAAAUUAAUCUUUUGUCAAAUAUAAAAGUUAAACUUAUUUUUACAUUUUAAUCGAAUCUAAUCAAACGAAUUCGAGUAAUUUGAUUUCUAUCUUUAAUCAAGUUCGAGUGAAAAAAAAAACUCGAUCGAAUUCAAACCGAGUUUCGAGCAUCUAAUUUAAAUUCAAGCUCGAACUUAAUAUUGUAUCGACUCGAACUCGAUCGAUUACACUCUUAAUUUUCAUGCUGUGAUCUUUUUUGUAAGAAAAGAAAUUGAAAUAUUUUGUUAGUUUCAUUGAGGAUUGUCACAUUAGAAAUUUGUAUGUCCAUGAUCAUAUUAAUCAGUUAAUUUUCUUAAUUAUAGUUGAAUUAACAUGUGAUAACCUUCGCUUGUAGAUUAAAAAAAAAAAAAACAUUCAUUUUCAAGACACACGAUAAUAUCUUAAUAUUUUAAUCUUUCAUAAUACCACGGCCGAUUGCACUUGUUUUUUCCAGCAUCUUUAAGUCGUUUUAAGAUCCAAUAAAAUGAAAACUACAGUCUGGAAUAUUCCCUACCAACAACUCGUGCUCUGAAUUUAAUCUAUUUCUGCAAAGUUGUGCUGAAUGCUGAUGCAAUCUCUGCUAAAAAUCUUGAAAUUGUAUUCUUAUUCUUGUAUUAUUUCCAGCAAAAAGAAGAUUAAAUCAAAGAUGCAUCUUAAAUUGAAAAUUCCAAGUGCAGGAAACUGCAUUGUAACUCUGAUUGGGUAGCAAAAAAACAGUUUAAACUAUGACACAUUGUCAAAAUGUUUGAACCAGUUGGAACUACUUCAAAGACUCCAAAGUCUUUGGAUUCAUACCACAUAUCCGAGUUAACAACAAAACAAACGUCAUCCAGCCAUGAUUUCCAAGAACCAAAACCUACUAUUAAUACUAAUAUAAUAUCAGUUGUGCUAGCGAUUAGUAACGUUACUAUUUAAAGUAAUAUUAUUGUAUUAAAUGCACUGAAAAAAUAUAUUGCUUGAAAUAAUAACCUUAAAGAGUGCCCUUAGAACACUUCGGUUGAAAAAGUAACGAACUUUUCAAUGCAUUUCCCUCCUUAUACUAGUUUAGAAUCUUUUGACAAAGAAAAGAUCCUUGCCAUUCCAUCUAUUCAGUAAAAAAAAUUGUUUUACCUCCAACCAAAUUUUGGUCCAAAUUAAACAACUUGGAACCACAAUGUGCACAAAUUGGUUCCAAGAAGAUAUGCAUUAACGGUUGGAAGAAAAAUCCGGCUGGUCCUAUUUGUUCACAAUAACCAACUACUUGAGUUAUACUUGAGAUUAUAUAGGUAUAGAGAUUAUACUUGAGUUAAUCUCCAAACUGGAUCAAACAAAUCAGGCUGGUCCUACUUGUUCACAAUAACCAACUGCUCCAAACUUUUUCAACAUUGGUUAAUGAGUAUAAAUUUCAGUGAAUAAUGCGAUACAAAAUAUAGUUUGACGACAAAACUUUUUAUAACUAAGCAACCAAAUAUAAAAAUUAAAGCCUGGUUUAACGCAAUCAAAUGUCUGAAUUUAAUUUGAGAAGGGAUGGAUGAAAGUGUUAAUUAAGCUCUUCAUGGUUAUUUAAGUGGGUUCUAGGACAUAUCAUAGUUAAGGGCCAUCUUUUUGUCACUUUCCAGAAAGAGGCAUCUCAAAAUAUUUAGAAUAUAUAGAAGCUAUCUUUCAUAAUUGUGAUGAAAUGAGAACUGUCAGCAAGCAUCUAACUUGUGCAUUAAAUGCAAAACUGCAGCAUUUUCCAAUGCCAUUUUUAGGACCUACUUUCCCAAAAAAUUAAGUUGAUACCAUGUUAAGGAAUGAUAGAUUCAGAAAAUGUUUGUGGAAAACUCACAAUAACAUCAUUUCUUUAGCAGAAAAUUCUGUAGUACAAAAUGUCAGAAAGUUUAUUGUACCAACGGAAAAAUGUCAGCAGCUCUCUACUCCUUUAAUUCUUCUACAGAGGCUACUCUCCUGGAGAAAAUGGGUGCUCCAUACCAACCUGGAUCUCCGGAAGAGAAAUGGAAGUCCCACAACGUACUCAUCUUAUUUUAUGAAACUACUUCAAUAACAUAUAGUGCACCUGCAUAUCUAAACGUCUUUGGUCAUGGAGUUGCUUCCCCUGCGCAUUAUUUUCCUCUUUGGUUUUCAGCUAUAGUCUAGUGCAUUGGCUUGUUUUUAUAGCUCUUAAGAUCCAUCAAAAAGAAAACUACUACACAAUCUGAAAUAUUCCUUAUUGACAACUUGUACUCGGCAUUUAAUCUAUUUCUGCAAGUUCUUCCGCCAGACCAGAUCAUGGCUGAUACAAUCUCAGCUGAAAUAUUGAAAUCAUGGUUUUGUCUUCUACUAUGAAGUAGGAUUUCAACUCUUGAUGACCCUACAUCCAAAGCCAGAUCCUACAAUGAUCUUGCUUUUAAUAAUGCAGCAUGGCAAUUAGGUUAUUUUGGGAUUUUUUAUUGCAAAAAUUGUAAAAUCAGGAUCAAGAAGUUCAAUCUUUAUAAUUAUAAGCACUAGUAUGAUUGCAGUUGGGUUAUUAUGGUAAAUUUUUAUCGCAAAAUUAUAAAAUCAGGAUAAAGAAUUUCAGUCGUUUUAACUGUAAACAUUAGUACAAUUGACGAUAAGCUAAAAUACACACCAGAGCAGUACAUUAUUCCCCAGAUAAGGAAAAAUACUAUUCUUAUUCACACAUUCUAUCUGUUUGAAAUAAAUGUAAACGUCACAUAAGUUCUAGGAUAGAAAAUUCUUUUAGAAUGAUUUUAGAGGCCUAUGAUUUAAUUGUACAUUCAUGAUGGUUGAGGUCUACUGUCUGAUAUUUUACACCAAUAUUCUAUAUUUUAUAAUAAGCUAUAAAAGGGUGUUGUAAAAUUAUAACUUUGUGAGUAUUAUUAUUUUUUGUAACAUAAUCUUUUGUUAUUUAGUAUUAUAUUUUUAUAAGUAUAUUUCCCUUAAUUAUUCAAGUUAGAAUUAUCAGAUUAAUCUUAAUUAUGGUUAUUUGAUUUUUUUCUUCUUCUUUUUUCGGCUUUGAUUUAGUGUUCUUGAAUAUUUUACUAUUAAAAUUAAUUUAUAGUUAUUUUUUCCCCAAUUUUAUAGUUGUAAGGUUUUCAUAUUAAAACAAAAAGUUAUGAUGUUAAAAAAAAGAAUGUGAAUGAUGGUAAGUUUAUUUUAUCAAAAUUUUAAUUUUUUUAUAGACCUCUUUGAAUGAUUUGAUUUGAUCUAUUUAUAUAUUUUUUGAUUUUCUGAUUUAUUAUUAAUAUUUGGCACUUAUGUGUUUCUAUCUCGAUGAAUUCAUUAUUUAAUUUCCCAAUAAAAAAUAAUUAAAAGUCUACUUUUUUCACAUUUUUUGUUUGAUUAUUAAAUAUUUCAUUUGUAAUAAGUAGGGAGAGAAACUAUUCUUCACUUAUUUUUAUUUACAGCUUUAUUCUUUUUUUUUUCUUUUGUAUGUAAUAUAACACAAAAUUUAACCGAUUUGAUAUUAUUUGAAUUUACAUUAAGUUUUCAACUUUAAAUUUAUACAUAUAUAACAAAUCUUUGAUUCUUUCUUUUUUACACAUAUAUAGUAAAUCUUUUGUUCUUUUUUUCUCAAACAUAUAUAAUACAUUUUUGAUUCAGCAGAUACUUCAUUAUAAAAUUAUUUUUUGCCCAAAAUAUAUCUUACAAUGUCCUAAAUUAUUAAAAUUUUGAGUUUUAAUAGCAAUAAAAUUUUUUAUUGAUAUCAUUUUAUGACUAAAAUAUGCAUAUUCAAAAUAAUAAAAAGGUAAAUAAUUAUUAAAAGGAAUCAUGCAUUUCCUUUAAUUGAUUAAAAAAGUAGGUGAAAUCACAUUGAAAUCUUAAAUUAAGGCAUACUUAAUCACACUUAUGGAAAAAUGUUUAAUUUGAUUUUUCUCAUUUAACUUUUUAAUUACAGGUAGUAUCCAUAUGAUAAUGAGUUACUCUUAAAUAUCAUUUGGAUAUAUGCAUGUGUAAAUUUUAUUAAGUGUUUAAUUAAGUAUUAAACAAUAUUAUUCAUUGAAUGUUUGAAUAUUUUACAAAAUAUUAUUCUUUUAGAUAUCAUUUGAAUAUAUGCAUAUAUUAUUUUUAUAUCUUUGUUAAAAAUAAUAUUUUUAUGCAUAAUUAUAUAUAUAAAAAAAUAACCCGUGCAUAGCACAGGCUACAAAUUAGUAAUAUUUAAAAUUUAAAAUUUUUUAUUAUGAUAUUUGAAUUAUAAAUUUAUUAAUUAAUGUAAUACUUAUUCCUAAUAUGAUUAAUUUUAAAUAAUGAUACGUGAUUAUAAAUAAUCCUUCAUGUAACAUAUUAAUUAAUAAAUUGAUAGUUCAGGUAUUAAAUUAGAUAUUUUUAAAAUUCAAAUACUACAUUAAAUAUUUUACUAUAGUUUAAGGAUCAUUCAUAAUAUUAUCACAAACUAGUAUAUAUACCAACUUAAUUGUUAUUUUAUCGAGUUAAGACUAGAUGCUUAAAAGAUUUAUUCAAAUUUGAACUCGAUUCAAAUUUAUUUUUUUUUUCAAUAGGAUGUCAUAGUUUGAGAAUAGAAAAAUGGAUUGCAAAUGUUAGGAUUCAAAUUUUAAACCUACUAAAUGAUAUCUCUUACAGGUGGAUGUAUAAACUAAUUGAACUAAGUUACAGAUUCAACUCAAUCCAACUUCAUUUAUCAAGAAAAAUCAUCGAUUUGAAAAAUCAACAAUUUGAACUUGACCAAACUCUAUUUGUACAAUAACAACAAUAAAUUAAGUCUUAUAUCCUAUAAUUCUAUGGUCGAUUGUAUGAAAGGAAAAAAAAAAUGAAUCAUGUUAGGUUGUAGUUUUAAAUUUUCUUGCAACACUUUUAUCUAUAUAAAAAAAAUAAUAUUUUCAUCUACUUUCUUAACCUUCAUAUCAUUUCUUAUUACUUCAACGUUUUUUGUGAUUUACCUUUAAAAGUUUUGGUUUUUCUCAAAUUCAAAAACUCAUUUCUCCUACUAGUGCACAAAUAAGUCUAUAUUUUAUCUAUCCAAACCAUUUCAAAUGGCUCUUUCUCAUUUUUUUUUCCUUCAACUCAAACUACCUUUAAUUUAUUUUGAAUUUCUUAUAAAAACUUUCUAAACAUUAUGAAAAUUAUAAAUCAAUUUUCAAAAAAUUUUAGUUAAAAAAAUUUUGAUUAAAAUAUAAAAAAGUCUCUUAACUAUUUCACUUUUCUUAAAAAAAGCCAAUAUAUUUUUAUUAUACCAAAAUAAGCCUUUAUUUUUUUUUUUAUUUGUAUCCAAAUAAACCUUUAUUUCAAAUAAUAAAUUUAUUUAUCUUAAGGAUUUAUUUAGGUACAAAUUAAAAAUUAGAGACUUAUUUGAAUAUAAAUAAAAGGUUAAAUACUUAUUUAAGUACAAAUUAAAGUCUAAGGAUUAAUUUGAAUUUAACAAAAUUAUAAGGAUUUAUCUAAAUAAAAUGAUAAAAUAAAAAAAAUUAUUAUUUUAACCAAAAUUUUCUAAAAACAUGUGAAAAGAAUGCCCCACGCAUCCCCACUUGCGCAACAGAAAAAAAAUUAUCAAAUAAACUUUUUUAAUUUUUAUUUUAGUCAUUAAAACUUUAAAUCUUUAGCCAAACAUUAAAAAAUUCAAAUGAUAUAUGCAUGGAAAAUGUAUGAGACAUAUUCUAACCAUAUAAAUUUCAUACAUGAAAUUUGAAACAUGUGAGAAAAAUAUAUAGUCAAAGUUUUGAUUUUUCUAGUUUGAUUAUGAUUUUUCUCUUAAAUCAUAAGUGCUUUUAGUACCAAAUUUUUAUCAAAAAUUCAAAUCAUCUUAGAGCACAUAUUUAUGUAAAAAUUUUAGUCUAAAGCAUUUGUUUAAAUUUUUAUUAUUAAAAAUCAUUCUAAGUUAUUGAAAAUAUUCUAGUAUACCAAACAACUAUGGAAGCAAAUCUAAAAGUGAAAACAAGCAUAACAAUGUUUUGAUUCCACUAUAGGAACUUAUUGAAAAAUAUAUUUAAGAAUAUUUGUAAAUUUAAGAUUAUUUACUCCAAUGCUAAUAUGAAUUCCCAAUAUCAAUUUACUUAUAUUUGCUUCAUGAAUCUUAAAAGAUUUAUUUUUUAUAUUAUUUUUUAAACAACUUCUUGGAUCUUGUUAGUCAAUGAAACAAUUUUUAGAGCUUAUCACAAAUUUUAUACUAAGUUUUAGGGUUUGAAGUAGAUAACCAAGAUUAGGCAAGAGAGAGUUCAGGAGCAAGAUCUUUUUACUAAAUGAAUUAAAAUUAUUACUCCUUCCAUCCCAAAUUAUUUGGACAAUAUUAACUUUCAUGAAAUUUUAAAAAAAAAUUUUGAUUUUAAUGUAUUUAAUAUUAAAAUUAAAAUUUUUUUAUAAAAUUAAAGUUCCAAGACUUUUAAUAUCAAAAAUUAAAAAUAAUUUUAAAUUAUAAUUUUAAAAUAUAAAUUUUUUUUAGAUGUUAAAAAAUAUAUAAUGUUUGGAUAUCCAAAAAAAAAGAAAUAAUUUUAAAUUAUAAUUUUAAAAUAUAAAAAAAGUUUUAGAUGUUAAAAAAUAUAUAAUUUUGGGAUAUCCAAAAACAAUUAAAAUAUAAAUAUGUCUGUCCAUUAAUAUAGCACUUAUUUCGAUUGUUGGGAAUAGAUUUUUAAUAACAUUUAUGCAAAAUUAUAUUAAGAAAAAAAAUCUAAAUUAAUCCAUACUAUAUAUAUUAGAUAAUGUCUACUAAUAAAUUUGAAUCCAUUUGACCCACCCAUAUGCGGAAUCAUCAUCGAAUCUUGGACUCUUCCAAGUUCCAACUUCAGUAAAAUAAAAAAAAUAAAAAAGUCUACGUUCCAAUGUUUGAUACAAAGACGUCGAAAGUUGGACCUAAAAUGACCAACACAAUCAAUUCUGUGAUGGUGGGCAGUUUCAUGGUUGGGAAUCCUCUUUCGGCUUCUAUACCAUAUCAAUUAAAUCAAAUCAACCAAAACAAAUCUAGGAAAAAAGAGAAGGGAGAGUUGAUUGAACAGAAGUCAAUUCGUGGUUUGAUUAAGCUGAAACUUUAUUAGCAGAUUUAUAAUUCAAAAUUUUACAUUCUGAAUGAGGAAGAUCGGGUUUGCAACUCUCUAAGAACAAAUCUAGAAUGUAUUUGUUGAGUCACCUAUUUGGUGAGUUUCUCUAAUAGUCUCUCUUGUUGUUGAUUAGCUCUAGUUUUAGCUAAAGAAGAACUUUGUAUAUCCAUUAUUUGAUAGUGGAGAUUUUUCUAAUGACCCGUGAUUUUUUUCUCUACACUAGAGGAUUUUUCAUGUAAUUCUUGUUGUGCUUUAUUUUUUUAGCGUUGUUGAUUGUUAAUUGUUGUAUAUUACUAUGGGUUUAUUAUGAUAUAUUGCUUCUGCGUUAUUGUGUUUAUUGCUUCAGACCAAACAAGCGAUAUCAAAGCGAGAUUAUUUUGAGACAUCAAUAUAGAAGUAGUCCAAGAUAGAAGUAAAUUAUGUUUGAGAUCAUGGAAUGUCAUACAAGUUCUAUGAUAAAAUUGACAGUAUUUUUUUCUCUACACUAGAGGGUUUUUCAUGUAAAUCUUGUUGUGCUUUAUUUUUUCUGUAUUGUUGAUUAUUAAUUGUUGUCUAUUACUAUGGGUUUAUUACGAUAUAUUGCUUUUACGUUGUUGUGUUUAUUGCUUUAGACCCUACAAGUGGUAUCAGUGCGAGAUUAUUUUUAGACAUCAAUACAGAAGCAGCCUAAGAUAGAAGUAAAUUAUGUUUGAGAUCAUGGAAUGUGAUACAGGUUCUAUGAUAAAAUUGACAGCAUCAAAUUAUUCAAUUUGAAAGCCUAUGAUGGAGGAUUAUCUAUACUAUAAAGAUUUGUAUAAGCCAGUAUUGGGUGAUUUAGCUAAACCAACAGAUAUGAAAGAUGAAAGCUAGAAGAAGUUAGGUAGAAAAACGUUGGCUAUAAUCAGAAAAUGAGUUGAUAUUAGUGUAUUCUAUCAUGUAGUGCAGGAGACAGAUGCCCAUACUGUUUGAAAAAAAUUGAUAGCAUUGUAUGAGAGAAAAAGAGGUAUGAAUAAAGUUAUGCUUGUUAAAAAGCUUGCAAUUUUACAAUACAAGGAUGGACGAUCGAUUAUAGAGUACUUGAGUGAUUUUCAAGACAUAUUUAAUCAGAUGACUACUAUGGAGCUUAAGAUGAAUGAUGAAAUGAAGGUAUUGUUUCUUUUGGGUUCAUUAUCAGACAACUGAAAUACUCUAGUUGUGACUGUUCUUAAUUCAGCUCCUGAUUACAAGGUGACAUUGGAGAUGAUAAAUGAUAGUAUGCUUAAUGAAAAAGUAAGAUGAAAAGAUGUAGACCCUGAGAAUCAAGCUCUGGUCACAAAGAACAGGGGUAGAAACAUCGAUAGAGGUCAAAAUUCAAAAGGUCGUAGUAAGUCUGUACAUAGAUCUAAGUCCGGAGAUAAAAUGAAGUGUUUCCAUUAUGGUAAAAUAGGUUAUAUAAAAUGACACUGUAAAAUCUUAAAGCAAGAGUGAAAAGAUGAGAAAAGUAAGAGUUCAGAUGAUGGCAAUGUUGCAGUAGUGAAUUCAACUAGUAAUUUAAUUACUUUGAUUUGUACACAAUGAUUCUAAUCAUGUUGGUGAUCUUGGCAUUGAGUGGAUAGUUGACACAGAAACAUCAUAUCAUUGUGUUUCUAAGAGAAAGUUGUUUAUAACUUACAAAGUUAAAGACUUUAGUUGCACCGAGAUAGAAAACAAGAGUGUGUCGUAAAUUAUUGGGAUUAGUGAUAUUGUUGUACAAACUAGUACAUGCUGCAUGUUAACUUUGAAGGAUGUCAGACACAUUCCAAAUACGAGAAUGAACUUGCUUACUAUUAAUGUCUUUGAUAAGGAAGAAUAUGAGAGUUGACAAAAAAAUGGCAGUGAAAGCUUUUCAAAGGAUAUAUGAUAGUUGCAAGGGGAAAAUUAUGCUACACAAUAUAUAAGAAAUAGAUGUAAUUGAAUGAUAAUCAGGUAAAUGCCAUUAAGGAUGAUGCUUUAGCAAACUUGUGGCACAAGAGACUGGCACACAUGAACGAGAAAGGGUUACAAAUUUUGGCAAGACAGUCUAUCAUUCUUUUGAUCAAAGGUAUGUCUCUUGAUUUAUGUGAUCAUUGUUUGUUUGGUAAGCAUCAUAGAGUUUCUUUUUGUAAGAGUUCUCAGAGAAAAGAAAAUAUAUAAGAAUUGAUUUAUAUUGACGUAUGUGAUCCCAUUGAGGUUGAGUCAUUAGGUGGCAGCAGGUAUUUUAUUACUUUUAUUGAUGAUGUUUCAUGUAAGACUUGGGUGUAUAUGUUAAAAUAUAAAAGUAAAGUAUUACAGUAUUUUUAAAAAUUUCAUGCCAUGGUAAAAAGGAUGACAGGAUUACCCUUGAAGUGUAUUCAGACUGAUAAUGGUAGGGAAUACACAUCUAAAGACUUUGAAGAGUAUUGUUCAAAGCAUGGAAUUAGGCAUGAGAUGAUAGAACUUGAAAUAUUGUAGCAUAAUGGUGUAGCUAAAAGGAUGAAUUGCAUCAUUAUGGAAAAAGUCAAAUGUAUGUUAAGGAUGACAAAAUUACCAAAACCAUUCUAGGGUGAAGCAAUCAACACAGCUUGUUAUUUGUUUAACAUAUCACUAUUAGUUCAUUUAACCUUUGACAUUCUAGAAAGAGUGCAGACAGGGAAAGAUGCUUCGUACUCUCACUUAAAAGUUUUUAGGUAUAAAGUAUUCAUGCAUGUGCCAAAAUAGUAGAGGUCAAAGCUUGACAGUAAAGCCACACAAUGUGUAUUUGUGGGAUAUGGUGAUGAAAAAUUUGGCUAUAGGGUAUGGGAUCCAAUGAAGAGAAAGACAGUUAGAAGUACAGAUGUAGUCUUUCAUGAAAAAAAACUAUAGCAAACCUUGAGAAAAAUGAGAAGACUACACAGGUUACUGUUGAGUGUGAUGUUUUAAUACUGAUAGGGGUUCCACAGAAAAAAGCCACAGAUAGUGAAAAUGAGUAAAAAAUAAAACUUGAGGAUAUGAAUGAGCCAACUAUAAUUAAUAAUGAGCCAGAUGCAAUUAGUUUUGAGCAAAAGGAGCAAUCAUCUCUACCUAAGAGUAUUGAGUAAAGAGAGCUACCUUUGACAUCAAGUGAUGCAGAGUCUUAACCUAGAAGAUCUACUAGAGAACACAGGCUAUCUACUAGGUAUCCAAGUUUAAAUUUUAUUUUAGUUACUAGUGAGGGGGAGCUAGAGAGCUUUCAAGAUGUGUAGGUUAUUCUGGAUAAAGAGCACUAGUUAAAAGCAAUGAAAAAAAAGAUGAAGUCAUUGCAAAAAAAAUGAUACAUAUGAUCUUGUUAAACUUUCGAAAAGAAAGAGACCGUUGAAGAAUAAAUGGGUGUUCAAGUUGAAAAAGAAUGGUGACAAGCUAGUGAGGUACAAAGCUUGAUUGGUGGUGAAAGAUUUUUCUUAGAAACCAUGCAUUGAUUUUGAUGAGAUUUUCACUCCAGUUGUGAAGAUGAGUUCCAUUCAAGUGGUACUGGGAUUAGCAACUAGUUUGAAUCUUGAGCUUGAGUAACUUGAUGUUAAAACUACAUUUUUGCAUGGUGACUUAUAGGAAGACAUGUAUAUAAAUCAACCUGAGGGUUUUGAAGUGAAAGGAAAAUAGCACUUACUUUGUAAAUUAAAAAAAAAACUUGUAUGGCUUGAAACAAGCACCACGACAAUAGUACUAGAAAUUUGAUUCUUUUAUGAUGAGUCACAGCUAUAAAAGAAUGGUAACGGAUCCUUGUGUGUAUGUCAAAAAAAUUUUUGAUGGUAACUUCAUUAUUCUCUUAUUAUAUAUUGAUAAUAUAUUGAUUGUGGGACAAGAUGCUGGAAUGGUUUGUAGGUUGAAAGAACAAUUGUCUAAGUCCUUUGACAUGAAGGAUUUAGGUCCAGCAAAGAAAAUUCUCGGUAUAGACAUUAUCUGGGAUAGGAAAGCUGAAAGGCUGUGAUUGUCACAGGAAAAGUAUGUUGAAUGAGUGCUUAGUAGAUUCAACAUGCAAUAUACUAAAUCAGUUAGCAGUCCACUUGUCAACCGUUUUUAUCUAAGUAAGAAAUCUUGUCUGGUGUCUAAGAAAGAGCAACAAGCUAUGUCUAGUAUUCCUUAUUCUUUUGCAGUCGAUCCUUUAAUAUAUUUUAUGGUUUAUACAUGGCCUGACAUUGCUCAUGCAGUUGGUAUAGUGAGCAAAUUUCUUUCUAAUAUGAGAAAAGCUUAUUUGGAAGUAGUGAAAUGAAUUUUCAGAUAUUUGAGGGACACCUAAAAAAUGUGCUUGAAUUAUGGAGUUUCACAAUCAGUUCUAAAACUGAUACUAACAUGACAAAUGAUCUUGAUGGUAGGAAAUUUACUUCAGGGUAUUGUUCACUUUUGCAGAAAGAGCUGUGUCUUAACAGUUUAAGUUAAAAAAAUGUGUUGCUUUGUCAACUACAAAGGCUGAAUGUAUUGUAGCAACCAAAGCAGUUAAAGAAAUGCUUUGGAUGGAAUGUUUUCUUCUUGAAUUGGGGUUGAAUCAAAAAGAGUAUAUGGUGUUUUAUGAUAGCCAGAAUACGUUAGAUUUGAGUAAAAAUACCACGUACCAUGUUAGAACAAAGCACAUUGAUAUUAGAUAUAAUUGGUUACAUUCAGUGAUUUAGGAACAACAGAUGUUGUUGAAGAAAGUCCAUACAAAUGAUAAUGUAGCAAAUAUGUUGACUAAGAAACUUUUCAAGAAAAAGCUUGAGCUCUGUAGUAACUUGGCUGGAAUGAGUUCCAUGGCCAAGAUAAGUUUCAAAUGAAACUGCUAUGGUGAUAAAUCUCCUCCUAAUAGGGUUAAAGAGGGAGAUUAUUAGGAAAAUAAGGUCUAGCCCCAUGUAAUUGGUUUUGGACCAAUCAAAGGCCAUGGGCCUUGAUUUUUCUUUUUACACAAAGCCCUAGCUACUUAAUAAAAAGAGGUGGGGUUGUUUUAAUAUUGAGUCACAAAACCAAAAAAGAAAAGAAGAAAAGUCAGGAAAAGUAGAAAGAAAAAAGAGAAGGGAGAGUUAGUUGAACAAAAGUCGAUCCAUGGUUUGAUUAAGCUAAAACUUUUUCAGCAGGUUUAUGAUUCAGAGUUCUACAUUCUGAAUGGGAAAGAUCGGGUUUGAAGCUCUCUAAGAACAAAUGCAGAGCGUAUUUGUUGAGUUACCUAUUUGGUGAGAUUUCUUCAAUUGUCUCUCUAGUUAUUAAUUAGCUCUAAUUUUAGUUAGAGAAAAACUUUGUAUAUCCAUGAUUUGAUAGUUGAGAUUUUUCUGGUGGUCCAUGAUUUUUCCCUCUAAACUAGAGGAUUUUCCAUGUAAAUCUUGGUGUGUUUUAUUUUUCCUGCAUUUUGAUUGUUGAUUAUUGUCUAUUACUAUGGGUUUAUUGCGAUAUAUUGCUUCUGUGUUAUUGUGUUUAUUGCUUCAAGCCUAACAGUUGUAUACUAACUUAAUUGUUAUUUUAUUGAGUUAGAGUAAAGCUAGUACUGUAACUUACAUGGAUCCAAAUAAUUUUUUCGAAUUCAAACUCAAUAUAAUUUUAUUUUAUUGUGAAAAAUUAAUUUAGAUAUAAAUGAUGAUAAGUGAUAGAUAAAUAAUCUUUUAAAUAUCAUAGUAAUUAAUAUAUUUAUAAUUCAAGUAUCAUGUUAAAAAUUUUUUAAAUUUAAAUAUCUUAUUAAAUUUUUCACUAUAAUUUAAGGAUCAUUCAAGAUAUUAACUUAAUUCUUAAUCAACUGAAUUUUUGUAUUUCUCUAGAAGAAGAAUGCAUGGCUUUUAUUCAGUAAAUGAGUUUAAAAUUACGUUUAAUAAAGUUAGAAAAAAAGAAAGACUAAACUAUAGAGUUAGGGUAAAUAGCAAUUGUAAUCUUUAAAUUUUGAGUUUAAUUUUAUUUUGAUUAUUAUUUUUUAAAAAGUUUUAAUUAGAUCUCAAUUGCUUAAAGGUAUCAUAUUUUGGCCCUUUCACCUACGAAACCAUCUAAAUUAAUACUAAAUGUUAGCUAACAUCACUAGGACGUUACCAUUGACAUUUCAUGUGGCAAAUGAACUAAUAAAGAAACCAAAAUAGAAUUUCGUUUAAAGUUUAAGAACAAAAAAUAUGACUAUCCCGAAUUUUUUAUAUUUCAAAUAUAUUUUAUAAAAUAUUAAAUUUAAAAUAAUAUUUUAUAUAUUUUUAAUUAUAAUAUAUUUUAUUCAUGAAAUAUAUAUUUUUUGCAAUAAAUUUCAAAAUUCUUUUGAAAAAGUUACAUAGCAUUUUAAAAAAUUAAGUAAAAUUUUAUAUUUGUUUAAAAAAUUAAAUAAAAAACUUCUUAUCUUUUUAAAAUAUUAAGUAAAAAUUUUCAAAUCAUUUAAUAUUCUUUAUUUAAAUUUUAUAUUUGUAGAUAAUUAAAAAAAAAUAAAAAUGGUCCUUAAUGCCUCUAAUCUGGUGAGGAGAAGAAAUCGAAGUAUUGAAAAUAUAUUUUUUUUCUAUAGUAUAAAAUUUAUAAUAAAAUAUUUCAAAAUAGAUUUUUUUGGAUAGAAAAUAAAAUUUUGAAUAGAUUAAUAAAUCUUUUUUAAAAUGAUAUGAAAAUUUUUACUUAAUAUUUUAAAAUGAUAUAAAGUUUUUUAUUUUAUUUUUUAAACCGAUAUGGAAUUUUAUUUAAUUUUUAAAAUGAUAUAGAAUUUUUUUAAAAGGAGUUUUCAAAUUUUUAACUAAAUUUUAAUUUUUAAAAUAUUUUUAUUAAAAAUAGUAGUUUACGAAUAAUUAAUAUUAUAAUUGUUGGCCUUGAAUUGAUUAAGAGUUUUGAUUUGACAAAAUAAAAAUUUGCCAAACUUGUUUUAAUCUUGUUUAAGCUUAAAUUAAACAUUUUUCCACCCUUCUAUCUUGCCAAAAUUCAUUUGAGAACUAAAACAACUCAAAUUCUCGAAACAAAACAUGAUUUAUGCAAGUUUUGAUAGAGGGGUUCGAUCUCAAUCCCUUUCAUUACUAGAUCGAUCCCUAGCAAAAGGGAUCGAUCUUAUUUUCAACUAAAACCAAAAGUUCUCAAGAUUUGGCAAAAAUCGAUCGAUCCCCUUCUUGUAAGGAUCGAUUGGUUAGUAGAAUGGAUCAAUCCCCUCAUUUAAGGGAUCGAUCACUUUUUCAUACAGAAUGCUUUCUUCGUGCAAUUUUCCAAAAAAGGGAUCGAUCCCCCCAUAUAAGGGAUCAAUCACCUAAAAGAACAGAUCAAUCCCCUCAAGCGAGGGAUCGAUCGAGUAAGGCAAAAUAGGCAUAAAAUCAAGCUUUCUCAAACAUGAACCAAUAGAUCCCCUAAGUGAGGGGAUCGAUCCCCUGAACUAUUUUCUGUUUAAAAUUUCUACAGGUUUGAAGCAUUAAAUGCAAUCCAAUAGCUCUCAACUUUUUCCUAACUAUAAAUCGAGCAUUCCACUGCAGACCAAAAGUAACAAAAGCUAAAGAAACUUAUUGCUAUUCACCUACCAAUCUGCUCAAGCAUUCAAAGCUGUAGAAGAGAAAAGUGCAGAAUUCAUAUAAGUUUUUCUCUACUUUCUUAUUUAUACAUUUGUGUACUUCAACUUAGCAAACACCUAGCCUUUGUGAGGUUCUUAAAGCUUGCCAAACACUUUUGAAUUUUUUGUAUUGCAACAUCUCUUAGAAGUGAAGGGCAUUCAACUGUUAGACCUUCUCUCCCUGCUGGUGACAACUAUUCCUAUUGGAAGACUAGGAUAAGGCUGUUCAUUCAAGCAAAUGAUUAUGAAGUCUGGAGGGUCAUUGUAAAUGGUCCUCAAAUUCCAAUAAAGAUGAUGGAUGGUAAGGAGGUGAUAAAGCUAAAGAGUGAUGGGAUGUCAAUGACAUAAAGAUGGCUCAACUCAAUGCCAAAGCAAUGCACACACCCUUUUAUGCAUUAGAACUAAGUGAGUAUAAUAGAGUCUUUUGGUAUGAAAAUGCAAAGAAAAUUUAAGAUAAGCUGGCUAUCACCCAUGAAGGUACAAACCAAGUGAAGGAGACUAAAAUAGGCGUGCUUACUCAUGAUUAUGAGCUCUUCAAGAUGAAACCCGAUGAAACCAUUAGUGAGAUGUCAAACUACUUUACCGACAUCAUUAAUGGUUUAAAGGCUCUUGGAAAGGCAUAUUCAAAUGUGGAGAUGGUAAAAAAAAUUCUCAAUAGUCUACCAAAGAGUUGGGAAGCCAAAGUGACAGUUAUUGAAGAGUCCAAAGAUCCUCAUACAUUUUUUUUGGAUGAACUAAUGGGCUCUCUCCUCACUUAUGAAAUGAAGAUAAAAAGAGGACAAGAACCAGUCAAGAAAAGUGGCAUUGCUCUCAAAUCUACCUUUCAAGAGGAUGAAGAAAAUUUUGCUUAAGAGGAGGAUGAUGAAGAUGAAGAGAUGGCUAUGUUUGCAAAGCUAUUCAAAAAGUUCAUGAGAAUGAACAAGUUCCCAAGUAGGAGGAGACCAUAAAGGGAGAUGACUAAAGGAGAAUCUAGUAGAAGAGAAAGGGAUCAAAUUAUUCGCUAUAAAUGUAACAAACCAGGUCACAAUAAACUUGAUUGUCUUUUAUGGAAAAAGCAGAACAUGACCAAGCCAAAGAAGAAAGCUAUGGUAGCAACAUGGAGUGAUAGCGACUUCUCCGAUGAUGAAUCAAAUGAGGGGGAAGUAGCCAACCUAUGUCUCAUAGCUCUUGAUGAGCCCAAGGUAACCUCUAAUCCAUGUGAUUCAAAUUCAUACUCAUUUGAUGAACUACAAGAUGCCUAUGAUGAAUUAGCUAUAGAAUUUGAGAACAUGAGCAUGAUAUAUAAAAAAAUGAUCAGUAAAUUGAAACUAGAAAAUGAGUUAUUGACUAAAACAAAAGAAGACUGAAAAAAGGAAGUUAAGCUCUUGAAGGUAAAUGUCAAUGACUUGACUAAGAAAAAUAAAAAUCUGCAUAAUUCUUUUUCUAGAUUUUAUAUGGGUCAUCAAAAGCUCAAUGAUAUGCUAGAAACACAAAGAGCUUUCUUUGAUAAAGAUGGACUAGGUUAUAAUGGUGACAACAAAGAGACUCACUUGAAGAAUUUUUUUGUUAAGCCGAAUGAUUCAUCUAGCAUGUGUGCACAUUGUCAUAAAUUGGAUUAUUCUAUACAAUAUUAUUCUUUGAAGAAAGUCACUUAUAGUGGUAAGCUCAUUAGGAGAGUGUGGAUUCCAAAAAGAGUUAGCACAUCUCAAGAUGAGGCUACUAAAAUGAAGUGGAUUUUAAAAGGCACAAAAAUUCUUAGUACUAGCUCUCAAGGACCUAAAAAAAUUUGGGUACCCAAAAUAAAAAUUUAAUUGUGUUUUUGUAGGUGGAUGAGCAUUGCUAUAAAGUAAAUUCUAGCAAAAACAAUAAAUGGUUCCUUGAUAGUGGAUACUCAAAACACAUGACCGGAGAUAAAACUUUCUUUAAGGACUUUAAAGCGAAAAGUGGAGAGAGAUGUUAUACUUGGUGACAACUCAAAAGGCCAAAUUGAAGGGAUUGGCUCCAUUGGUAACAAUUCCUCUACUUCUAUUAAAAAUGUUUUACUUGUGAAAGGUCUCAAGCAUAAUUUACUUAGCAUUAGUCAACUAUGUGAUAAAGAUUUAGGGUUGUGUUUGAAUCCAUGUGCUGUCAAGUAAUUGAUAUCAAAACUAACAAGCUUGUUUUUGUUGAACACCAUCAAGGAAACAUUUAUGUAGUGCAUCUAGAUGACCUAUCCUCUAAAAAUGUUUGUUUUAUGGCUCAAAAAGAAAAUGAGAGUUGGAUUUGGCAUAAAAGGCUUGGAUAUGCAAGUAUACAUGUAAUUUCAAAACUUUCUCAAAAUAAUUUGGUUGUUGGUUUGCCAAAGUUGAAAUAUGAAAAUGACAAGGUUUGUGAUGCAUGUGCUCAAGGAAAACAUAGAAGAAUUUCUUUCAAACCUAAGAACUGCAUUUCAACUACUAGACUUUUUCAACUAUUGCACAUUGAUCUUUUUGGCCCUACUAGAACAAUGAGUCUUGGUGGAAAACAAUAUAGGUUUGUUAUUAUCGAUGAUUGCACUAGAUUAGCAUAGGUUUUCUUUUUGCAUUCAAAGAAUGAGGCUUUGGAAAAAUUCAUCACUUUUAGCAAACAAAUACAAAAUGAAAAAGGUUAUUCAAUUACUAGUAUUAGAAGUGAUCAUGAAAAGGAAUUUAAAAAUCUAGGCUUUAAUAUAUUUUGUAGUGAAAAUGGUAUUAGCCACAAUUUUCUACUCCUAGAACUCCUCAACAAAAUAGGGUAGUAGAAAUGAGAAAUAAAACUUUAGAAUAAAUGGCUAGAACCAUGCUUUGUGAAAACAAUCUACCUAGAUAUUUUUAUGCAAAAGCCAUAAAUACUUCUUGCUAUAUUAUAAAUAGAGCUAUGAUUAGGCUAGUUUUGAAGAAAAUCCCCUAUGAAAUUUUUAAAGGAAAAAGGCCUAACAUAAGUUAUUUUCAUCCUUUUGGUUGCAAAUGUUUUAUUUUGAACAAUGAAAAAGAUGAUCUUGGAAAAUUUGAUGCAAAAAGUGAUGAAAAAAGUUUUCUAGGAUAUUCUUUGAAUUCAAAAGCUUAUAGAGCUUUCAAUAAAAGAACAUUAGUGGUGCAAGAGUCUAUAGAGGAGCCACAACACAUAGAGAAAGAGCCAAAUCAUCCUAGAGAAAUAAGGUAUGUCAAAGAUAGUGAAAUCAUUGGUAAUCCAACUCAAGGGGUAAGAACUAGAUCUUCUUUUAAUGUGUGUAAUUAUGUUACUUUCCUAUCCAUAUUGAACCUAAAAAUAUAGAUGAAGCAUUAGGAGAUGAUCAUUGGAUUUUGGCCAUGCAAGAGGAAUUAAACCAAUUUGAAAAAGCCAUGUAUGGAAUCUUGUACCUAGGCCUAGUGACCAUCUUACCAUAGGCACCAAAUGGGUCUUUAGAAUAAAAUGGAUGAGAAUGGGAAUAUCAUUAGAAACAAAGCUAGAUUGGUAGCUCAAGGUAUAGCAAGAGGAAGGAAUAGAUUAUGAUGAAACCUAUGCCCCGGUAGCAAGGUUAGAAGCCAUAAGGAUGUUGCUUGCAUUUGCAUGUUUUAAAAAUUUAAGCUUUUUCAAAUGGAUGUCAAGAGUGCAUUUCUUAAUGGUUUUAUAAAUGAAGAAGUGUAUGUAGAGCAACCUCCAGUUUUGAAAAUUCAAAAUUUAAAUCAUGUUUAUAAAUUGACAAAAGCAUUAUAUGGUUUAAAAAAGCUCCUAGAGCUUGGUAUGAAAGAUUGUCAAUUUUUUUGAUUAAAAAUAGUUUUAAUAAAGGGAAGGUUGACACUACAUUUUUUAUUAAAAAAAAGGUAAGGACAUUCUCAUAGUGCAAAUUUAUGUUGAUGAUAUUAUAUUUGGUGCUACUAAUGAAAUUCUUUGUCAAGAAUUUGCUAAGAUUAUGCAAGGUGAAUUUGAAAUAAGCAUGAUGAGAGAACUCACAUUCUUCUUGGGACUAUACAAUAAAGCAAACAAAAGAUGGCACCUUCAUAAUCAAGCCAAAUACAUCAAAGAUUUGCUCAUAAGGUUUGAAUUGGGAGAAUCAAACCUUGUUUGACACCAAUGAGCACCUCAACAAAGCUUGACAAGAUGAAAAGGUAAAUGUGUUGACUCUAAACUAUAUAGGUCUAUGAUUGGUUCAUUGCUAUAUCUUACUGCUAGUAGACCUGAUAUUAUGUUUAGUGUAUGUCUAUGUGCUAGAUUUCAAUCAUCUCCUAGAAAACACAUUUGUUUGCUAUCAAAAGGAUUUUUAGAUACCUUAGACACCCCAAAUUUAGGAUUAUGGUAUCCAAAAGGCUCUUCCUUUGCUUUAUAUGCCUAUUCGAUGCGAAUUUUGUGGUGCAAAAUUGAUAGAAAAAGCACUUUUACUUGUCAAUUGUUUGAAAUAUGCUCAUAUCAUGGUUUUCAAGAAACAAAAUAGUGUUGCUCAAUCUACAACCGAAGCUAAAUAUGUAGCGGCUGGAAGUUGUUGUGCCAGGUUUUGUGGAUUAAGCAACAAUUGAGGAUUUUGGAAUAACCAUGGAUCAUAUUCCCAUUAAAUGUGACAGUACUAGUGCCAUCAACCUCACUAAAAAUCCAAUUCAAGACUCUAGAACCAACAUAUUGAAAUUAGCAUCAUUUUAUUAGAGAUCAUGUUCAAAGGGUGACAUUGUACUUGAAUAUGUUGACACCUUGCAUCAACUAGCUGAUAUCUUCACAAAACCUCUUGAUAAGGAUAGAUUUUUAUGCAAUUAGAGGUGAACUUGCAUGAUGAAUGCUUCUUAAGUGAAAUUCUUGAUGUUAUGAUGUAUGGUGCACUUUUGAUUGAUUAAUGUAUGUUUUUCUGAAUUUUUUUUUUUUUGGUUUGUUGCAUGAUUGUAAAAUGCUUAUUUGAAUGAUCAUAUUGCAUGGUUUUCAACAUGCUAUAGCAAAAACCAAUGUAGAUCCCCUUUGGAGAUGGAUCGAUUGAGUUUUUCACCCCUAGCCAAAGUAAAGGGAAACAAUAGGGAACUGAUUUGAUCCACUUUUGGAUAGAUCGAUCGAGUGUAAAGGCAGGAAGCCAAUUUUGUUGAACCCAGGAAGAACCGAUCAUCCCCUCUUUGACAAGAUCGAUCGGGUAUUCAACCAGUAGCCAAAAUGACUUGAAAAUGCAAAAUCGAUCGAUCCCCUUCAAACCCAAUCGAUAGUUCCAUGCAAAAGCCCAAAAUCGAUCGAUCCCACUUCACCCGAUCGAUCGAUUCAUGAAUUUUAGGCGUGAUAAAUUCAGGUCCUCACUGUUUGCGACCUUUCAUCUUUCCUCUCUAUUCAUCUUCUUUCCCAACUCAUUCUCUACACCCUAGAUAUUUCACUAAAAAUUGACUCUUUCUCUUACAAAUUUCUCUUGUAAACUCGCUACCCAUAAUCUCUCAUGGCACCCAAACCAAAGUCACAGCUGAUGAUGAAACCCUCCAAGAGAGGCUUCAAGCUCCACCAUGAAGCCUUUUUCAACCAAAAUUUCAACAAUCCCAACACCAAUAAGUGGUAUGAGACACACUUUGCUCACCGGAAGUAAAACCUAAAGGGUAAUCUCACUAGACUUCCUUCAAUCCAUAGAGUUUCCUAUUUGCAUACUUUUGAGUCUUUUGGAUGGAUGCCUUACUUAUGUAUGGAGAGUCGCUUAUUGAGAAUCUAGUAAGAGUUUUCUAUAGUAAUGCUAGCUAUGUUCAAAUUGAAGGAACAAAUAGGCAUUACCUUGAUAGGUUCAGAACAUAUGUAAUGGGGAAGGAAAUCUUAGUUACAAAACAAGUGCUAGCUGAGGCCUUUACAUUAGCUGAUGAAGGGAGACAAAUCUAGAUGUGAUAUAGUGCAACUAGCUCAAGAUAUCUUUAGGAAUCAUAAUUUACAGGUUGCUCCACAAGCCUCUAGGUUACCCAUGCAUGAUCGGUUGUUACACCUUAUUGUAACCCAUGUGUUAGCCCUUUUGGGACCCAAUACUCCACCAUUAGGAAACAAGAUUAUUGGUGGAUGUACAAGAUCAAGCAUGAAAAACCAAAUUUGAUGCACUUCAUUUUUAGUGACAUGAUGAAUUGUCUAGAAUAGAGAUGUUACUCUGGUAUAUGGGUAUGCUAUCAGCAAUCUUUUGAGACAUUUGGAAGUAAACACUAAGGUGACAGAGAGAUGUGCAUCAAUGACCCAUUUAGUAUUCUUGGGCCUCCCACAUUGCAUAGUAUGGGGUAUGUUGAAACUCUAGCUGGCCAAUGGGUUAAAAAGGGGAUAUUGGUGUUGCACAAGAGGAAGAGGAAGAGCAAGACCCUGUUAUAUGCCUGCACCUCAAGAAGAACCCCUAGCACACCUUUUGACACUCAAGUGCCCUAGAAUGCUCUUACUUCAUAUGAAUAGCCUGCACUCGGUGGUUGGCACUAUGAGCACUAGAUUGGAGUCCAUGAGAAACUCAAAAUGACCUUGUGGCAAAGUCGGCAUAUUCGAGCUGAUAUUGAGCAUAUGAGGUCUACUUCAGCACAUGGGAUAGUCUUCGCAUUACUCUCCUCCUUCACCUCCAUCUUUCAUUCUCCACCUCCACCUCACUGAAGCCUUCUUACUGCCAUCUUAUGUUUUCCCACAUUUUUUUUUGUAAAUAUAACUUUGCAUUAUGGCUUGUAGACUUUGAUCUUUAUAUUAAUGCAACUAUCUUUUAUUCUCUUGUGGCUUGUGCUUUGUGGCUUUGUUGUGUGUAGUUUCAUGUUUGAAGUGACCUUAGUGGCCUUGAAUUGCUUAUUCCCUCAUUUUGAUUUGCUUCAUUUAGUAUUUUUGCUAUGAAAAAAAGGGAGAAAAUAUUGGUAUGAAAGUUUGAUGAUGUAUGAAAAUCUGAUGAUGUUUUGAUAUUGAUGGAUAUAUUGAUGGUUAUGGUGAUAUUACUCUUGUCUAGUUGCCUUAAAUCUUAUGCCUAAAUUCAGAGGGAGCUUCUUUUCAAAAGGAAAAAUGUUUUUCAUGCAAAAUUUUCAUUUGGUUUUGUCAUAUCAAAAAGGGGAGAUUGUUGGCCUUGAAUUGAUUAAGAGUUUUGAUUUGACAAAAUAAAAAUUUGCCAAACUUUUUCAAUCUUGUCUAAGCUUAAAUUGAACAUUUUUCCACCCUUCUAUCUUGCCAAAAUUCAUUUGAGAACCAAAAGAACUCAAAUUCUGAACAAAACAUGAUUUAUGCAAGUUUUGAUAGAAGGGAUCGAUCCCUUAGGAAGGGAUCAUCCCCUCCAUUACCAGAUCGAUCCCCUAGCAAAAGGGAUCGAUCUGUUUUCAACUAGAAAAGUUCUCAAGAUUUGGCAAAAAUGAUCGAUCCCCUCCCUGUAGGGAUCGAUUGGUUAGUAAAUGGAUCGAUCCCCUCAUUUAAGGAUCGAUCACUUUUUCAUACAGAAUGCGUUCCUCGUGCAAUUUUCUAGAAAAAGGAUCGAUCACCUCACAUAGAGGAUCAAUCACCUAAGGCAAGGAAUCGAUCCCCUCUUAAAGGGAUCGAUCAUUUGUUCAAACAGAAUGUCCCCCAAGUGUGGAAACCCAAAAAAGGGAUCGAUCCCCCAUAUAAGGGAUCGAUCACCUAAAAGAACAGAUGGAUCCCUUCAAGCAAGGGAUCGAUCGGGUAAGGUAAAAUAGGCAUAAAAUCGGGCUUUCUCAAACAUGAACCAAUCGAUCCCUAAGGGAUGGCAUUGAUCCCCUGAAGGCCUAAAACUCCUAACUAUUUUCUGUAAAAUUUUCAAGUUUGAAGCAUUAAAUGCAAUCCAAUGGCUCUCAACUUCUUUCUAACUAUAAAUCAAGCAUUCACUAGACCAAGAGUAACAAGAGCUAAAGAAACUUAUUGCUAUUCACCUACCAAUCUGUUCAAGCAUUCAAAGCUGUAAAAAAGAAAAAGUGCAAGAAUUCAUAUCAUUUUUCUCUACUUUCUUAUCUAUAAUUUGUGUACUUCAACUUAGCAAACACCUAGCCUUUGUGAGGUUCUUAAAGUUUGCCAAACACUUCUGAAUUUUUUGUAUUAUGAGUGUGUAAGCUUAAGGGGGAGGAUAACCCUUAAGAGUGUAUGUUGUUGAGUUUGUAAAGCUUUGUGAAAGCUUAGUUGUAAUCUUCAUCAAAUAGUGGAUUGAACUCCUUAGCAAGAGAGGCUAAGGAGAGGACGUAGGUGCCUAAGAAAGGAUCGAACCUCUAUAAAUCUUGGUGUUAAAUUCUCUAACCCUAUCUUUUGUUUAUAUUCAUCUAUUGUGCUUAUCUAUUUUGAUAAUUUAUGGUUAUUGAAUAUUAUCUUUGAAAAUUUUAUUAAAACCAAUUCACCCCUCUCUUGGUUUAUUCCAAGUCUUUGAGCUAACAAUUGGUAUCAGAGCCAGUACUCUUUUUGUAGGUUUAAUAGCCCAAGAGUGAUCUUAAAAAUAGUUCAAAGAAAUAUGGUAAUCAAUGUGAAAAAACCAUCCUCAAGCUAUAACAACUAAACCUGCCAACAAGAGAUGUGUCUCAUGGCAAAUGAAAUAGUUGCAACAUCUUUUGGAAGUGAAGGGCAUUCAACUAUUAGACCCCCUCUCUUUGCUGGUGACAAUUACUCCUAUUGGAAGACUAGGAUGAGGCUGUUCAUUCAAGCAAAUGAUUAUGAAGUCUGGAGGGUCAUUGUAAAUGGUCCUCAAAUUCCAAUGAAGAUGGUGGAUGGUAAGGAGGUGAUAAAGCUAGAGAGUGAAUGGGAUGUCAAUGACAUGAAGAUGGCUCAACUCAAUGCCAAAGUAAUGCAUACACUCUUUUGUGCAUUGAGACCAAGUGAAUGUAAUAGAGUCUCCUUAUGUGAAAAUGCAAAGGAAAUUUGGGAUAAGCUGGCUGUCACCCAUGAAGGUACAAACCAAGUGAAAGAGAUAAAAAUAGGUAUGCUUACUCAUGAUUAUGAGCUGUUCAAGAUGAAACCCGAUGAAACCAUUAGUGAGAUGUCAAAUCGCUUCACCGACAUCAUUAAUGGUUUAAAGGCUCUUGAGAAGAUAUAUUCAAAUGUGAAGAUGGUAAAGAAAAUUCUCAAUAGUCUACCAAAGAGUUGGGAAGCCAAAGUGAUAGCCAUUGAAGAGUCCAAAGAUCCUCAUACACUUUCUUUAGAUGAACUAAUGGGCUUUCUCCUCACUUAUGAAAUAAAGAUAAAAAGGGGACAAGAACUAGUCAAGAAAGGUGGCAUUAAUCUCAAAUCUACCUUUCAAGAGAAUGAAAAAAUUUUUGCUCAAGAGGAGGAUGAUGAAGAUGAAGAGAUGCCCAUGUUUGCAAAGUAAUUCAAAAAGGUCAUGAGAAUGAACCAUUCCCAAGUAGGAGGAAACCACAAAGGGAGAUGACUAAAAGGGAAUCAAGUAGAAAAAAAAAGAUAAAAUUAUUUGCUAUGAAUGUAACAAAUCGGGUCACAUUAAACUUGAUUGUCCCUUGUGGAAAAAGCAAAACAUGACCAAGCCAAAGAGGAAAGCUAUGGUAGCAACAUGGAGUGAUAGUGACUUCUCCGAUGAUGAAUCAAAUAAGGGAGAAAUAGCCAACCUAUGUCUCAUGGCUCUUGAUGAGCUCAAAGUAACCUCUAAUCCAUGUGAUUCAAAUUAAUACUCAUUUAAUGAACUACAAGAUGCCUAUGAUGAAUUAGCUAUAGAAUUUGAGAACUUGAGCAUCAAAUAUAGAAAAAUAUUAGUAAAUUGAAACUAAAAAAUGAGUCAUUGACUAAAACAAAAGAAGACUUAAAAAAAGAAGUUGAGCUCUUGAAGGUAAAUGUCAAUGACUUGACUAAGAAAAAUGAAAAUCUGCAUAAUUCAUUUCUAGAUUUUAUAUGGGUCAUCAAAAGCUCAAUGAUAUGCUAGAAACACAAAAAGCUUUCUUUAAUAAAAAUGGACUAGGUUAUAAUGGUGACAACAAAGAGACUCACUUGAAGAAUUUUCAUGUUAAGCCAAAUGAUUCAUCUAGCAUGUGUGCACAUUAUCAUAAAUUGGAUCAUUCCAUAAAAUAUUGUUCCUUGAAGAAAGUCACUUAUAGAGGUAAGCUCAUUAGGAGAGUGUGGAUUCCAAAAAAAGUUAGCACAUCUCUAGAUGAGGCUACUAAAAUGAAGUGGAUUCCAAAAGGUAUAAAAAUUGUUAGUACUAACUUUCAAGGACCCAAGAAAAUUUAGGUACCCAAAACAAAAAUUUAAUUGUGUUUUUGUAGGUGGAUGAGCAUUGCUACAAAGCAAAUUCCAGCAAAACAAUCAAUGGUACCUUGAUAGUGGAUGCUUAAAACACAUGACCGGAGACAAAACUCUCUUUAAGGACUUUAAAGCAAAAAGUGAAGGAGAUGUUGCAUUUGAUGACAACUCAAAAGGCCAAACUAAAGGGAUUGGCUCCAUUGAUAACAAUUCCUCUACUUCUAUUGAAAAUGUUUUACUUGUGAAAGGCCUCAAGCAUAAUUUACUUAGCAUUAGUCAAUUAUGUGAUAAAGGAUUUAGGGUUGUAUUUGAAUCCAUGUGCUGUCAAGUAAUUGAUGUCAAAAGUAACAAGCUUAUUUUUGUUGGACACCAUCAAGGAAACAUUUAUGUAGUGCAUCUAGAUGACCUAUCCUCUAAAAAUGUUUAUUUUAUGGCUCAAAAAGAAAAUGAGAGUUGGAUUUGGCAUAGAAGGCUUGGACAUGCAAGUAUGCAUGUAAUUUCAAAACUUUCUCAAAAUAAUUUGGUUGUUGGUUUGCCAAAGUUGAAAUAUGAAAAUGACAAGGUUUGUGAUGCAAGUGCUCAAGGAAAACAUAAAAAAAUUUCUUUCAAACCUAAGAAUUGCAUUUCAACUACUAGACCUCUUCAACUAUUGCAUAUUGAUCUUUUUGGCCCUACUAGAACAAUGAGUCUUGGUGGAAAAUAAUAUGGGUUUGUUAUUAUUGAUUAUUUCACUAGAUUCACAUGGGUUCUCUUUUUGCAUUCAAAGAAUGAAGCUUUUGAAAAAUUCAUCACUUUUAGUAAACAAAUACAAAAUGAAAAAGGUUAUUCAAUUGCUAGUAUUAGAAGUAAUCAUAGAAAGGAAUUUGAAAAUCUAGGCUUUAAUAUAUUUUGUAGUGAAAAUGGUAUUAGUCAUAAUUUUUCUGCUCUUAGAACUCCUCAGCAAAAUGAGGUAGUAGAAAGGAGAAAUAGAACUUUAGAAGAAAUGGCUAGAACCAUGUUUUGUGAAAACAAUCUACUUAGAUAUUUUUGGCAAAAGUCAUAAAUACUUCUUGCUAUAUUAUAAAUAGAACUAUGAUUAGGCCAAUUUUAAAGAAAACUCCCUAUAAACUUUUUAAAGGAAAAAGGCCUAACAUAAGUUAUUUUCAUCCUUUUGGUUGCAAAUAUUUUAUUUUGAACAAUGGAAAAGAUGACCUUGGAAAAUUUGUUGCAAAAAGUGAUGAAAGAAGUUUCCUAGGAUAUUCUUUGAAUNNNNNNNNNNNNNNNNNNNNNNNNNNNNNNNNNNNNNNNNNNNNNNNNNNNNNNNNNNNNNNNNNNNNNNNNNNNNNNNNNNNNNNNNNNNNNNNNNNNNNNNNNNNNNNNNNNNNNNNNNNNNNNNNNNNNNNNNNNNNNNNNNNNNNNNNNNNNNNNNNNNNNNNNNNNNNNNNNNNNNNNNNNNNNNNNNNNNNNNNNNNNNNNNNNNNNNNNNNNNNNNNNNNNNNNNNNNNNNNNNNNNNNNNNNNNNNNNNNNNNNNNNNNNNNNNNNNNNNNNNNNNNNNNNNNNNNNNNNNNNNNNNNNNNNNNNNNNNNNNNNNNNNNNNNNNNNNNNNNNNNNNNNNNNNNNNNNNNNNNNNNNNNNNNNNNNNNNNNNNNNNNNNNNNNNNNNNNNNNNNNNNNNNNNNNNNNNNNNNNNNNNNNNNNNNNNNNNNNNNNNNNNNNNNNNNNNNNNNNNNNNNNNNNNNNNNNNNNNNNNNNNNNNNNNNNNNNNNNNNNNNNNNNNNNNNNNNNNNNNNNNNNNNNNNNNNNNNNNNNNNNNNNNNNNNNNNNNNNNNNNNNNNNNNNNNNNNNNNNNNNNNNNNNNNNNNNNNNNNNNNNNNNNNNNNNNNNNNNNNNNNNNNNNNNNNNNNNNNNNNNNNNNNNNNNNNNNNNNNNNNNNNNNNNNNNNNNNNNNNNNNNNNNNNNNNNNNNNNNNNNNNNNNNNNNNNNNNNNNNNNNNNNNNNNNNNNNNNNNNNNNNNNNNNNNNNNNNNNNNNNNNNNNNNNNNNNNNNNNNNNNNNNNNNNNNNNNNNNNNNNNNNNNNNNNNNNNNNNNNNNNNNNNNNNNNNNNNNNNNNNNNNNNNNNNNNNNNNNNNNNNNNNNNNNNNNNNNNNNNNNNNNNNNNNNNNNNNNNNNNNNNNNNNNNNNNNNNNNNNNNNNNNNNNNNNNNNNNNNNNNNNNNNNNNNNNNNNNNNNNNNNNNNNNNNNNNNNNNNNNNNNNNNNNNNNNNNNNNNNAGAAGAAUGCAUGGCUUUUAUUCAGUAAAUGAGUUUAAAAUUACGUUUAAUAAAGUUAGAAAAAAAGAAAGACUAAACUAUAGAGUUAGGGUAAAUAGCAAUUGUAAUCUUUAAAUUUUGAGUUUAAUUUUAUUUUGAUUAUUAUUUUUUAAAAAGUUUUAAUUAGAUCUCAAUUGCUUAAAGGUAUCAUAUUUUGGCCCUUUCACCUACGAAACCAUCUAAAUUAAUACUAAAUGUUAGCUAACAUCACUAGGACGUUACCAUUGACAUUUCAUGUGGCAAAUGAACUAAUAAAGAAACCAAAAUAGAAUUUCGUUUAAAGUUUAAGAACAAAAAAUAUGACUAUCCCGAAUUUUUAUAUUUCAAAUAUAUUUUAUAAAAUAUUAAAUUUAAAAUAAUUAUUUUAUAUAUUUUAAUUAUAAUAUAUUUUAUUCAUGAAAUAUAUAUUUUUUGCAAUAAAUUUCAAAAAUUCUUUUGAAAAAGUUACAUAGCAUUUUAAAAAUUAAGUAAAAUUUUAUAUUUGUUUAAAAAAUUAAAUAAAAAACUUCUUAUCUUUUUAAAAUAUUAAGUAAAAAUUUUCAAAUCAUUUAAUAUUCUUUAUUUAAAUUUUAUAUUUGUAGAUAAUUAAAAAAAAAUAAAAAUGGUCCUUAAUGCCUCUAAUCUGGUGAGGAGAAGAAAUCGAAGUAUUGAAAAUAUAUUUUUUUUCUAUAGUAUAAAAUUUAUAAUAAAAUAUUUCAAAAUAGAUUUUUUGGAUAGAAAAUAAAAUUUGAAUAGAUUAAUUAAAUCUUUUUUAAAAUGAUAUGAAAAUUUUUACUUAAUAUUUUAAAAUGAUAUAAAGUUUUUUAUUUUAUUUUUUAAACCGAUAUGGAAUUUUAUUUAAUUUUUAAAAUGAUAUAGAAUUUUUUUAAAGGAGUUUUCAAAUUUUUAACUAAAUUUUAAUUUUUAAAAUAUUUUUAUUAAAAUAGUAGUUUACGAAUAAUUAAUAUUAUAAUUGUUGGCCUUGAAUUGAUUAAGAGUUUUGAUUUGACAAAUAAAAAUUUGCCAAACUUGUUUUAAUCUUGUUUAAGCUUAAAUUAAACAUUUUUCCACCCUUCUAUCUUGCCAAAAUUCAUUUGAGAACUAAAACAACUCAAAUUCUCGAAACAAAACAUGAUUUAUGCAAGUUUUGAUAGAGGGGUUCGAUCUCAAUCCCUUUCAUUACUAGAUCGAUCCCUAGCAAAAGGGAUCGAUCUUAUUUUCAACUAAAACCAAAAGUUCUCAAGAUUUGGCAAAAAUCGAUCGAUCCCCUUCUUGUAAGGAUCGAUUGGUUAGUAGAAUGGAUCAAUCCCCUCAUUUAAGGGAUCGAUCACUUUUUCAUACAGAAUGCUUUCUUCGUGCAAUUUUCCAAAAAAGGGAUCGAUCCCCCCAUAUAAGGGAUCAAUCACCUAAAAGAACAGAUCAAUCCCCUCAAGCGAGGAUCGAUCGAGUAAGGCAAAAUAGGCAUAAAUCAAGCUUUCUCAAACAUGAACCAAUAGAUCCCCUAAGUGAGGGGAUCGAUCCCCUGAACUAUUUUCUGUUUAAAAUUUCUACAGGUUUGAAGCAUUAAAUGCAAUCCAAUAGCUCUCAACUUUUUUCCUAACUAUAAAUCGAGCAUUCCACUGCAGACCAAAAGUAACAAAAGCUAAAGAAACUUAUUGCUAUUCACCUACCAAUCUGCUCAAGCAUUCAAAGCUGUAGAAGAGAAAAGUGCAGAAUUCAUAUAAGUUUUUCUCUACUUUCUUAUUUAUACAUUUGUGUACUUCAACUUAGCAAACACCUAGCCUUUGUGAGGUUCUUAAAGCUUGCCAAAACACUUUUGAAUUUUUUGUAUUGCAACAUCUCUUAGAAGUGAAGGGCAUUCAACUGUUAGACCUUCUCUCCCUGCUGGUGACAACUAUUCCUAUUGGAAGACUAGGAUAAGGCUGUUCAUUCAAGCAAAUGAUUAUGAAGUCUGGAGGGUCAUUGUAAAUGGUCCUCAAAUUCCAAUAAAGAUGAUGGAUGGUAAGGAGGUGAUAAAGCUAAAGAGUGAUGGGAUGUCAAUGACAUAAAGAUGGCUCAACUCAAUGCCAAAGCAAUGCACACACCCUUUUAUGCAUUAGAACUAAGUGAGUAUAAUAGAGUCUUUUGGUAUGAAAAUGCAAAGAAAAUUUAAGAUAAGCUGGCUAUCACCCAUGAAGGUACAAACCAAGUGAAGGAGACUAAAAUAGGCGUGCUUACUCAUGAUUAUGAGCUCUUCAAGAUGAAACCCGAUGAAACCAUUAGUGAGAUGUCAAACUACUUUACCGACAUCAUUAAUGGUUUUAAAGGCUCUUGGAAAGGCAUAUUCAAAUGUGGAGAUGGUAAAAAAAAUUCUCAAUAGUCUACCAAAGAGUUGGGAAGCCAAAGUGACAGUUAUUGAAGAGUCCAAAGAUCCUCAUACAUUUUUUUUGGAUGAACUAAUGGGCUCUCUCCUCACUUAUGAAAUGAAGAUAAAAAGAGGACAAGAACCAGUCAAGAAAAGUGGCAUUGCUCUCAAAUCUACCUUUCAAGAGGAUGAAGAAAAUUUUGCUUAAGAGGAGGAUGAUGAAGAUGAAGAGAUGGCUAUGUUUGCAAAGCUAUUCAAAAAGUUCAUGAGAAUGAACAAGUUCCCAAGUAGGAGGAGACCAUAAAGGGAGAUGACUAAAGGAGAAUCUAGUAGAAGAGAAAGGGAUCAAAUUAUUCGCUAUAAAUGUAACAAACCAGGUCACAAUAAACUUGAUUGUCUUUUAUGGAAAAAGCAGAACAUGACCAAGCCAAAGAAGAAAGCUAUGGUAGCAACAUGGAGUGAUAGCGACUUCUCCGAUGAUGAAUCAAAUGAGGGGGAAGUAGCCAACCUAUGUCUCAUAGCUCUUGAUGAGCCCAAGGUAACCUCUAAUCCAUGUGAUUCAAAUUCAUACUCAUUUGAUGAACUACAAGAUGCCUAUGAUGAAUUAGCUAUAGAAUUUGAGAACAUGAGCAUGAUAUAUAAAAAAAUGAUCAGUAAAUUGAAACUAGAAAAUGAGUUAUUGACUAAAACAAAAGAAGACUGAAAAAAGGAAGUUAAGCUCUUGAAGGUAAAUGUCAAUGACUUGACUAAGAAAAAUAAAAAUCUGCAUAAUUCUUUUUCUAGAUUUUAUAUGGGUCAUCAAAAGCUCAAUGAUAUGCUAGAAACACAAAGAGCUUUCUUUGAUAAAGAUGGACUAGGUUAUAAUGGUGACAACAAAGAGACUCACUUGAAGAAUUUUUUUGUUUAAGCCGAAUGAUUCAUCUAGCAUGUGUGCACAUUGUCAUAAAUUGGAUUAUUCUAUACAAUAUUAUUCUUUGAAGAAAGUCACUUAUAGUGGUAAGCUCAUUAGGAGAGUGUGGAUUCCAAAAAGAGUUAGCACAUCUCAAGAUGAGGCUACUAAAAUGAAGUGGAUUUUAAAAGGCACAAAAAUUCUUAGUACUAGCUCUCAAGGACCUAAAAAAAUUUGGGUACCCAAAAUAAAAAUUUAAUUGUGUUUUUGUAGGUGGAUGAGCAUUGCUAUAAAGUAAAUUCUAGCAAAAACAAUAAAUGGUUCCUUGAUAGUGGAUACUCAAAACACAUGACCGGAGAUAAAACUUUCUUUAAGGACUUUAAAGCGAAAAGUGGAGGAGAUGUUAUACUUGGUGACAACUCAAAAGGCCAAAUUGAAGGGAUUGGCUCCAUUGGUAACAAUUCCUCUACUUCUAUUAAAAAUGUUUUACUUGUGAAAGGUCUCAAGCAUAAUUUACUUAGCAUUAGUCAACUAUGUGAUAAAGAUUUAGGGUUGUGUUUGAAUCCAUGUGCUGUCAAGUAAUUGAUAUCAAAACUAACAAGCUUGUUUUUGUUGAACACCAUCAAGGAAACAUUUAUGUAGUGCAUCUAGAUGACCUAUCCUCUAAAAAUGUUUGUUUUAUGGCUCAAAAAGAAAAUGAGAGUUGGAUUUGGCAUAAAAGGCUUGGAUAUGCAAGUAUACAUGUAAUUUCAAAACUUUCUCAAAAUAAUUUGGUUGUUGGUUUGCCAAAGUUGAAAUAUGAAAAUGACAAGGUUUGUGAUGCAUGUGCUCAAGGAAAACAUAGAAGAAUUUCUUUCAAACCUAAGAACUGCAUUUCAACUACUAGACUUUUUCAACUAUUGCACAUUGAUCUUUUUGGCCCUACUAGAACAAUGAGUCUUGGUGGAAAACAAUAUAGGUUUGUUAUUAUCGAUGAUUGCACUAGAUUAGCAUAGGUUUUCUUUUUGCAUUCAAAGAAUGAGGCUUUGGAAAAAUUCAUCACUUUUAGCAAACAAAUACAAAAUGAAAAAGGUUAUUCAAUUACUAGUAUUAGAAGUGAUCAUGAAAAGGAAUUUAAAAAUCUAGGCUUUAAUAUAUUUUGUAGUGAAAAUGGUAUUAGCCACAAUUUUUCUACUCCUAGAACUCCUCAACAAAAUAGGGUAGUAGAAAUGAGAAAUAAAACUUUAGAAUAAAUGGCUAGAACCAUGCUUUGUGAAAACAAUCUACCUAGAUAUUUUUAUGCAAAAGCCAUAAAUACUUCUUGCUAUAUUAUAAAUAGAGCUAUGAUUAGGCUAGUUUUGAAGAAAAUCCCCUAUGAAAUUUUUAAAGGAAAAAGGCCUAACAUAAGUUAUUUUCAUCCUUUUGGUUGCAAAUGUUUUAUUUUGAACAAUGAAAAAGAUGAUCUUGGAAAAUUUGAUGCAAAAAGUGAUGAAAAAAGUUUUCUAGGAUAUUCUUUGAAUUCAAAAGCUUAUAGAGCUUUCAAUAAAAGAACAUUAGUGGUGCAAGAGUCUAUAGAGGAGCCACAACACAUAGAGAAAGAGCCAAAUCAUCCUAGAGAAAUAAGGUAUGUCAAAGAUAGUGAAAUCAUUGGUAAUCCAACUCAAGGGGUAAGAACUAGAUCUUCUUUUAAUGUGUGUAAUUAUGUUACUUUCUUAUCCUAUAUUGAACCUAAAAAUAUAGAUGAAGCAUUAGGAGAUGAUCAUUGGAUUUUGGCCAUGCAAGAGGAACUAAACCAAUUUGAAAAAAACCAUGUAUGGAAUCUUGUACCUAGGCCUAGUGACCAUCUUGCCAUAGGCACCAAAUGGGUCUUUAGGAAUAAAAUGGAUGAGAAUGGGAAUAUCAUUAGAAACAAAGCUAGAUUGGUAGCUCAAAGGUAUAGUCAAGAGGAAGGAAUAGAUUAUGAUAAACCUAUGCCCCGGUAGCAAGGUUAGAAGCCAUAAGGAUGUUGCUUGCAUUUGAAUGUUUUAAAAAUUUCAAGCUUUUUCAAAUGGAUGUCAAGAGUACAUUUCUUAAUGGUUUUGUAAAUGAAGAAGUGUAUGUAGAGCAACCUCCCAGUUUUAAAAAUUCAAAAUUUUUAAAUCAUGUUUAUAAAUUGACAAAAGCAUUAUAUGAUUUAAAAGAAGCUCCUAGAGCUUGGUAUGUAAGAUUGUUAAUUUUUUUGAUUGAAAAUGGUUUUAAUAGAGGGAAGGUUGACACUACAUGUUUUAUUAAAAAAAAGGUAAAGACAUUCUCAUAGUGCAAAUUUAUGUUGAUGAUAUUAUAUUUGGUGCUACUAAUGAAAUUCUUUGUCAAGAAUUUGCUAGAUUAUGCAAGGUGAAUUUGAAAUAAGCAUGAUGAGAGAACUCACAUUCUUCUUGGGACUAUAAAUAAAGCAAACAAAAGAUGGCACCUUCAUAAAUCAAGCCAAAUACAUCAAAGAUUUGCUCAUAAGGUUUGAAUUAGGAGAAUCAAAACCUUGUUUGACACCAAUGAGCACCUCAACAAAGCUUGACAAGGAUGAAUAAGGUAAAUGUGUUGACUCUAAACUAUAUAGGUCUAUGCUUUGUUCAUUGCUAUAUCUUACUGCUAGUAGACCUGAUAUUAUGUUUAGUGUAUGUCUAUGUGCUAGAUUUCAAUCAUCUCCUAAAGAAAUACAUUUGUUUGCUAUCAAAAGGAUUUUUAGAUACCUUACGGACACCCCAAAUUUAGGAUUAUGGUAUUCAAAAGGCUUUUCCUUUGCUUUAUAUGCCUAUUCCGAUGCGAAUUUUUGUGGGUGCAAAAUUGAUAGAAAAAGCACUUUUGAUGCUUGUCAAUUGUUUGAAAAUAUGCUCAUAUCAAGGUUUUCUAAGAAACAAAAUAGUGUUGCUCAAUCUACAACCAAAGCUAAAUAUGUAGCGGUUGGAAGUUGUAGUGCCCAAGUUUUGUGGAUUAAGCAACAAUUGGAGGAUUUUGGAAUAACCAUGGAUCAUAUUCCCAUUAAAUGUGACAGUACUAGUGCCAUCAACCUCACUAAAAAUCCAAUUCAAGACUCUAGAACCAAACAUAUUGAAAUUAGGCAUCAUUUUAUUAGAGAUCAUGUUCAAAAGGGUGACAUUGUACUUGAAUAUGUUGACACCUUGCAUCAACUAGCUGAUAUCUUCACAAAACCUCUUGAUAAGGAUAGAUUUUAUGCAAUUAGAGGUGAACUUGGCAUGAUGAAUGCUUCUUAAAGUGAAAUUCUUGAUGUUAUGAUGUAUGGUGCACUUUUGAUUGAUUAAUGUAUGUUUUUCUGAAUUUUUUUUUUUUUGGUUUGUGCAUGAUUGUAAAAUGCUUAUUUGAAUGAUCAUAUUGCAUGGUUUUCAACAUGCUAUAGCAAAAACCAAUUGAUCCCCUUUGGAAUGGAUCGAUUGGUUUUUCACCCCUAGCCAAAGUAAAGGGAAAACAUAGGGAACUGAUUGAUCCCUUUUGGAUAGGAUCGAUCGAGUGUAAAGGCAGGAGCCAAUUUUGUUGAACCUAGGAAGAACCGAUCUAUCCCCUCUUUGACAAGAUCGAUCGGGUAUUCAACCAGUAGCCAAAAUGACUUGAAAAUAUGCAAAAUCGAUCGAUCCCCUUCAAACCCAAUCGAUUAGUUCCAUGCAAAAGCCCAAAAUCGAUCGAUCCUUCACUUCACCCGAUCGAUCGAUUCAUGAAUUUUAGGCGUGAUAAAUUCAGGUCCUCACUUGUUUGAUCGACCCUUUCAUCUUUCCUCUCUUAUUCAUCUUCUUUCCCAACUCCUUUUCUCUACACCCUAGAUAUUUCUACUAAAAAUUGACUCUUUCUCUUACAAAUUUCUCUUGUAAACUCGCUACCCAUAAUCUCCUAUGACACCCAAAACCAAAGUCACAGCUAGAUGAUGAAACCCUCCAAGAGAGGCCUCAAACUCCACCAUGAAGCCUUUUUUCAACCAAAAUUUCAACAAUCCCAACACCAAUAAGUGGUAUGAGACACACUUUGCUCAUCGGGAAGUAAAACCUAAAAGGGUAAUCUCACUAGACUUCCUUCAAUCCAUAGAGUUUUCCUAUUUGCAUACUUUUGAGUCUUUUGGAUUGAUGCCUUACUUGUGUAUAGAGAGUCGCUUAUUCCAGAAUUUGGUAAGAGUAUUCUAUAGUAAUGCUAGCUAUGUUCAAAUUAGAGGAACAAAUAGGUAUUAGCUUGUUAGGUUCAGAACAUAUGUAAUGGGGAAGGAAAUCUUAGUUACAAAACAAGUGCUAGCUGAGGCCUUUACAUUAGCUGAUGAAGCGGAGACAAAUCCUAGAUGUGAUAUAGUGUAACUAGCUCAAGAUAUCUUUAGAAAUCAUAAUUUACAGGUUGCUUCCACUUAAGCCUCUAGGUUACCCUUGCAUGAUCGGUUGUUACACCUUAUUGUAACCCAUGUGUUAGCCCCUUUUGGGAUCCAAUACUCCACCAUUAGGAAACAAGAUUAUUGGUGGAUGUACAAGAUCAAGCAUGAAUGGAAACCAAAUUUGAUGCACUUCAUUUUUAGUGACAUGAUAAGAAUUAUCUAGAAUAGAGAUGUUACUCUGGUAUAUGGGUAUGCUAUCAGCAAUCUUUUGAGACAUUUGAAAGUAAACACUAAAGGUGACCAAGAUAUGUGUAUCAAUGACCCAUUUAGUAUUCUUGGGCCUCCCACAUUGCAUAGUAUGGGGUAUGUUGAAACUCUAGUUGGCCAAUGGGUUAAAAAUGGGGAUAUUGGUGUUGCACAAGAGGAAGAGGAAGAGCAAAACCCUGUUAAUAUGCCUGCACCUCAAGAAGAACCCCAUAGCACACCUUUUGACACUCAAAGUGCCCUAGAAAUGCUCUUACUUCAUAUGAAUAGCCUGCACUCGGUGGUUGGCACUAUGAGCACGAGAUUGGUGUCCAUGGAGAAAAUUUAAAAUGACCUUGUGACAAAAGUCCGGCAUAUUCGAGUUGAUAUUGAGCAUAUGAGGUCUACUCUUCAGCACAUGGGACAGUCUUCAUAUUACUCUCCUCCUUCACCUCCAUCUCUUCAUUCUCCACCUCCACCUCACUAAAGCCUUCCUACUGCCAUGACUUAUGUUUUCCCACAUUUUUUUUUGUAAAUAUAACUUUGCAUUAUGGCUUGUAGACUUUGAUCUUUAUAUUAAUGCAACCUAUCUUUUAUUCUCUUGUGGCUUGUGACUUUGUGGCUUAUGGCAUUGGUGUGUAGUUUCAUGUUUGAAGUGACCUUGAGUGGCCCUAAAUUACUUAUUCCCUCAUUUUGAUUUACUUCAUUUAGUAUUUUUGCUAUGAAAAAAAGGGAGAGAAAUAUUGGUAUGAAAAUUUGAUGAUGUAUGAAAAUCUAAUGAUGUUUUGAUAUUGAUGGAUAUAUUGAUGGUUAUGGUGAUAUUACUCUUGUCUAGUUGCCUUAAAUCUUAUGCCUAAAUUCAGAGGGAGCUUCUUUUCAAAAGGAAAAAUGUUUUUCAUGCAAAUUUUUCAUUUGGUUUUGUCAUAUCAAAAAGGGGGAGAUUGUUGGCCUUGAAUUGAUUAAGAGUUUUGAUUUGACAAAAUAAAAAUUUACCAAACUUGUUUUAAUCUUGUCUAAGCUUAAAUUGAACAAUUUUCCACCCGUCCAUCUUGCCAAAAUUCAUUUGAGAACCAAAAGAACUCAAAUUCUUGGAAUAAAAUAUGAUUUAUGCAAGUUUUGAUAGAAGGGAUCGAUCCCCUUAGGGAAGGGAUCAAUCCCCUCCAUUAUCAGAUCGAUCCUCUAGCAAAAGGGAUCGAUCCUGUUUUCAACUAGAAUUGAAAGCUCUCAAGAUUUGGUAAAAAUAGAUCGAUCCCCUCCCUAUAGGGAUCAAUUGGUUAGUAGAACAGAUCGAUCCCCUCAUUCAAAGGAUCGAUCACUUUUUCAUACAGAAUACUUUUCUCGUGCAAUUUUCCAGAAAAGGGAUCGAUCCUCUCACAUAGAGGAUUGAUCACCUAAGGCAAGGGAUCGAUCCCCUUUUAAAGGGAUCGAUCAGUUGCUCAAACAGAAUGUCCCCAAAGUGUGAAAAUCCAGAAAAGGGAUCGAUCCCCUCACAUAAGGGAUCGAUCACCUAAAAGAACAGAUCGAUCCUCUCAAGCAAGGGAUUGAUCGGGUAAGGCAAAAUAGGCAUAAAAUCGGGCUUUCUCAAACAUGAACCAAUCGAUCCCUUAAGGGAGGGGAUCGAUCCCCUGAAGGCCUGAAACUCCUAACGGCUAUUUUCUGUAUGAAAUUUUUACAAGUUUGAAGCAUUAAAUGCAAUCCAAUGACUCUCAACUUCUUUCUAACUAUAAAUCAAGCAUUUCACAGUAGACCAAGGGUAACAAGAGCUAAAGAAACUUAUUACUAUUCACCUACCAAUCUGCUUAAGCAUUCAAAGCUAUAAAAAAAGAAAAAGUGCAAAAUUCAUAUCAAUUUUUCUCUACUUUCUUAUCUAUAUAUUUGUGUACUUCAACUUAGCAAACACCUAGCCUUUGUGAGGUUCUUAAAGUUUGCCAAACACUUCUGAAUUUUUUGCAUUAUGAGUGUGUAAGCUUAAGGGGGCGGAUAACCCUUAGGAGUGUAUGUUGUUGAGUUUGUAAAGUUGUGUGAAAGCUUAGUUGUAAUCUUCAUCAAAUAGUAGAUUGAACUCCUUAGCAAGAGAGGUUAAGGGAGAGGACGUAGGUGCCUAAGAAAGGAUCGAACCUCUAUAAAUCUUGGUGUUAAUUCUCUAACCCUAUCUUUUGUUUAUAUUCAUCUAUUGUACUUAUCUAUUUUGAUAAUUUAUGGCUAUUGAAUAUUAUCUUUGAAAAUUUUAUUAAAACCAAUUCACCCCAUUUCUUGGUUUAUUCCAAGUCUUUGAGCUAACAAUUGGUAUCAGAGCCAAUGCUCUUUUUGUAGGUUUAAUAGCCCAAGAGUGAUCUUAAAAAUAGUUCAAAGAAAUAUGGUAAUCAAUGUGAAAAAACCAUCCUCAAGCUAUAACAACUAAACCUGCCAACAAGAGAUGUGUCUCAUGGCAAAUGAAAUAGUUGCAACAUCUUUUGGAAGUGAAGGGCAUUCAACUAUUAGACCCCCUCUCUUUGCUGGUGACAAUUACUCCUAUUGGAAGACUAGGAUGAGGCUGUUCAUUCAAGCAAAUGAUUAUGAAGUCUGGAGGGUCAUUGUAAAUGGUCCUCAAAUUCCAAUGAAGAUGGUGGAUGGUAAGGAGGUGAUAAAGCUAGAGAGUGAAUGGGAUGUCAAUGACAUGAAGAUGGCUCAACUCAAUGCCAAAGUAAUGCAUACACUCUUUUGUGCAUUGAGACCAAGUGAAUGUAAUAGAGUCUCCUUAUGUGAAAAUGCAAAGGAAAUUUGGGAUAAGCUGGCUGUCACCCAUGAAGGUACAAACCAAGUGAAAGAGAUAAAAAUAGGUAUGCUUACUCAUGAUUAUGAGCUGUUCAAGAUGAAACCCGAUGAAACCAUUAGUGAGAUGUCAAAUCGCUUCACCGACAUCAUUAAUGGUUUAAAGGCUCUUGAGAAGAUAUAUUCAAAUGUGAAGAUGGUAAAGAAAAUUCUCAAUAGUCUACCAAAGAGUUGGGAAGCCAAAGUGAUAGCCAUUGAAGAGUCCAAAGAUCCUCAUACACUUUCUUUAGAUGAACUAAUGGGCUUUCUCCUCACUUAUGAAAUAAAGAUAAAAAGGGGACAAGAACUAGUCAAGAAAGGUGGCAUUAAUCUCAAAUCUACCUUUCAAGAGAAUGAAAAAAUUUUUGCUCAAGAGGAGGAUGAUGAAGAUGAAGAGAUGCCCAUGUUUGCAAAGUAAUUCAAAAAGGUCAUGAGAAUGAACCAGUUCCCAAGUAGGAGGAAACCACAAAGGGAGAUGACUAAAAGGGAAUCAAGUAGAAAAAAAAAGAUAAAAUUAUUUGCUAUGAAUGUAACAAAUCGGGUCACAUUAAACUUGAUUGUCCCUUGUGGAAAAAGCAAAACAUGACCAAGCCAAAGAGGAAAGCUAUGGUAGCAACAUGGAGUGAUAGUGACUUCUCCGAUGAUGAAUCAAAUAAGGGAGAAAUAGCCAACCUAUGUCUCAUGGCUCUUGAUGAGCUCAAAGUAACCUCUAAUCCAUGUGAUUCAAAUUAAUACUCAUUUAAUGAACUACAAGAUGCCUAUGAUGAAUUAGCUAUAGAAUUUGAGAACUUGAGCAUCAAAUAUAGAAAAAUAUUAGUAAAUUGAAACUAAAAAAUGAGUCAUUGACUAAAACAAAAGAAGACUUAAAAAAAGAAGUUGAGCUCUUGAAGGUAAAUGUCAAUGACUUGACUAAGAAAAAUGAAAAUCUGCAUAAUUCAUUUCUAGAUUUUAUAUGGGUCAUCAAAAGCUCAAUGAUAUGCUAGAAACACAAAAAGCUUUCUUUAAUAAAAAUGGACUAGGUUAUAAUGGUGACAACAAAGAGACUCACUUGAAGAAUUUUCAUGUUAAGCCAAAUGAUUCAUCUAGCAUGUGUGCACAUUAUCAUAAAUUGGAUCAUUCCAUAAAAUAUUGUUCCUUGAAGAAAGUCACUUAUAGAGGUAAGCUCAUUAGGAGAGUGUGGAUUCCAAAAAAAGUUAGCACAUCUCUAGAUGAGGCUACUAAAAUGAAGUGGAUUCCAAAAGGUAUAAAAAUUGUUAGUACUAACUUUCAAGGACCCAAGAAAAUUUAGGUACCCAAAACAAAAAUUUAAUUGUGUUUUUGUAGGUGGAUGAGCAUUGCUACAAAGCAAAUUCCAGCAAGAACAAUCAAUGGUACCUUGAUAGUGGAUGCUUAAAACACAUGACCGGAGACAAAACUCUCUUUAAGGACUUUAAAGCAAAAAGUGAAGGAGAUGUUGCAUUUGAUGACAACUCAAAAGGCCAAACUAAAGGGAUUGGCUCCAUUGAUAACAAUUCCUCUACUUCUAUUGAAAAUGUUUUACUUGUGAAAGGCCUCAAGCAUAAUUUACUUAGCAUUAGUCAAUUAUGUGAUAAAGGAUUUAGGGUUGUAUUUGAAUCCAUGUGCUGUCAAGUAAUUGAUGUCAAAAGUAACAAGCUUAUUUUUGUUGGACACCAUCAAGGAAACAUUUAUGUAGUGCAUCUAGAUGACCUAUCCUCUAAAAAUGUUUAUUUUAUGGCUCAAAAAGAAAAUGAGAGUUGGAUUUGGCAUAGAAGGCUUGGACAUGCAAGUAUGCAUGUAAUUUCAAAACUUUCUCAAAAUAAUUUGGUUGUUGGUUUGCCAAAGUUGAAAUAUGAAAAUGACAAGGUUUGUGAUGCAAGUGCUCAAGGAAAACAUAAAAAAAUUUCUUUCAAACCUAAGAAUUGCAUUUCAACUACUAGACCUCUUCAACUAUUGCAUAUUGAUCUUUUUGGCCCUACUAGAACAAUGAGUCUUGGUGGAAAAUAAUAUGGGUUUGUUAUUAUUGAUUAUUUCACUAGAUUCACAUGGGUUCUCUUUUUGCAUUCAAAGAAUGAAGCUUUUGAAAAAUUCAUCACUUUUAGUAAACAAAUACAAAAUGAAAAAGGUUAUUCAAUUGCUAGUAUUAGAAGUAAUCAUAGAAAGGAAUUUGAAAAUCUAGGCUUUAAUAUAUUUUGUAGUGAAAAUGGUAUUAGUCAUAAUUUUUCUGCUCUUAGAACUCCUCAGCAAAAUGAGGUAGUAGAAAGGAGAAAUAGAACUUUAGAAGAAAUGGCUAGAACCAUGUUUUGUGAAAACAAUCUACUUAGAUAUUUUUGGCAAAAGUCAUAAAUACUUCUUGCUAUAUUAUAAAUAGAACUAUGAUUAGGCCAAUUUUAAAGAAAACUCCCUAUAAACUUUUUAAAGGAAAAAGGCCUAACAUAAGUUAUUUUCAUCCUUUUGGUUGCAAAUAUUUUAUUUUGAACAAUGGAAAAGAUGACCUUGGAAAAUUUGUUGCAAAAAGUGAUGAAAGAAGUUUCCUAGGAUAUUCUUUGAAUUCAAAAGCUUAUAGAGCUUUCAAUAAAAGAACAUUAGUGGUGGAAGAGUCUAUACAUGUUAUUUUUGAUGAAUCUAACCCACCUCCGAGCAAGGUGCUUCUUGAUGAUGAUGAUGUAGGUAUAUUUCAAGAAUAGAUCAAUGAUGCACCUUAAGACAUUGAGGAGAAAAAUCAAAAGGAAGAAGAUGAGUUUCUAGAGGAGCCACAACACGUAGAGAAAGAGCCAAAUCAUUCUAGAGAAAGAAAGUAUGUCAAAGAUAGUGAAAUCAUUGGUAAUCCAACUCAAAGGAUAAAAACUAGAUCUUCUUUUAAUGUGUGUAAUUAUGUUGCUUUCCUAUCCCAUAUUGAACCCAAAAAUAUAUAUGAACCAUUAGGAGAUGAUCAUUGGAUUUUGGCCAUGCAAGAGGAAUUGAACCAAUUUGAAAGAAGCCAUGUAUGGAAUCUUAUACCUAGGCCUAGUGACCAUCCCACCAUAAGCACCAAAUGGGUCUUUAGGAAUAAAAUGGAUGAGAAUGGGAAUAUCAUUAGAAACAAAGCUAAAUUGGUAGCUCAAGGGUAUAGGCAAGAGGAAAGAAUAGAUUACGAUGAAACUUAUGCCCCAGUAGCAAGGUUAGAAGCCAUAAGGAUGUUGCUUGCAUUUAUAUGUUUUAAAAAUUUUAAGCUUUUUCAAAUGGAUGUCAAGAGUGCAUUUCUUAAUGGUUUUAUAAAUGAAAAAAUGUAUGUAGAGCAACCUCUCGGUUUUGAAAAUCUAAAAUUUCCAAAUCAUGUUUAUAAAUUGAAAAAAGCAUUAUAUGGUUUAAAACAAGCUCGUAGAGCUUGGUAUGAAAGAUUGUCAAUUUUUUUGAUUGAAAUGGUUUUAAUAGAGGGAAGGUUGACACUAUACUUUUUAUUAAAACAAAAGGUAAGGACAUUCUCAUAGUGCAAAUUUAUGUUGAUGAUAUUAUAUUUGGUGCUACUAAUGAAAUUCUUUGUCAAAAAUUUGCUAAGAUUAUGCAAGGUGAAUUUGAAAUGAGCAUGAUGGGAGAACUCACAUUCUUUUUGGGACUACAAAUAAAGUAAACAAAAGAUGGCACCUUCAUAAAUCAAGUCAAACACAUCAAGGAUUUACUCAUAAGGUUUGAAUUGGGAGAAUCAAAGCCUUGUUUGACACCAAUGAGCACCUCAACAAAGCUUGACAAGGAUGAAUAAGGUAAAUGUGUUGACUCUAAACUAUAUAGGGCUAUAAUUGGUUUAUUGCUAUAUCUUACUGCUAGUAGACCUGAUAUUAUGUUUAAUGUAUGUCUAUGUGCUAGAUUUCAAUCAUCUCCUAGAGAAACACAUUUGUCUGCUGUUAAAUGGAUUUUUAUAUACCUUAAGGACACCUCAAAUUUAAGAUUAUGGUAUCCAAAAGGCUCUUUCUUUACUUUACAUGCCUAUUCCGAUGCGAAUUUUGGUGGGUGCAAAAUUGAUAGAAAAAGCACUUCUGGUACUUGUCAAUUGUUUGGAAAUAUGUUCAUAUCAUGGUUUUCCAAGAAACAAAAUAGUGUUGCUCAAUCUAUAAUCGAAGCUGAAUAGUGGCUAGAAGUUGUUAUGCCCAGGUUUUGUGGAUUAAGCAAUAAUUGGAGGAUUUUGGAACAACCAUGAAUCAUAUUUCCAUUAAAUGUGGCAAUACUAGUGCCAUCAACCUCACUAAAAAUCUAAUUCAACACUCUAGAACCAAACAUAUUGAAAUUAGGCAUCAUUUUAUUAGAGAUCAUGUUCAAAAGAGUGACAUUGUACUUGAAUAUGUUGACACCUUGCAUUAACUAGCUGAUAUCUUCACAAAACCUCUUGAUAGGGAUAGAUUUUAUGCAAUUAGAGGUGAACUUGGUGUGAUGAAUGCUCCUUGAAGUGAAAUUCUUGAUGUUAUGAUGUAUGGUGCACUUUUGAUUAAUUAAAUGUAUGUUUUUCUGAAAUUUUUUUCUGGUUUGUGCAUGAUUGUAAAAUGCUUGUUUGAAUGAUCAUAUUGCAUGAUUUUUAACAUGCUACAGCAAAAAUCAAUCGAUCCCCUUUGAAAUGGAUCGAUUGGUUCUUCACCCCUAGCCAAAGUAAAAGGAAAACAUAGGGAACCGAUCGAUCCCCUUUGGACAGGAUCGAUCGGGUGUAAAAGCAGUAGCCAAUUUCGUUGAACCCAGGAAGAACUGAUCGAUCUCUUCUUUGAUAAGAUCAAUCAGGUAUUCAACCAGUAGCCAAAAUGACUUGGAAAAGCGUAAAACUGAUCAAUCCCCUUCAAACCUAAUCGAUCAAUUCCAUGCAAAAGCUCAAAAUCGAUCAAUCCCCAUUUCACUCGAUCGAUAAGUUCGUAAAUUUUAGGCGUGAUAAAUUUGGGUCCUCACCUGUUUGAUUGACCCUUUCAUCUUUCCUCUCCUAUUCAUCUUCUUCCCCAACUCUUUUUCUUUACACCCUAGAUAUUUUCACUAAAAAUUAACUCAUUCUCUUACAAAUUUCUCUUGUAAACUCGCUACCCAUAAUCUCCCAUGGCACCCAGAACCAAAAUCAUGGCUGGAUGAUGAAACCCUCCAAGAGAGGCCUCAAGCUCCACCAUGACGCCUUCUUUCAACCAGAAUUUCAACAAUCCUUACGCCAAAGAGUAGUAUGAGACACAUUUUUCUCACCGGGAAGUAAAGCCUGGAAGGAUAAUCUCACUAGACUUCCUUCAAUGCAUAGAGUUUUCCUAUUUGCAUACUUUUGAAUCUUUUGGAUGGAUGCCUUACUUGUGUAUGGAGAGUCACUUAUUCGAGAAUCUAGUAAGAGUAUUCUAUAGUAAUGCUAGCUGUGUUCAAAUUGAAGGAAUAAAUAGGCAUUACCUUGAUAGGUUCAGAACAUAUGUAAUGGGAAAGGAAAUCUUUGUUACAAAACAAGUGCUAGCUGAGGCCUUUACGUUAACUGAUGAAGGGGAGACAAAUCCUAGAUGUGAUAUGACGCAACUAGCUCAAGAUAUCUUUAGGAAUCACAAUUUAUAGUGUCAUAACAUCUUGAUCCGGGGAUCUAUCGUUAGACAUUGACUUAAGGAGUCGCCACCAAUCUUUUUUAUCUAGGUGCGAUUGGCCACCUAAGGAAUCUAUCCUUUCGAGGAACACCUAAGUUUAAAGGUCCUUAGAAGAAUAGGUUCAGGUCUACUAACUAGAACAAGGCUCAGGAGUUCGGUUACGUGUGAGGAAGGUUAUAGCACCCUCACAACGCCCAUAAAAGAUGAUACCAGCUUAAUUUUGUGUUAUCCAAUAAGCCUUAAAAUUUUACCAAGUAAUUAAUUAUUAGAAAUUACUCUUAAUUGACUCUAAUACUUUUAGCAAAAAAUUAAAAAAAUUCUCUCACGUCAAGAGUAUGCAAGAAAACUAUUGUUUCGCUUGCAGAGACUCCAUCGUCUGAUUAUUUAACAUUAAAGAAAAUUCAAGAAAAUAAAAAGGAAGAAAAAAUGAUUGCUUUUGUACAGAGAGAAUUGAUACUUUCAACUUUUCCUCAAAAUAUUUUUUAAAAACUUUAAUUUCGAGAAAAAUUGAUACUUUUAACUUUUCCUCAAAAAUCCACUUUUGAAAACUUAUUUUUAAGAAAAAUUGAUACUUUCAACUUUUUUCCAAAAAUAUUUUUUUUUAGGAAGCUUAUUUUCAAGGAAAAUUGAUACUUUCAACUUUUCCUCAAAAAUAUUUUUUUUAAUUUUAUUUAAAGAAAUAAAAGAAAAAAUAAAAAUAAAAUAAAAAUAAGAUAAAAAGUAUUAAACAAUUCUAAUAUAAUAAUAAUAAUAAUAAAUAAAUAAAUAAAUAAAAUAAAAUAAAACAUUAGAACGACUCGGCUUGGUAGCUCGGCUCAGUGCGGCUUAAGGAAGAAAAGACGGCUUGAAGAUGCAGCUUGGCUUGGAUCGGCUCGGCUUCGAAAAUGGCUAGCACUCGGGUUGAACGCGAGUUGAAAGCAGGUUAAUGCUCGAGUUGGGUCGUCCGAUUUCAAAACGCACGGAUCCUCUGGGCACAGUAAUGCUAAAAUGACAUCAUUUUCAGCCAGUAUAAAAUGCUAUCCCUUCUGUUUUUUUAGCAGACCGAUCCUUCCCUCUUUUUCUCUUCCCUUCAUUUCCUCUGUCUUCUCUCUAAACCACGAAGAACUCCAGUUGAAUUCUCGUUGGAUUCUGAAAAUUUUCAUCGAAAUCUGGGUUUUUUGUCAGGAGUUCAUCGAAAAGCUGAUCGAUUUCUGGAAAUAGUCGUCAGAAACUGGGAAGCUAGUCGAAAAAUUCAAACUUCCUCGAAAAAUUCAACCGGAAUCUGAAAAUUUUUCAAAAAUUUCUAGAAAAAAAAUUCACCAAAAAUUUUAAAAAAUUUUCACCGAUUCUUAGAGCUAUUUUAACGCAGAAAAACCUUUUUUUAGCUUCUGUUUCUUCUCUGUUCACUCUCUCUCAGCCAAUGUCUGCCUUUUUGUGUGUUGGUCCUUUGAUUCGUGGAUCUAUUUAUAGGGAUUGAUCAGAAGAGUUUCUGAUCAAUCUCAACUCCUCCUUGGAUUGGGAUUCAAUCAUUGAAUCCAAUAUGGACUCUGAUUGAAUCCCCAUUCACAGUAGGAUUCCCCAAAUUUCAUUCCAAUCUCAACCGAAAAAAAGAAAAAGAAAAUAAAAAAUGUUAAUAGAAAUUAAAAGAAAAUAAUCAGAUAGAUAAAAAUAUUAACAGGUAAGUAAAAAUAAUAAUAGAUAAAUUAUAAUAUAUAAAUAGAUAAAUAAUAAUAAAUACAUAUAUAUAAUAUAUAAAUAGAUAAAUAAUAAAUAUAUAUAAAUAUUAACAGAUAAAAAAUAAUAAUAAUAAUAAAUAUAUAUUAAUAAAUAGUAAUAAUAAAUAAAUAAAUAAUAAAUACAUAAGAUACAAAAUAAAAUAAAAUAAAAUACAAAAUAUGAAAUAAAAUGGGCCUACCCAUUUGGACCAGGCCCAAUUGAUCCGGGCCUAGACCAAAUUGGGUGUCUACAGCUGCCCCUCUUUGCAUAUUUUCUGUGAAACAGAAAUUGCACAAAGACAUAGACACUCAUUCAAGACUCCACUCGACCUCUUUUUUCAUUUUUUUUGUGUUAAAAAUUUGAUCAAAACUCCUCUAAGUAAAGGUUCAACGAUUAUAGACAAAGCUUUUCUAAUCAGAGGCUCGAUGACUUUUGAAAAUAAAUAAACAAAGCUCCUCUAAUCAGAGGCUUUUGAAAAUAAACGGCUCUUCUAAUAAGAGGCUCUACGACUUUUGGAAAUAAUAAACAAAGCUCCUCUAAUCAGAGGCUUUUGGAAAUAAACUGCUCCUCUAAUUAGAGGCUCAACGACUUUUAAAAAAUAAAUGGCUCCUCUAAUCAGAGGCUCAACGACUUUGAAAUUAAAUAAAGCUCCUCUAAACAGAGGCUCAAUGACUUUUGGAAAAUAAAUGGCUCCUCUAAUCAAAGGCUCAACAACUUUGAAAAAAUAAAUAAAGCUCUUUGACAAUCAUGUCUAAAGGAGUUGAAAAUCGUGUUUGAAGGAAUUUCAGGAGAUUAUGCCCAAAGGUCUUACAAAUCAACCCUGAUACCGAGAGACAUCCUCUUUUAAGGAUUAGAAACUUAACUUACAAGCUUUUUUUCAAAUUUGAAAAUGUCUUCACAUUUGUCUUCUCUAUGUGGGAUGUUGGAAUACCCCUGCUUCUUGAAUUUAUGCACUAUAUUUUCUUAAAUGUAGUAUAUGCUAUGCAAUGCGUGUGAAAUUCAAUGCAUGCUAUGUGAAUGUUGGCUACUUGAUUCCUAUUCAAUUAUGGUACUCAAGUUUUUCAAGCUCUUUUCUUGGGCAUCGAACCCUUUGAUUCUUCAAAAACCAGAUUACACUGCUCUUUUAAGAUCAAGCCAGUGUAGCUCUCAAUCAUCUCUUCCACUCACAUUCUUCCUAUAAGAAAUCUCUUUCCAAAUUCAAUGUCCUUAUCAGGAAUUGAACAUCUCGAUUCUGCCUUUAUCACUCUUGACUUAUUCAAUGUAAUGUAAAAAUCUUUCAUGCCAUUAUUCAUUCAUCAAUCAUUAUUUCAAACUCAAAAAGUAAGAAUGCAUUUGCACAUUUCUUCUAUUGUAGAGUAUUAAGAGGAAAAGAAUAAGAAUGGUUGAAAAAUCAUCAACAGAAUAGGGACACAAAGAGUGAAAUAAAAUGUCUUUUAUUAACAAAAUAUUGGCUAAUUUUGGCCAAGGGAGAAUUACAAGGAUAAGUAUGGGGACAAAGCCCAAAAAUGAACAAUCGGAUAAUCAUGAUAACACAUUUCAAGGUUUUUCUGAAAACCCAACCAUCUGAUGUAUUUAACAACUUGGAGCUCCUCCGAAUUUGCUAGUCUCCAUGCCAACGAAUUUUAAAAUUUGAUGCUACAUUUUCUUUAUCUAAGCUGCCUUUUCAGGUUUUUAACUUAGACAAACUCCUUAUGACUCAAACCACCUUUUUAGGGUUUUCACCUUGAGUCCUCCUUUUUCAUUCACUUUUUUUUAUUUUCUUUUUUUUCAUUUUUUCUUUUUCAUUUUCUUUUUUUUUUCAUUUUCAUUUUUUAAGCAUAGUUUUUCUUCACAGCAUCAAAAUUUAUAGGAUGGGGUAAGUCAUUUCCAUCCAUCUGAGCUAGUAUCAGCACUCCACCCGAAAAAGUUCAUCUCACCACAUACGGUCCUUCCCAAUUCGGAGUCUAUUUUUCUUUAUUAUCGUGCUAGAUUGAGGGAUUCUCUUCAAGACCAACUCUCCUUCUCGAAAGUAACGGGGUCGAAUCUUUUUAUCAUGAGCCCUCAUCAUUCUUCUUUGAUAUAGCUGACUAUAGUACAAUGCAGUCAAUCUCUUUUCUUCUAUGAAAUUUAACUAUUCAUAACGUUCUCGAAUCCAUUUAGCUUCUUCUAACUCAACUUCUUUUAGAACCCUUAAGGGUAAGAUCUCCAAUUCCACUGGUAAUACAGCUUCCAUCCCAUAAACCAAAGAAAAUAGGGUUACCCUAGUAGAGGUGUGCACUAACGUUCGAUAUGCAUGCAGUGCAAAUGGUAACUUCUCGUGUCAAUCUUUAUAAGUCUCGAUCAUCUUUCCAAGAAUUUUUUUUAUAUUUUUGUUGGCUGCCUCAACUGCCCCAUUCAUUUUUGGACGAUAUGGUGUCGAGUUAUGAUACUUGAUCUUGUAUUGAGCACAUAUUUCUUGCAUCAUCUUACUAUUUAGAUUCUUGGCAUUAUCUGAAAUAAUUUUCUUUGGAAGUCCAUAUCUACAAAUGAUCUCUCUUUUUAUGAACUUACAAACCAUAGAUCAUGUUACAUUUGCAUAUGAUGCUACCUCUACCCAUUUUAUGAAGUAAUCUAUCAUCACAAAAAUAAAUCUAUGCCCAUUAGAAACCUUUGGGGUGAUAGGACCAACGACAUCCGUGCUCCACACUGAGAAUGGCCAAGGUGGUGCCAUAACAUGUAAAGCAGAUGGCGGAGCAUGGAUCUUAUCAGCAUAUAUCUAGCAUUUAUAGCACUUACGAGCAUAGUCAAUGCAAUCACUCUCCAUUGUUAACCAGUAAUAUCCCGCUCUAAUUAUCUGUCUUGCCAUCAUAUGUCCACUGGUAUGUGCCUCACAUAUUCCAUCAUGCACCUCUUCAAUGAUUUUUCUUGCUUCAGCCUUACUUACGUACCUUAGUAAUACCUGAUCCCGGUUUUUUUUGUACAGAACAUCUCUAUCUAGGAAAAAGCUCAUAGCCAAUCUUCGGAUGACCCUUUUAUCAUUUUUUAUUGCUUGAACUGGGUAUUGUUGAUCCUUAAUAUAUUGUAAGAUAUCAUAAUACUAGGGCUUCCCAUUUUUCUCAUCUUCUACAUUUGAGCAAUAAGUUGACAUAUCCUUAACAUCUAGCCUGAUGGGCUGAAUGUCUGUAUUGUCAUUAAUUUGAAUAAUUACAGCCAAAGUAGCCAAUACAUCGGUAAUUAGAUUCUCUUCUCGAGGUAAAUGAUUAAAUUGGAUAUCUUCAAAUUAUUUUAUAAACUUUAAAAUAUAUUUAUGAUAUGGAACGGGUUUUGAAUCUCUCGUCUCCUAUUCUCCUUUCAACUGAUAUAUAACUAGAACUGAGUCCCCAAACAUUUUUAAUGCUUUCAUUCUUCUAUCUAUAGCAACUUGUAAUCCCAUGACACAUGUCUCAUAUUCAGCGAUGUUAUUUGUGCAAUUAAAAUUUAACCUUGCUGUUACAGGGCAGUAUUGUUCUUCUAGGGAAAUCAGAACUGCCCCAAUUCCAUGUCCCAAGGCAUUGGCAGCUCUAUCAAAAUACAUUAUUCAACAUUUUUCUCCAUGCUCCCCUUUUUUCAGUUGAGAAAUAGUCAUUAGAUCUUCAUCAGGGAAUUCUAACCUCAUUGGUUCAUAUUCUUCAGUAGCACGAUCUGCAAGAAACUCCGUUAUAGCACCCUCUUUUAUCGUGUUUUGGCUUACAUAUAUAAUGUCAUAUUCCGAGAGCAUUACUUGCUAUCUAGCAAUUUUUUCAGACAAAAAAGGCUUCUCGAAGAUAUAUUUAAUUGGAUUCAGUUUUGCUAUGAGCCAUGUGGUAUGAUAGAGCAUAUAAUGUCUAAGUUCUUUGGCAGUCCACGCUAAUGGACAACACAUUUUCUCCAAUGAGAAAUACUUGGAUUCAUACUCUGUAAAUUUUUUACUCAAAUAGUAAAUAGCUCUCUCCUUUUGUCUAGACUCAUCUUGUUACCCCAGCACACAUCCUAUUGAAUUUUCACAUACUGUCAAGUAUAGAAUUAAAGGUUUCCCUGGAGCAAGUGGUACCAACAUUUGAAGGUUUGACAAGUAUUGCUUAAUUUUAUCAAAAGCCACUUAACAUUCCUCAUUCCGUUUUUCAAGAUUAUUCUUGUGGAGAAGCUUAAAUAUAGGAUCACAUUUAUAGGUAAACUGAGAAUUGUAAUUCAAUCUUUUCAAAAAACCUCGAACUUCUUUUGGUUUACUCGGAGGUGACAAAUUUUGAAUGGCUCGUAUCUUAUCUGGAUCGACUUCAAUUCCUCUUUCACUAACCAUAAAGCCUAGUAACUUCUCUGACUUUACCCUAAAAGUGCACUUGGUUGGGUUUAACUUGAGCUGGAACCUUCUUAAUCUCUCAAAUAACUUUCUGAGGCUGGUGACAUGAUCUUCAUCUUUACAAGAUUUUGCAAUCAUAUCGUCUACAUACAUUUCAAUCUCUUUGUGCAUCAUAUCAAGGAAGAGUGUUACUAUGACCCUUUGAUAUGUUGCCCUAGCAUUCUUUAACCCAAAAGGCAUGACCUUGUAAUAAAAGAUUCCCCACAUAGUUACGAAAGUAGUCUUUUCCAUAUCAUAUGUAGUCAUUUUUAUCUGAUUGUACGCUGAGAAACCAUCUAUAAAGGAAAAAAUUGAAUGACUAGUCAUGUUAUUUACAAGUGUGUCAAUAUGAGACAAAGGAAAGUUAUCCUUUGGACUAGUCUUAUUCAAGUCACGAUAGUUUACACACAUUCAUACUUUUCUAUCUUUUUUAAAAACUGGUACUAUAUUGGUUACCCACUCUUGAUACUUAGCCACUUGUAGAAAACUUGCAUCAAACUAUUUCUUCACCUCUUCUUUGAUCUUUAGUAACAUUUCAGGCUUUAUUCUUCUCAGUUUCUAUUAGACUGGCUUAUAUUUUGCUUUAAGGGCAAUCUAUGCUCUACUAUUUUCGUGCUCAGUCCUGACAUAUCCUAGUAAGACCAAGCAAACACAUUUAUGAAUUCUUGAAGUAAGUCUACCAAAUGUUGCCUAUCUCCUAAUGAAAGUGAAGUGCCAAUUCUGAUAUCUUUCUUAUUCUCUUCAUCUCUCAGAUUUACUAAGUCAACUAUCUCCUGAUGAGGCUCAAUUGGCUUAUUUUCUUGUUCAAUCAAUCUCAUUAGAUUCAAAGGUAUAACAUAUUCCUCAGAAUUCUCUUCAUUGUCAAUUUCAUUAGUGUUAAUUGAAUUCUCUAAACUAACCUCUUGGUUGUUAUCAUAAUUAUCUUCAUGUUCAUUUAAGGACCUGAAAUUGGAUGAAAUGGGAUAUGUUGGCAAAAUGUGUUUGGAAAAAUGGCAAUAAUGAAGACACAAGAAGAAAUGAAUGAAUGCAUCUUUCCUAAUUUUUAUUAAAAUAAUAGAAAGAUAAAUGACCCAAACAAGAAAGAUCACCCAAUACCUUGGGCAAUAGCUAUUGGGAUGUUACAAUUACAUUGUAUUAGUUUCAAAAGUCACAGGUAUUUUAAUGGCACUUCAAUUGCUCAGCUCAUAAUCUGGCGGACAAAGACAGACUCACCCCUCUUGAUUAAUCUCCACUUCAUCUUCAAUAGCAUCAAUGGUUAACUGGGCAAAAGCCCUUUUCACAUUUUUUUCUAUAUCUGGGUACAUGAAUCCUCCAGGUUUGAAAGUUUCAUAUAGGUAUGGGAUAACCAUUAGUCUUACUAUUUUUCCUGUUGGCCUUUUCUUGAUCUCCCAUUCUGCUACCUAAUAGCCUAGGCCUAGCCUUUCACUAUUGUCUAUCACUGUCAGGGGUUCUUUUAUUCCUUGCAAGUUCUUACCCAGCCCUAAUCUUGGAUACCAACCCUUAUUAAUGACUUGGCUCAUCACUAUCCUUGAAAAAAGCUAAUUUUUAAGUCCUUCACCUAUAGAAUUAACUAGCUCAAAAGAUUGAUAGGAGCAUUCUACAGCUUCUUCAGUAAUUUCUACAUACAAAGCAUUUAAUGGUUGGGUCACUAGCAUGUCUUCCUUUCCAACUACCAUUAUCAAUUGACCUUCUACAUUAAACUUAAUCUUUUGGUGCAAGGUAAAGGGCACAGCUCCUAUCAUGUGAAUCCAUGGCCUUCUCAAUAGACAACUGUAGGAUGAAAAGAUAUCCAUCACUUGAAACUUCACAUUAAAAAUGCAUGACCCAAUUUGCAAAGGCAUCUCGAUAUCUUCCAAGACUUCUUUUUUGGUCUCAUUAAAAGCUCUCACGAUCAUUUGACUGUCUUUCAUAUGAGAGUAGUCAAUGGGUAGCCUCGCCAAAGUUGACAUAGGCAUGACAUUGAUAGCAGAACCAUUAUCAAUAAGGACCUUGGCUAUGAUAUGGCUCUUACACUUGACCGUGAUAUGCAAAGCCUUGGCAUUUCUCUUUUCCUCUAAGGGAAUCUCAUCAUCGCUGAAUGAAAUGUGAUUCGGCAUGAUUAGAUUUCCAGCUAGGUGGUUCACAUAUUCAACAGAUAUAUUAUAUGCCACAUAUGCCUAGUUCAAUACUUUCAGCAGGGCUUUUUGGUGUGGUUUUGAGUUUAGCAGCAGUGAUAGUAAUGAGAUUCGAGCUGGUAUUUUAUUCAACUAUUCAACAACUGAAUACUCACUAUAUUUUACCAACUUUAAGAAUUCACAAACCUUUUUUUCUAAUACCGACUUCAGGUGAUCUUUCUUAGGUUCUACUUCGGGGUUAUUCUGUCUUUCUCCUUUCUUGGCCUUCUCUCUUUGAGCCAUCUUUAAUAUUUUUAGAGUGUAGUACUUUCCACUUCGGGUAGUGCCUUCUACACCAGUUAUAUUAGAGGUGUCAGCUUUAGAGAUAUCUUUUUCUUACCCCUGAACUACUGUAUCACAGCCAUAUCUCCAGGGUACAGCUUUAUCAUCUUUGUAUGGGAAAAAAGUUGAAACUUUAAAGUUUUCAACCUGAGAAUGAGUUUGUCUAUGAUUGACUUUGGCUUGUUCUCACAAUGAAUUGUCACUGGCUUUGGAAACAGCUUUGCAGACUUAUCAGUCAUGGACACCUCAAUACUUUCUAAGUCUUCUCCUUUUUCAUAGACCUAUAUCUUGUAUGAAUCCAAGAGUUUUUGCACUUCUUGGUGAAACUGUUCAUAAGUUUCGAUAGAGUGGCCCAUUGCUCCACUAUGAUAUUUACAACUAGUGCCGACUAUAAAUACUUCAUGAUAACUGUGUGGACUCACUAGUUGUAUCAUGUCAGUUUUUUAUAAAAUAUCAAACAGUUGACUAAGAGGUGUCUUAAUAUCUGCCAUUUUUUUCUUCACAUGACGCUUCUUUUUUUCACUUAGAGCAUUCAUAUUAUGAUUAGGUAAGGGAUUGCCACUAACAUUCGGUGCAGUCACCCCUCUUGUAUCAAAGCUAAUCAUUCCAUCCUUGAUCAACCGUUGCAUUUUAUGUUUCAGGGCAGUGUAAUUUUUGAUGGAGUGAUCGACAAUCCCAUAGUGAUAGUCACAAUGGGCUGUGGGAUCAUAUCAUUUAGGGUAAGGUGGCUUGAGGGGUUCUAACUUACUAGGAAUAAUCAAAUGACUGUUGUAAAGCUUCUGAUAUAAUUUUAUAUAAGUCAUUGAAAUUGGGUCAAAUACAGAUUUUUCAUGAGUAGUUCAUUACUCCCACGAACCACCCAUUGGGUUAGCUAGAUGAGUUUAGGGUCUUGAGGUAGGCUAAGUGUUAGGACUAUAUGUGGUGUUCUGAGGCCUAAGAGGAGGUUGAUAUGUCUAGGGAUAAGGUGACUGUAUAAAUAGUUGGUAUGGGUAAGGGGAAAUGUUAUUUACAGUAGGAUAAUAUGAAAGGUAUCCUUAUGAAGAGUAGGGUUGAUAACCCCCAAAUUACUGUCUAUCAAAGCUCACAGCCUGAGCUUCAGUCUCUUUUUUCUUCAGGACUCUUUUGCUAGAUGCUUCACUUCUUUUUAACUUACCAUUCUUGAUGGCACUCUCGAUAAUUUCUCUUAAAAUUAUCAUAUCAGUAAAAUUUUUGAUCGUAUUCCUUAUCAUCUUUUCAUAAUAGGGAGGUUUCAAAGUGCUAACAAAUAGCACUGUAGUCUCUUUCUCAGUCAGAGGAGGUUAUACCUGAAAAGCUACAUCCCUUCAUCUCUAGGCAUAUUCUUUAAAAGACUCGUUUGCCUUUUUUUCUAGGUUUUGUAAAGACAAACGAUCAGGAGCCAAAUUGAUAAUAUGUCAAUAUUGACUGAUGAAGUCAUGAGCCAUAUCGCUCCAAGAGUGAAUGCGGGUUCUGUCCAGCUGAACAUACCACCUGACAGUAGAGCCUGUAAGGUUAUCUGGAAAAACAUGCAUCAAGAGCUUUUCAUCAUGAGCAUGAGCUACCAUCUUCCGAUAAUACAUGAUGAUGUGAGUUUUGGGGCAUUUCGUACCAUCAUAUUUCUUGAAUUCUAGUACUUUGAACUUUGGUGGAAUGACUACAUUCAGGACUAAGCACAGCCCAGCAGCAUCAACAGAACUAUAAAAUCUAAUCCUUUCUACAGCCCGUAACCUUUGUUCCAGCAUACUAAUCUUUGUAUCUUCCUGAGGCUCUAUCGCUUUUGCUUUCUCUUUAUUUUUUAAGUCAUCUAGAUUAGGAACCGAUUUUACUACCUUUUCAGUAAAGAUAAGAUUUAUAUAGCUAUGGUAAUACCCUAGAUUGGAGGCUGAUGGCAUUUCAGGAUAUGUAGGAUAUGCGAAGUGUUGUGGUGGAACCUUUUGUGUAGACUGGGCUUGAAGUGGACAAAACCUGGAGGAUACAAAGGGUCAGCCACUUCUUGCAAUGGGAGAACUUGUUGGCUUGUAUUUUCUUCUACUCUUUUUCCCUUAUUCAGCUUAUUGAGAGCAUCUAAAAUCUUGCUCAACUCAUUUUUUUUGUGUGUUUUUUUCUAGCUUUUCAAAUCUGUGAGAGUUCUGCUCCAUUUGUCUAGCUCUAGCUCUUGUAUUGUAUCGAUGGACAGGGUUCUCAUUAGAUAGAGCUAUCUUUGAACCUUGAAUACCAUAUCUUAAAAUUAGUAAAUUUGCAUGACUAUCUCGUGGUUAUUUUGUUAAGUGUAAUGAAUGAGAAUACAAUGAAUGUAAAAUGCAUGUAUGCAAAGAACAUUGCCUUAAAGACGGUAUUCAACUAAAAUAUUUCAUUUAUUUCAAAAAACUUUUAUUUACUUUGGGUUUAUCAUCCUAGAAUUAUAACCAUAAAAUUGCUUGAUUUGUUCAUACUGGGCCUUGGCUUCUUCGAUGAAGUUUAACAGACACUGUCUAUGUUCUCUUACUGGGGUCACCACUUGUUUCAAUGCCUUUGCCUCUUCCACCAUCUCUCUUGCCUUGCAUACCCCUUUACAAAUUUGGGUCGUUAGGUGCUCAAUAUAUUUCUGUCUUCCUAAGUUCUUUCUUUUACCACACCAGACUUGGUAUGAUAACUCUCUAUGCUCCUUAACCAAUACAGCAAUGUAGUUUUCUUGUUCAUUCAACUUUUAUCUUAGCCUGCUCAGAUAACUGUUUAGCAUGUUAUUCUUUGUCUGUACUUGGGUACUUUCUUCUUCUAAUUUAGCAUAUUCAUGCUUCAAUCUUGCAUUUUCUUCAGUCAGCUCAACAAUGGUUAUCUCUUUGGCCCUUUCUCUCACACAUAACCUUUUAUGUUUUUGAUGUAGCUCUACUAAGUCUUCAACAGCUGUAUCACGUUCUCUAGCAAUCUUACAAACUUUAGCUUUAUGACUUUUAGCUCUAUCUUUCCACUGGUCUUUUUCUUCUUGAAGCUUUUAGAUUUUUUGCUUUAACUUACCCUUUUCAGACUCAAAUUCUUUUGUUGCAAGCUUUAAUUCUGAUGGUGUCUCUUCAAGUUUUUCUCUUAUUGGUGAUUGAAAGCUUUCAUAAGUGAAUACCAUUUUUUGUCUUCGUUUUGCUCUCCAAACCAAAUACCCUGGAGUGACUUUAUCAGUAGAUGAUUUAAGACUCACUCUUCAGGGACUUUUUCAUGCUUUAAUCAUCUUAUUCAUCCUCUGAAAUGCUUUUGGCUCACUGUAAGAGAAAUCUAACUGAUGUAGCCCAUGUGUCAUAGGAAUGAACUGUUCUACCCAAACUGCCUUUUUACUAGGAGUGGUGCAUAAUUUUUCGUUCCCCAUAAACCCAGAAGUGGGACCACUGUAUUAUCCCCACAUUGAUACAACAUAAGCUCAUGAUUCAUUCAUGGGGCCAACCAUCUUAAUUCGGCACUGGUAAAUUUUUACAGAAAAGUUAUCCAUUCUUUUUUAGAUUUUCAUUCUAACCACCCACUUUCACAGAAUUCUUUGAUCAGAGCUCGAUUACGGACAUAAAGCUUUGAGAAAACACCUUUUCUUCAUUUGAAAUGGCUUUUCAUCCAUAAGUACAAUACUGUAUGCAGCCUAUAAAAUGCCAUCCAUUUCGACGACAGUAACUCAAAGAUCUGAUAGUCUCUACUAAUAUUACCGUUGAAAGAUUAUAGCCAUUGAUCACACUCUCAAAGAAAUCGACCACCGCUAUUUUAAUGUAACCCAAAACCUUUAGGAAUAUCACCAUUCCGUAUAUGGCUAUGACAAAUAUAUCUAACCCCCUUUCUUCAUCGACAUGUUACACUAGAAACUCAUGAAAAAACUUUCAAGGUAGGCAAACCUAUUCUUAUUUCUUCCUUGUAUGAGAAUCCACAACUUCUUUGUCUAUCCCCAUGAGUUGAGCCAAACCCUUACAAAAUCUUGACUUGUGUUUUUUGACAUAUAUCUUAUUAGGAGCCGUGAGGUGCAAACCCAAUAAAAUCGAAUACUCUUCGAUGGUUAGAGUCAUAUCAACUUCAUUGAAGAUGAAACACUUGUAUGCAGGAUCCCAGAAUUGUGCUAUAGCUCUGAUUAGUUGAUCGUCGACAACUACUGCUAGAAGGUGUGUUAUAUGCCCGUGUCUUUGGCAAAACUGCUCUUGUCUUGACGGACUCAUCUUCUUUCAUAUAUCAAGCAAAUUUUUUAGAUUAUUCUGUUUGAGAAGGAUAGAUGUUUCUUAAGACAAGGUAGAAUCAUAUCCAAUUGGUAAACAAUCUUUCAUCUUCAGUUGAAUAUUUUCUGACUGGAUUCUUACUUUAUUGGGUGUCUCACAAGGUGCUAAUACAGAUGAAGAACAGACUAGUUGUUCUGUGGAGUCCAUUAAAAAUUUUUGUUGAAGACCGUCUUUCAAGCAAAUGUUUUUUAUGCAACUUUAUGAUAUGAGCAUGAACCAAUACAAAAGAAUGAGAGAAAAGGUUAGUAUGCCCAAAAAAAGAAAUAAAUAAAUAACUAAGUAAAUUAAAACAUCACACAGAAUAAGAGGAAUGAAUCCUAUGCUUUUGGUCAAUUCUAAAAGGGAAGAGUGAUGACCCUGUCUAUAGGUAAGGCACUCUUAGGGUUCACUAUAUGUGGUUUAAGGUUAAAGUCUAAAGGUUCUCAAAUUGCUCCUUACAUCAUUGUCCAUCACAGACUAGUAAGGCAUCCUAAUCCUUACCCAUUACAGGCUACAAGCGAAAAAGGUUCAAUUUGAGUGGGAGUAUUUCGUUAGCUACUGCGAAAGCAUUAAACCUUACGAAAGCAAUAGGUACUUUACUCCCUCCUAGAGGGAUAGAGCUCGAGUGUAUGAAUGACAUAAUUAAUAAAGUAAAUAAACAUGAAUGAAUAAUAACAUAUAUAUACAAAAAGGUUCAAUUUUAUUAGGCUUUUGGAUAACACAAAUUUAUUUGCUGACCUGACUCUCAGAGUUCUCCAGCGGAGUCGCCAAGCUGUCAUAACGUCUAGAUCCGGGGAUCUAUCACUAGACAUUGACUUAAGAAGUCGCCACCAAUCUUUUUUAUCUAGGUGCGAUUGGCCACCUAAAGAAUCUAUCCUUUUGGGAAACACCUAAGUUUAAAAGUCCCUAGAAGAAUAGGUUCAAGUCUACUAACCAAAAUAGGGUUCGAGAGUUCGGAAGGUUAUAGCACCCUCACAACGCCCAUCGAAAGAUGUUACCAACUUAAUUUUGUGUUAUCCAAUCAGCCUUAAAAAUUUAUCAAGUAAUUAAUUAUUAAAAAUUACUCUCAAUUGACUCUAAUACUUUUAGCAAAAAAUUAAGAAAAUUUCCUCACCUCAAGAGUAUGCAAGAAAACUAUUGUUUCACUAGCAGAGACUCCAUCGUCGGAUUAUUUAACAUUAAAGAAAAUUCAAGAAAAUAAAUAGAAAGAAAAAAAAUGAUUGCUUUUAUACAAGGAGAAUUGAUACUUUCAACUUUUUUCCAAAAUAUUUUUUAGAAACUUUAAUUUCGAGAAAAAUUGAUACUUUCAACUUUUCCCCAAAAAUAUUUUUUUUUAGGAAGCUUAUUUUCAAGGAAAAUUGAUACUUUCAACUUUUCCUCAAAAAUAUUUUUUUUUGAAUUUUAUUUAAAGAAAAAAAUAUAAAAUACAAAAUAUAAAAUAUAAAUGAAAAUAAAAAUAAAGAAAAAUAAAAUAAAAUAAAAAUAAAAAUAAGAUAAAAAGUAUUAAACAAUUCUAAUCUAAUCAAAUAAUAAUAAUAAUAAUAAUAAUAAUAAUAAUAAAAUAAUAAAUAAUGAAAAAAAAAACCUAGGAAUGGCUCGACUUGGCUGCUUGGCUCAACGCGGCUUAAGGAAGAAAAGAUGGCUCGAAGACGUGGCUCGACUUCAGAAACGGCUCGCACUCAGGUUGAACGUGGGUUGAAAGUGGAUUGACGCUCGGGUCAGGUCAUUUGAUUUCAAAACGUGCGGAUCCUCUAGGCACAAUAAUGCCAAAACGACGUCAUUUUCAGUGGGUAUAAAAGGCUAUCCCUUCUAUUUUUUCAGUAGACCGAUCCUUCUCUCUCUUUCUUCCCUUCCUUUCCUCUGCUUUUUCUCUAAACCAUGAAAAACUUCAGUUGAAUUCUCACCGGAUUCUAGAAAAUUUCGAUGGAAUCUAGGUUUUUCGUCCAAAGUUCAUCGAAAAGCUGAUCGGUUUCUGAAAAUAGUCAUCGAAAACUGGGAAACUGGCCAGAAAAUUCAAACUUGGCUGGAAAAGUCAGUAAAAAAUUCAAACUUCGUCGAAAAAGUCUACCGAAAUCUAGAAAUUUUUCAAAAAUUUUCAGAAAAAAAAUUUGCCAAAAAUUUUAAAAAAUUUUCACCAAUUCCUAGAGCUAUUCUAAUGCACAAAAACCCUUUUUUAGCUUCUGUUUCUUUUCUGUUCACUCUCUCUCAGCCAGUGUCUGCCUUUCUGUGUGUUGGUCUUUUGAUUCGUGGAUCUAUUUAUAGGGAUUGAUCAGAAAAGUUUCUGAUCAAUCCCAACUCCUUCUUAGAUUGGGAUUCAAUCAUUGAAUCCAAUAUGGACUCUGAUUGAAUCCCCAUUCACGAUAGGAUUCUCCAAAUUUCAUUCCAAUCUCAGCCGAAAAAAAGAAAAAAAAUAAAAAAAUGUUAAUAGAUAAUUAAAAGAAAAUAAUCAAAUAAAUAAAAAUAUUAACAGAUAAGUAAAAAUAAUAAUAGAUAAAUUAUAAUAUAUAAAUAGACAAAUAAUAAUAAAUACAUAUAUAAUAUAUAAAUAGAUAAAUAAUAAAUAUAUAUAAAUAUUAACAGAUAAAAAAAUAAUAAUAAUACAUAUAUUAAUAAAUAGUAAUAAUAAAUAAAUAAAUAAUAAAUAUAUAAGAUACAAAAUAAAAUAAAAUAAAAUAAAAUACAAAAUACAAAAUACAAAAUAAAAUGGGCCUACCCAUUUGGACCAGGCCCAAUUGAUUUGAGCCUGGACCAAAUUGGGUGUCUACAUAUAGGUUGCUCCCACUCAAGCUUCUAGGUUACCCAUGCAUGAUCGGUUGUUACACCUUAUUGUAACCAAUAUGUUAGCCCAUUUUAGGACCCAAUACUCCACCAUUAGGAAACAAGAUUAUUGGUGGAUGUACAAGAUCAAGCAUGAACAAAAAUCAAAUUUGGUGUACUUCAUUUUUAGUGACAUGAUGAGAAUUGUCCAGAAUAGAGAUGUUACUUUGGUAUAUGGGUAUGCUAUCAGCAAUCUUUUGAGACAUUUGGAAGUAAACACUAGAGGCGAUUGAGAGAUGCGCGUCAUUGACCCAUUUAGUAUUCUUGGGCCUCCCACAUUGCAUAGUAUGGGGUAUGUUAAAACUCCAACUAGCCAAUGAGUUAAAAUGAGGGAUAUUGGUGUUGCACAAAAGGAUGAGGAAGAGCAAGACCCUGUCGAUAUGCCUGCACCUCAAGAAGAACCCCCUAGCACAUCUUUUGACACUCAAGGUGCCCUAAAAAUGCUCUUACUUCAGAUGAACAGCCUAGCACUCAGUGGUUGACACUAUGAGCACGAGAUUGGAGUCCAUGGAGGAAACUCAAAAUGACCUUGUGACACAAGUCCAACAUUUUCGAGCUGAUAUUGAGCAUAUGAGGUCUAUUCCUCAACACAUGAGAUAAUCUUCGCAUUACUCUCCUCUUCCACCUCCAUCUCCUUAUUCUCCACCUCCACCUCAAUGAAGCCUUCAUACUGCCAUGACUUAUGUUUUCCCACAUUUUUUUUUUGUAAAUAUAACUUUGCAUUAUGGCUUUUAGACUUUGAUCUUUAUAUUAAUGCAACCUAUCUUUUAUUCUCUUAUGGCUUGUAACUUUGUGGCUUGUGGCAUUGGUGUGUAGUUUCAUGUUUGAAGUGACUUUGGGUGGCCCGAAUUGCUUAUUCCCUCAUUUUGAUUUGCUUCAUUUAGUAUUUUUGCUAUGAAAAAAAGGGGGAGAAAUAUUGGUAUGAAAAUUUGAUGAUGUUUUGAUAUUGAUAAUGAUGCUUUGAUAUUGAUGGAUAUAUUGAUGGUUAUGGUGAUAUUACUCUUGUCUAGUUGUCUUAAAUCUUAUGCCUAAAUUCAAAAGGAGUUUGCCUUUCCUAAUUUAAGGGGGAGCUUCUUUGCAAAAGGAAAAAUGUUUUUCAUGCAAAUUUUCAUUUGGUUUUGUCAUAUCAAAAAGGGGAAGAUUGUUGGCCUUGAAUUGAUUAAGAGUUUUGAUUUGACAAAAUAAAAAUUUUUCAAACUUGUUUUAAUCUUGUCUAAGCUUAAAUUGAACAUUUUUCUACCUUUCUAUUUUGUCAAAAUUCAUUUGAGAAUCAAAACAACUCAAAUUCUCGGAACAAAACAUGAUUUAUGCAAGUUUUGAUAGAAAGGAUCAAUCCUCUCAGGGAAGGGAUCGAUCCCCUCUAUUACCAGAUCGAUCCCCUAGCAAAAAAGAUCGAUCCUGUUUUCAACCAAAAUCGAAAGUUCUCAAGAUUUGGCAAAAAUCAAUCGAUCCCCUCCCUAUAGGGAUCAAUUGGUUAGUAGAACGGAUCGAUCCCCUCAUUUAAGGGAUCGAUCAUUUUUUCAUACAGAAUGCUUUCCUCGUGCAAUUUUCUAGAAAAGGGAUCCAUCCCCUCAUAUAUAGGAUCGAUCCCCUCUUAAAGAGAUCGAUCAGUUGCUCAAACAGAAUGUCCCCCAAGUGUGGAAAUCUAGAAAAGGGAUCGAUCCCCCCACAUAGGGGAUCGAUCACCUAAAAGAACAGAUCGAUCCCCUCAAGCAAGGGAUCGAUCAGGUAAGGUAAAAUAGGCGUAAAAUCAAGCUUUCUCAAACAUGAACCAAUCGAUCCCCUAAGGGAGGGGAUCGAUCCCCUGAAGGCCUGAAACUCCCAAUGGCUAUUUUUUAUCUGAAAUUUUUACAAGUUUGAAGCAUUAAAUGCAAUCCAAUGGCUCUCAACUUCUUCCUAACUAUAAAUCAAGCAUUCCACUGCAGACCAAAAGUAACAAAAGCUAAAGAAACUUAUUCCUAUUCACCUACCAAUCUGCUUAAGCAUUCAAAGCUGUAAAAAGAGAAAAAGUACAGAAUUCAUAUCAGUUUUUCUCUACUUUCUUAUCUAUACAUUUGUGUACUUCAACUUAGCAAAUACCUAGCCUUUGUGAGGUUCUUAAAGUUUGCCAAACACUUCUGAAUUUUUUGUAUUGUGAGUGUAUAAGCUCAAGGGGGAGGAUAACCCUUAAGAGUAUAUGUUGUUGAGUUUGUAAAGCUGUGUGAAAGCUUAGUUGUAAUCUUCAUCAAAUAGUGGGUUGAACUCCUUAGCAAGAGAGGCUAAGGGAGAGGACGUAGGUGCCUAAGAAAGGACCGAACCUCUAUAAAUCUUGGUGUUAAAUUUUCUAAUCCUAUCUCUUGUUUAUAUUCAUCUAUUGUGCUUAUCUAUUUUGAUAAUUUAUGGUUAUUAAAUAUUAUCUUUGAAAAUUUUAUUAAAACCAAUUCACCCCCCUUCUUGGUUUAUUCCAAGUCUUUGAGCUAACAAUAAUAAGAAAUUAUUUUAAAUUAUAAUAUUUUAUAAAAUAUAUAUGAAAUGUAAAAAAUCAAAUUUUUCUUUAAUUAUUUUUAUUUUUCUUUAUUUUCCUUUUUUUCUUCUUUAUAAAAUAUAUUUUGUAAAAUAUAUUAGAAAAAGGAAUAGAAAAUUAUAUUUAAUAUUUUUAAUAGAAAAUAAAUUUUUUGGAUAGAAAAUAAUAUUUUUUAUUAUGAUUUAUUAGUAAAAUAUUUUUUUAAUAUAAAAUAGUCUUUUAUUUUCAAAUUGGUAGGGAAUUUUUUCAAAAAGAUUUUAAAAUUUUUAACUUAAUUUUAAUUUUUGAAUAUCUAUUUUUAUCAAAAACAAAAACUAUUUAACUAAUAAAUUAUAUUACAAUAAAAAUAUAAAAUUAUUAUUUUAUAUUUUAUAUUUUAUAAAAAUAUAUUUGAAAUAAAAAAUUUUGAGCUUUAAACUUUGAGUAAAUUUCUAUUUUGGUCCUUUCAUCUCCUACGUGAGAUGCCAACAGACACCAUCCACAUGACGUUAAUUGGUAUUUAACGUCAAUUUAAAUGAUUUCAUAAAUAAAAAAAAUCAAAUUAGGAUAACUUUAAAUAUUGGAGAUCUAACUAUAACUUUUUUAAAACUUAGAGAUCAAAAUAGAUUUAGUUCAAAGAUUAGGGAUUACGGAUAUUCUUAACUUUAUAAAAUAAAUCAAUUAUUUGAAUUUUUUUUUUACAUGGUUGCUAUGUUUAAAUGUUAAACGUCCCCCUAAAAAAAGGGUUGUUAAAAGUCGUGUUAGAAUGUUUAAUUGACUAGGGAAAUGCAUGGCAGCUAAUAUUUCCAAACAACUCAACAAUACCAAAUUGUUGGUUUAAAUACUUUGAACAUUGAUUUCUACCUAGUUAGAGCGAAUGAAAGUUUGUCCAAUCCAAUUUGUCAAUAUCUUUAAGAGAAAGUAUUUCAUAUUAUUCAUGAAAUUUUUAGAUUUUAUAAACGAAGUUGAUAGAUUGACACAUACUUUUGAAUUUGUCAAUAUCUUUAAUAAAUGAUUUUUGAUUCAUGGUUCUUCAUUGAUAUUAUUUACUAAGACACAUCUUAUCUUAGUAUAAUAAUAAUUUUAGUAAAUCCCUUUAUUUUAAAUUUAAACUUAAUUUAAUUUAUUUAUGUUUUAGUAAAUUUAGAAUUAAAUUUUAACAUUUUUAAUUUUUAAUUUUCAAAUUACAAUUUCCUCUCAACAAAAAGUUAUAUUAUAAAAAAAUAGAAAAGUAAACAUUAACAAAUGAUUGGUUCAACAACUAAUGUUUGUGUCAAAUAGUCGUAAGGGGACAAAGCUUACAUAUUGAUAAAUAAAACAUGCAAACAUUAAGAUUACGACUCAAAUUUUAUAAAAAAAAAAAUUUUAUAAGAGAUAUAUAAAUAUUUAAAUUUAUUUUUUACUAGUUUUAUCUUAAAGUGUUUGCCAUCUAAUGCAUCAUUAUAUAUCUUAUUAUGAAUCGAGAAUCAAAUAAUUUAUUUAUUUCAAAUUUUUAUUUUAAGUUUUAUUUUUAAAAAAUUGAAUAUCCUAUUAUUAAUUUUUUUUCUUUCAAAGAAAGUGAUAGGCGCGUGGGAUAGUGAGGGCUGCUCACAUUCGAUGCAUCUAGCGCCAUGAUACCAACUUCAAAAAAUAAAACAACUCAACAAGAGCAAAGGCAUAACAAUCAAAAUGAAUCUCACCCACAAUUAUGUGCGAGAAUGUUGAAAGUCUUCAAUUCUUCGCACUCUGCCAUCCAUUGAACUAAGACACUUUUAUGACUUUGCUGUUUGCCCCCUUCCUCCCAGUAUUCUUGGAGCAUGUUUAAAUCUCAUUAUUAUAUAUUCUAAUUUUUUCCAUCUUAUCAUAUCUUCUUCAUUUAUUAUAUUUAUGUCACCACCAAGAGACUUAAACCUAACAUGCGUGUAAUUUUAGGUUAAAAAUGAUCGUUCAUGUAUCUAAAUCAAUCUUGUUUUUGACUUUGUAUCGAACGUUUGUGUCAUGCAUUUUAUUGGCUCUUCAUAAACUUGGGAGAAAGCUAAUAAGUAGACAUGUGCAUGUGGAUGAGAAUGAGAUGUAUGUUUUUUUCUUUAAACAUAAAAAGAUUAAUGGAUUUGGUUUUAUUUGUUUGCAUAAAUAAAAUGGUGGUUUUGUUUGGGCAAUUAAAAUAUUGCUACUUGUAGUUUUUGGGAUUAAGUUAAAUAUUCUAACCUUAAUGUCAUUGUGUUUUAUAUGUUUUAGAUAUGUAGCUGUAGUUAUAUACCAAAUUAAUUGUUAUUUUAUUGAGUUAGGAGUAAAGUUAGUAUAACUUACAUGGAUCCGAACAAUUUGUUGUAAUUCAAAAUCAAUCCAACUUUAUUUCAUCAAGAAAAAUUAGUUCUAAUUUAAAUUAAUUUGAAAAUUUAAUUCAUAAUUCAAACUUAAAUUGAUUUAUUUUAAAAUUUAAUAAUUUAAAUUCAAAAAAACUUAAAUUUGAUAAUCCAAACUUGAAUAAUUUUAAUGUUAAACUCAAAUAAUCUAACUCAAAAUGAUUUGAAAUUGAAAUAAUUUAAAUCCAAAUCGAUACAAAUUUUUUUAUCUAAAAUGAUAUGAUCCAAAAUAAUUUGACCUUUGCCACCUUUCUAUGGAUUUGGGAUUAGUUAUUGUGUAUCACAAGAAAUAAUGUAAUUGAUCUAAUGUAAAACAUGACAUUCCAAGAAAACAUUCUUAACAAUUAAAAUUUGAGAGGUUUCAUAUUUGGAUUUAUUAGAUGAGGGAGAUCCAAAAUCUUUAUGUAUACAAUGUACCAAAAAAAUCAUUAUGUAUAAAACAAUUAUAUGCUUAAUUUAUAGUAUUAAUUAAGGUCUUAAAACAUACUUAAUUGAUUGAUUCAUCCACAGAAGAAUUCAUAUUAAGAAUUUAGACUAACAAAAGACUAAAUAGGAAAUGUGACAAUUCUUUAAUUUAAAAAAAAAUGGAGUGAUUACUUAUUUUAGCUAGUUUUAAGACUUUUAAGUGAUUUAGUGAGAUGAAUUUUUAUUACAAUGUAAUUACAUUUUUAUAAUUGAACUUUUAAAGAUUCAAUGAAAAAAAUGAUAUACAUGGCACGUUGAGAGUUCUCUCACUUCGUUGGAUGAAUUUUUAAGAGUUAAUGUUAUAAAUAACCUUUAAAAUAUAGUUAGAUAUUUAAUGUAAUACUUGAAUUUUAAAAAUUUUUAAUAUGUUGCUUAAAUUAUGAAUCUAUUAACAAAUGUGAUAUUCACUUUUAAUGUGACUAACUUCAAAUAAUAAUAUGUGGUGGACUAACAAUUUUUUAAGUGCUAUAUUAAUUAACAUAUUCAUAAAUUAGGUACCAUAUUAAAAAUUUUUAAAACUUAAGUACCAUAUUGACUAUUUUAUUAUAAUUUAAGGACAUGACAUUAACCGAAUUUUUAAUCAAUUGAAUAUUUGUAUUUCUCUAGAAGAAGAAUGCAUGGCUCCUAUGUGGCAAAUGAGUUUAUAAAUUACAUUUACUAAAGUUAGGAAAAAUAAAAAUACUAAAGUAUAGAAUUAGGGCAAAUAAUACUUAUAGUCCAUAAACUUUAAGUCAAAAUUUACUUUUGUCUUUAAUUUUUAAAAAAGAUCUAAUUGCAAAAUCAAUUGUCAAAAAUUAACUUAUUUUGAUUUUUUUUUACUUAAAGAAUCGUUUAAAUUAACAGUAAAUACCAACUGACAUCAUGUGUAUAGUGCAAUUGACAUCUCACAUGGUAGAUGAACUGAUAAAGGGAUCAAAAUAGAAUUUUGCUCAAAGAUUAGAGAUCAAAGAUGCUACUAUCUUAAAAUUUUUUAUAUUUUAGAUAUAUUUUAUAAAAUAUUAAAUUUAAAAUAGUAUUUUUAAAUUUUUAAUAUUUUAUUCAUUAAAUAUAUUUUGUUUUUAAUAGAUUUUCAAAAAUUAAAAUUUUCAAAAUUCUUUUGAAAAAAAUUACAUAUCAUUUUAAAAGAUUAAGUAAAAAAAUUUUAUAUUCAUAUCUUUUUAAAAUAUUAAGUAAAAAUUUUUAAAUUAUUUUAUUUUCAUUAUUAAAAUUUUAUAUUUAUAGAAAAUUAAAAAGAUAGGCAAUCAAAACGGUCCUUAUUGCCUCGAUAUGGUAAUUAAAGAAAAGAAAUCAAAGUAUUGAAAAUAACAUAUAUAUAUAUAUAUAUAAAUAUAACUAAACCUUAAUUUUUAAAAUAUUUUUCUAUUAAAAAUAAUAUUUUACUAAUGAUUAUUAUCAUAAUAAUAAAUUUUAUUUUACAUGAUAAUAUUAUGUAAAAAAUCAAUUUUUUCUUUAAUUAUUUUUAUUUUUCUUUAAUUUUUUCUUUUUUCUUCUUUAUAAAUUAUAUUUUAUAAAAUAUAUUAGAAAAAGGAAAAGAAAAAUAUAGUUAGUAUUUUUAAUAGAAAAUAAUUUUUUUGGAUAGAAAAUAAUUUUUUAUUAUGAUUUGUUAGUAAAAUAAUAUUUUUAAUAUAAAAUAGUCUUUUAUUUUUAAAUUGAUAUGGAAUUGUUUUCACUAAGAUUUUAAAAUUUUUAACUUAAUUUUAAUUUUUGAAUAUCUAUUUUCUAUCAAAACCAAAAAAUUUUAAUUAAUAAAUUAUGUUACAUUAAAAAAUAAAAAAUUAUUAUUUUAAAUUUAAUAUUUUAUAAAAUUAUAUUUGAAAUAAAAAAUUGAGAUAGUAACUUUCUUAUUCUCUAAACUUUAAAUAAAAUUCUAUUUUGAUCCCUCCGCCUACCACAUAAAAUGCUAGUUGACACCAUACAUCUGAUACCAGUUGAUAUUUAAUGUCAAUUUAGGUGAUUUCAUAAAUGAAAGGAUCAAAUUAAAAUAAUUUUGAGUAAUUAAGGAUCCAAUUAAAAUUUUUAAAAAUAAAAAAUCAAAAUAUAAUUUAACUCAAAAUUUAGAGACUAGGGGAGUUAUUAACUCUAUAGAAUUAAUCAAAUAGUUGAAAAUUUUUUACAUAGUAGCUAGGUUUAAAUGUUCAAAGUCCCCAUAAAAAAAAAAGAAAAUUAAAAGUCGUGUUGGAAUGUUUAAUUGACUAGGGAAAUGCAUGGCAGCUAUUAUUCCCAACAGCUCAACAUUGUUGGUUUAAAUACUUUGAACACGGAUUUCCACCUAGUUAAAGUGAAUGAACCAAGUUUGUCCAAAUUCAAUUUGUUUGACAGUGAAAUUUUUAAAUUUUAUAAACUAGAUUAAUAAAUUGACACAUAUUUUUUUUGGUGUAUUAAAAACGUAAAAAAUUAAUUAAAAAAACAAAAUAUGUAUCAAUCUCUUAAUUCUACUUGUCAAGUCAAAAAAUUUUAUUAGAAAUGUAUCAAAAACAAACUUUUAUCUUUAAUGUGUAAGAAAAAGAAAAUUGGGCAAAAAAAAUUGGGAAUUUCCACAACUUCAUUGGGUUAUGGCCUUCUUGGCAAUUGUUAUGAAGUUUCAUCCUUGACUUUGCAAAGUAAAUAAUGGACGGAAAUCAAUUGUCACUUUUCUUCCUAGUCAUAAACGUGAGAAAUAAAAAUUGUUUAUAUUCGUGCUAUUACUUUUGCCUUUUAGGCCCAUCACUUUCCCUUUUUCAACUAAAUUAUAGUCCAAUCUUUCUAUUUGGUGUCAUUUACAAAAAAAAGCUUAUGUCCAAAUACACUUAAUAAACUUCUAUUUCAAUCGAGAUUGGAAAUUUUAACAAUAUAAGAGAUAUAUGAUUUAGACUUGAUAUUUAAAGUAGAUGAAAAUGACGAAUUUUUUGUAAAAUUCAAUUUAAAUAUAUAUAAUUUUGAUAAAUUUGGAUUGAUUCUAAAAAAACUAAGAAAGUAUUGAUCUACGAUAAAUGGUUUUAAUCUAUAAUUUCGCUGUCAUCAUCAUUAUCGUCAACAACACUAUUAUUAUUAUUAUUAUUAUUAUUAUUACUAUUAUUAUUAUUAUUAUCAAAAUUAAGAAAUUUUAGGUGAACCUUAUAAAAUCAAAAUUCUUGUUAUUUGUUAAAAUUUAUAUUAAAUGAAUUUAUUAGUGUAAUUUAUUAUUAAAACAUUAAAUGAUAUCAUUAUAAGAAAAUUUUUUCCCUAUAUUUACAGGUGAAAGGAUCAUGCAUACUAAUAGGUAAUAUUUCAAUAAAACAUUUUUCCAACUUAUAGUAGAAAAAUAGAAAAUUAAAUUGAAAAAAAAAUCAAUAAAGCUCACAAAUUUACCAUUAAAUACUAAUAAGCAAUUUUUAAUUAAAAAUAGUGAUUAAACGGAAAUUAAUGACAACUUAAUUUAGCAUAAUUGGUAUUUGUAAAACCUUGCUUUAGUAACAAUAACUCAAUUUUUGGUUGUACUUAUUUGUUUGUGUUUAUGAAUAUGUUCUCAUAAAACAGGCAUAUCAGAAUACUUUACAACCAAUCAUCUAACUUUUAGACAAAAAGAAUAAAUUAAUUUCCGUAACAGUUAUAUUAUUAUAAUAAUAAAAUAAUUUCUCAAAUAAUAAAAAAACUUUUAUUAUUAUUUUCUCUACUUUUUCAUCUCCAAAAAAUCAUAACCAAAUGACAAAAAAAAAAAAACUAGUGUCUGUAAUCACUGAUUAAGGAUUAUUAAUUAUUAUAUUUAAAAAUUUUUAUAUUUAAUGUUUUAUUUUCACCAAUUCAACAAAAUUAAUGCAUUAAUUAUAUAUUUUUUAAAUAUUAUCUUAACUAGUGUCACUAAUCAUUCAUUAAUAUUUUUCAACAUAAAAAAAGUUUAAUCAAUUUUUAAUUUCAACGAAACCCAGUAAAAAUGUUGACAAUAGUUAAUUAAUAAUUAUUUAAUAAUUAAAAAAUAUUAUGUCUUGAAUUAAUUUAUAUAAUAUUUAAAAAUGUACCCAAAAAGAUUCAGCUAAAUAUGUUGAGAUCUGUCGCCUUGAUUCUGUCUGAUACGAAACAAGACUCAAUACAGAUUUCUUGAUUAAAAAAAAAAAAAAAAAAAAACCAAACGACUCCUUCACAUCAAACCCCUAAAUCAACGGCUGAGAUUAUCCGCAGCCAUCAUUUAACUAUAUAUAUAUAUAUAUAUAUAUAUAUAUAACUCAAUACAGAUUUCUUGAUUAGAAAAAAAAAAAAAAAAAACCAAACGACUCCUUCACAUCAAACCCCUAAAUCAACGGCUGAGAUUAUCCGCAGCCAUCAUUUAACUAUAUAUAUAUAUAUAUAUGAACUAAUACGUCCACCACUUCUACCUAAAAAUUUCUCCGACUCUCUAACCGUUUUCAUUCUUUCAUUAUUCUCUCAAAACCUCAAAUCCCAAGUCCUUUCAUCUUCUUUCAAGAAAAUGUGAUUACUAUUGUUUUGUUAUUUGAACAGCUAAUCUGAAUAAUUGGUUCAGUUUGUAGAAGAGCUUCGAUACUCAAUUUUUAUUAAAAGAAUAUUUGAUUUAUCGCCUUUUGGCGAGAAAUGACAGAGUUUUGACGAUUACAAGAUUGGAGGAGAGCAACUGGACGAUGGCAAAGUCUUUUGGGUCAUUUGGACUAGGGGGAUUACUACUGCUGGCGGCGUUGGCUGCGUCUAUGAUGGUUCUUCCGCUGAUGUUGCCGCCGCUACCGCCUCCGCCAUUGAUGCUUCUGUUGCUUCCAGUUGGGAUCAUGGCUGCUCUCAUGUUCUUGGCGUUUUCCCCCACGGAGGCUGCUGGAAAUGUCGUCGUUCUUGUUCAUACAGUAUAAGAACACAUGUUAAACGUGUCUUCUAUAGGAAGAUGGUCGGCCAUUGAUGGGCGGCUCUGCUGAGGUCGUAGAUGUACAUUGUUGAUUUUAUUUGAAGAGUACACCGUCCUUUCCAUGUUUGAUAACAUGGAUGCACCUCCAUAAUUCCUUCAAUCUGUCAUUAUUCCAAAUAUCUUAUCUUUUGCGUGGGAAGUUGAUAGAGAUCCUAUUAAUCUUGGACGUAAAAUAAAGAAGUUGGUGGUGGAACUAGUAACAGUUCAAGCAGCUGAUGAUGAGAUUGAUGAGGUGAUUGAUGAGUCAUCAACUACGUUGAAUUUCAAGCCUGCUAGUAAAUCUUCUAUUCAAGCUUUGAAAAGGGUGAAAUUUGGCAACGAUGAAGAUAGUCUUUUACCCUUGAAGAAGAGGAGAAGACGUGAGGAUAUGAAUUCCAAGAAACAAUGUACUAUUUGUUUGGAUGAUUUCAUCGACGGUGAGGAGAUUGCUUCGAUGCCUUGUGGACAUGUUUACCAUGAUGGUUGCAUUGUUAAAUGGUUUGAAACGAAUCACUUGUGCCCAUUAUGCCGAUAUGAGAUGCCAAGUUGAUCUAAUUUAUAUCUUUUCCAAGUGGUGAAAAUAACUUAUUUUAUUUUGUUAUUGAAUGUGCGUUUGAGAAAAGGAAAUUGUUUUGGUGCUUUUGGGAAAAAGGUUGAGAUUGAACUCGUAUAAUUUGCUAACAUAGUGGAUAUAUUCGAAUUUGUCCUAUGAUUUUUUCCUCAACGUGGGAGGAUUUUUCAUGUAAAUAUUUUUGUUUUUAUACUAAUGCUUGCAAUUUCUGUUUAAUUGAUUGAUUUGAAUAAAUUUUAUUAUGAUUAUUAUUGGUUUGUGUUGUAGUGUCUAUAAUUCGUUUUUGAAAGUUUGAUACCUGAGGUUUAAUAAUUUUUGCUGAUUGGAAGAUACUAUUAAAUCUUAAUUUCUUUUCAUGAUCACAUUAAAGAGGAUCAAAAAACUUUAUUUGCUCCUUAAAGGGUUUGUUCAUAGACAUUGAUCCCUCAUAUCAUUUUUUUUUCUUUGGUUCAUUCAGAAAGUUUUGUUUCCAAUGAUCUAAAAAGCAGAUCACCAAAAACCAAAAAGAAACAAUUCAACCAAUGCAAAUUUUAUAUCUAGAAAAGGGCCAAACAGUGCUCAUUAAUGUGCUCUUAAAUUUUGGAAAUUACUGUUAGAAGCACUCUUUUUCCAAUUUUGAUUUUGUUUGCCAUAUUUUUAUGAAGAAAAAGGUUAAAAUAAAUAUGGGUCCUGUAUUAGUUAUUAUGGAAAUAUCUGUGGGCUGGACUAUAAUUUUGAGUCAUUACUGGCAUAAUUCAUUAUUCUAUUUUAUUGAACUAAAAUAAAAUAAACUUUUUGUAUAUAAUUUUUUUUCCCAAUUUGUCUUUCCUUUGUCAUUCUUUUUUCAAGACAAAGGUUAAGAAUUUGAUAUUUCAAAUUUUUUAAUGUUAUUUUAAAGAUUAAUGUCAAAGUGAUCAUAUGUUAAAAACUCAAAAUUGAGGCAAAUAGAUUAUCAAGUUAUUUUUGUAUGUCAUGAUGUGCAAUACAAAAUCUAAAACAGCUCAAACUUAUCUUUUAUAUAAGAAUUUAUUUUACAUAUAAUUUCAAUAAAAUCACCCUUGAUUUUUUUGAGUGAGGCAUUAAUUUUAACACAUUGCUUGUAUGAUUUCUCAAUUUUAUUUCCCUAUUUUAUUAUUUUUUUCACAAUUAAUUAUUUUCUUAAUUAUAUAAUUUAAUUAUAUCUUUAUUAAUGCCUAUAAAUACAUUACAUUACGCUUAUAAACUCAUUUAAAAAUAAUAUAUAUAAGAUUUUAUGUAUUUUACCAAUGAAUCACAAUUUAUCACUUUAUUAAUUACAAUGGCAAAAAAAUUUAUACGAUGACAAGUUAUGAUUAUUGUUUAUAUUAUUGAAUUAUAUAUUAAUAGUAUAUUAAAUAUAAAUUUUAAAAUUGAAAUUAAUAAAUAUAAAUUACUUCAAAUCUUAUGAAUUAACGAUAAUUUAUUUUUUAUAAAAAAAGAGUAAUUUGAAAGUAAAAUAAAGAAUUGCAAAUACUAAUAUUAAAAUUCAAACCUUUUGAAUGUUAAUUUUUUAAGAUUUAAUUUCAACUUUCACAAGAAACAUGUAAUACACUUGAAACAUGGAUACAUGUGAAUCUUGCACAAACCAAUUAAAGGCUAGACAGGCACAUGUCACCAAUGUCUUGGUCUCUCCCAACUUUAGUCAAAUAAAAUGUCCAUGUUCCAAUGUUUAAUUAAAACACAUGGGAAGUUUAACCUAAAAUGUCAAACGCAAUCAACUCUUUUGUUGUGGAAGGAAUCCUCUUUGAACUUCUAAACCAAAUCAAAAUAAAUUAAAUCGACCAUAAUAAUUUGUUAGCAUUAGAGAUUAGGCAUCAAUAAGGGAAGCCCCAAGUUAAAAUUCAUUUAAUCUAUAAAAUAAAUGAUUUUGGAUGCAAAUUAUUUUUUUUAUUUGAAAUUGUCAACAUUUUAAUCUUAAUAAUUAAAAUUAAAAACCCAACAUCCUAUAAUAAAAUACAUAAUUAUUUGUUAUAAUAACACAUUAAUUAUAAUUUUUUUCUUAAAUAUCACAUUAAUAAGUGUUAAAAAAAUUUAAACAAAAUAUUUAUCUUGAAUUUUAUAUAAAAAAUUACAGACACUAACAAAUGGGUGGCUUGAUAUUUAAAGUUCGCCUAGUUUCAAUACCAACUAAUGUUAAAUUUUUUUAAUUUAAUCUCAAAAUAUUUUUUUUGGUAUAAAAUUUUUUGAUGUUUAAUAGUUAUUUUAAAUUUCGAUUAAUUCAGAAUUAAAUCGAAUCAACCCUCAUAAAAGAAUAAACUCUCUCAAACUUAUUUUUUUUAUUUACAAAAUUUGAAAUUAAAAUUUUAUUUAAAACAAUUAAAUUAUUUACCACUUUGAUCAACAAGCACCGGUUAUUUAAUCUCAAAUUAAUGAUUUCUUAUGAAGAAUAUAAUAAAACGUCUUAUCUUAAUUGAAAACCGAACCAUUUAUUAAUCUUGAAUUUUUUUAUUAUAAGUUUUUUAAAAUUAAGUAAAAUUUGUAUUAUAAAAUUUAAAAUAAAAAAAAAGAAGUGAAAGGCGCGUGAGCUAUUGAGGUCGGUUCACAUUCGACGCAUCUUUAAAAUAUGUAUCAGUGAGAUAUAUCACCCAUCAUUAUCUCUGUGUGUGUUAGACGCGCCUCGGUGGAACGUCUUCACACGCCAUCCAUUGAACUAAGACAGUUCUAUGACUUUGCUGUCAUCUUCCUCAGCGUUCUUCGAUUUUGGGAACGUCCUCCAAUCUCUUUCUUGGAUUUUUUUUUUUUUUUUUUAAAUUUUCGCAUCUUAUCGUAUCUUCUUCUUGCUUUUAUGAGCACGUGGUUGAAAAUGGGAUAUAUGUUUUUUUUUUUUUAAAUUAAUGAUUUUGUUUUGUUUGUUUGGCUAGAUAUGAUGGGAUUUUGUUUGAGUAAUUACAAUAUUGCCACUUGUGGUUUUUGUUAUUAAGUUAAAUAUUUUAAACUUAACUCAUCGAGUUUUAUAUAAUGUAGUUGAUUUAACGAUAGGAAUGGUAUUUCAAUUAUAAAAUUUUUUUUAUAUUUUAUAUAAAUAUAUAAAAAUUAUAUUUUUGGUAAAAGAAAAUAAUUUAUUUAAUAUAAAAGAAAAUAAACUAUGUGGAUAAGUUAUAUUUUUUAUAUGUGAAAUGUUAUAGGUAAAUGUCAUGUGUUAUAUAAUUAAUGAAUUUAAUUAUAUAAUUAACUUCAAAAUAAUUUAUUAUGGCUGAAUUAAUUACUUUUAAAUAUUAAUAUUCCUGCAUCCUAUAAAUUAGUUAUAAUUAAUUUGAUCAUUAAUUCAAAAAAUCAAAAUUUAAAUAAAAAACUAAGUAGUCAAGAAUAAUUUUGCUUAUUUAUUAAUCAUUAUUUAUAAUUAUAUAAACAUUUUAAUCUAUUAGAACAAUCUAUAUAUAUACACACACACACACACACACAAAUAUAUAUAUACACACACAAAAGAUAACUUCAAUAUAUUAACUUGAAAAAAAAAAUUGUAGGAUAAUAUUUUUUACAUGAAUCCUGUCAAAAUAUCAUGUGUUUUGAUUAUAAUCAACAAUUCAAUUUUUAAAAUUAAAAUUACAAACUAAUUUAAUUUUUAAUAUUUUUCAAUUAUUGUCCAAAAAAUAUUGUUAACUUUUCAAUAGCUUUAAUUUUAGUUUUUUGUUUAACUUUAAUUAUAAAUUUUUUUUCUAUUGUUUUUAUAGUAAAAAUCUUAUUGGCCAUUCAAUAGCUUUCAUUUUGUUUUGAAUUCUCUAAAAUUUUUUAUACUUACAUUACUUUAAUUUUGGGUGUUUGAUUACAAAAAAAAAUGAUAGGUCAAAUUAUAUAUUUAAAAUUUAAACUCUAUAAUAAUAUGAAAUUAAUGGAGACAAUAAUUUUUUAUAAUAAUAUGUAAUUGAUUGAUACCUCAAUCCUUGAGAUACACAUUUUGCGAGUAUAUGUGUUGUCUAUUUAUAUAAUGGUGAUAUGAUGAAUUUGACACAUAUAACAAUUGUUGUCAAAAAAUUUUCAUUUGUAUUCUUUAAUUUUUUUCUCUUAAUACAUAAUUUAAAUAAUGGUAUGAAUUUUUGAUAGAUCUGGCAAUUCAUGUAUUCGUAUCAUGUAAAAUAUUAAAAAUUAUGUAUUCAUUUUGUGUUUUGUAUAAAAAUUGUGUCGCAAUUCAUGUCGACAGAAAAAAAUGAAAUAAUUUUUUUUGUUUUGUUUAACCUAUUCAUAGUUUUUGCUAAAAUUUUAAACAAUAUUAUUUUUAUGUAUUUUAUUCAUAUUAUUUUUAUGUCGUGUCAUCGUAUCGUAUUUAAAAUUAUCAAGUCCACUUUAUGAUAUUUUACACCAAUAUUUUGUAUUUUAUAAUAAGCUAUAAAAUGGUGUUGUAAGAUUAUAACUUUGUCAGUAUUAUUAUUUUUUUUAACAUAAUCAUUUUUUAUUUAGUAUUAUAUUUUUAUAAGUAUAUUUUCCUUAAUUAUUCAAAAUAGAAUUAUUAGAUUAAUCUUAGUUAUGGUUAUUUGAUUUUUUUUUCUUUUUAUUUCAGCUUUGAUUUAGUGUUCUUGAAUAUUUUACUAUGAAAAUUAAUUGAUAAUUUUUUCCCAAUUUUGUAAUUGUAAGGUUUUCAUAUUAAAACAAAAAACUAUAAUGUUGAAAAAAAUUGUGAAUGAUGGUAAAUUUCUUUUAUCAAAACUUUAAUUUUUUUUAUAGACCUCUUUGAAUGAUUUGAUUUGAUCUAUUUAUAUAUUUUUUUAUUUUUUUUAUUUAUUAUUAAUAUUUGGCACUUAUGUAUUUCUAUCUCUAUGAUGAAUUCAUUAUUUAAUUUCCCAAUAAAAAAUGAUUAAAAGUCUACUUUUUUCAUUUUUUUUAUUUGAUUAUUAAAUAUUUCAUUUGUAAUAAGUAAGGAGAGAAACUAUUCGUCACUUAUUUUUAUUUAUAGUUUUAUUCUAUAUUUUUUCUUUUGCAUGUAAUUCAACGAGAAAUUUAACAAAUUUGAUAUUAUUUGAACUUACAUUAAGUUUUCAACUUAAAGUUUAUACAUAUAUAAUAAAUCUUUUAUUUUUUUCUUUUUUACACAUAUAUAGUAAAUCUUUUGUUCUUUUUUUCUCAAACAUAUAUAAUACAUCUUUGAUUUAGCAUAUACUUCGUUAUAAAAUUAUUUUUUUUCAAAAACAUAUCUUACAAUGUCCUAAAUUAUUAAAAUUUUGAGUUUUAAUAGCAAUAAAAUUUUUUAAUGAUAUCAUUUUAUAACUAAAAUAUGUGUAUUCAAAUUAAUAAAAAGGCAAAUAAUUAUUAAAAGGAAUCACGGAUUCCUUUAAUUGAUUAAAAAAGUUGGUGAAAUCACAUUAAAAUCUUAAAUUAAGGCAAACUUAAUCACAUUUAUGGAAAAAUAUUUAAUUUGAUUUUUUCUAUUUAACUUUUUAAUUAUAGGUAGUAUCCAUAUGAUAAUGAGUUACUAUUAAAUAUCAUUUGGAUAUAUGCAUGUGUAAAUUUUAUUAAGUGUUUAAUUAAGUAUUAAACAAUAUUAUUCAUUGAAUGUUUGAAUAUUUUAAAAAUAUUAUUCUCUUAGAUAUCAUUUGAAUAUAUGCAUAUGUAAUUUUUAUAUUUUUGUUAAAAAUAAUAUUUUUAUGCAUAAUUAUAUAUAAAAAAAACCAUGAUAAAAUAGGCUACAAAUUAGUAAUAUUUAAAUUUUAAAAUUUUUUAAUAUGAUAUUUGAAUUAUAAAUUUAUUAAUUAAUAUGAUACUUAUUCAUAAUAUGAUUAGUUUUACAUAAUGAUACGUGAUUAUAAAUAACCUUUUAAGUAGCAUAUUAAUUAAUAAAUUGAUAGUUCAGGUAUUAAAUUAAAUAUUUUUAAAAUUCAGGUAUUACAUUAAAUAUUUUAUUAUAGUUUAAGGGUCAUUUAUAAUAUUAUCACAAUCUAGUAUAUAUACCUACUUAAUUGUUAUUUUAUCGAGUUAAGACUAGAUGCUUAAAAGAUUUAUUCAAAUUUGAACUCGAUUCAACUUUUUUUUUCAUAGGAGAUCGUAGUUUGGGAAUAAAAAAAUUAAUUGUAAGUGUUAAGAUUUAAAUUUUAGACUUGCUAAAUGAUACCUUUUAUGGGUGGAUGUAUAAACUAACUGAACUAAGUUAUAGAUUCAACUCAAUCCAACUACAUUUAUCAAGAAAAAUAAUCAAUUUCAAAAAUCAAUUUGAACUCGACCAAACUCUAUUUGUACAACAAUAAUAAAUUAAGUCUUAUAUCCCAUAACUUUAGGGUUGAUUGUAUGAAAGGGAAAAAAAAAUGAAUCAUGUUAGGUUGUAAUUUUAAAUCUUUUAUAUAUAAAAAAAAGAAUUCAUCUCUUUCCUUAACCCUUAUAUAAUUUUUUAUUACCUGUAUCAACGACUUUUGUGAUUUACCUCUAAAAAUUUUGGUUUUUCUCACAUUCAAAAACUCAUUUCCCUUGGUGCACAAAUAAACCGAUCUAUCCAAAUCAUCUCAAAUAGUCUUUUCUCAUUUUUUUUCUUCAAUUCAAACUACCUUUAAUUUUUUUUUUGAAUUUCUUAUAAAUUUUUUUAAAAAAUUAUGAAAAUUAUAAAUCAAAUUUUUAAGAACUUUUAAUAAAAAUUUUUUAUUUUUAAAAAUUUCUCUUAACUAUUUCACUUUUCUUAAAAAGCCAACAUAUUUUUAUUAUACCAAAAUAAGCUUUUAUUUUUUUAUUUGUAUCCAAAUAAAUCUUUAUUUCAAACAAAAAAUUUAUUUAUAUUAAGGAUUUAUUUAGAUAUAAAUUAAAAAUUAAGGACUUAUUUGAAUGUAAAUAAAAGGUUAAGUACUUAUUUAAGUUCAAAUUAAAGUCUAAGGAUUAAUUUGAGUUUGAAUAAAAUGAUAAAAUAAAAAAAAUUAUUAUUUUAACCAAAAUUUUCUAAAAACAUGUGAAAAGAAUGCCCCACGCAUCCCCACUUGCGCAACAGAAAAAAAAUUAUCAAAUAAACUUUUUUAAUUUUUAUUUUAGUCAUUAAAACUUUAAAUCUUUAGCCAAACAUUAAAAAAUUCAAAUGAUAUAUGCAUGGAAAAUGUAUGAGACAUAUUCUAACCAUAUAAAUUUCAUACAUGAAAUUUGAAACAUGUGAGAAAAAUAUAUAGUCAAAGUUUUGAUUUUUCUAGUUUGAUUAUGAUUUUUCUCUUAAAUCAUAAGUGCUUUUAGUACCAAAUUUUUAUCAAAAAUUCAAAUCAUCUUAGGGCACAUAUUUAUGUAAAAACUUUAGUCUAAAGCAUUUGUUUAAAAUUUUAUUAUUAAAAAUCAUUCUAAGUUAUACCAAACAAGCAUAAUAAUGUUUUGAUUCCACUAUAGGAACUUAUUGAAAAUUAUAUGUAAGAAUAUAUGCAAAUUUAAGAUUAUUUACUCCAAUGCUAAUAUGAAUUCCCAAUAUCAAUUUACUUAUAUUUGCUUCAUGAAUCUUAAAAGAUUUAUUUUUUAUAUUAUUUUUUAAACCACUUCUUGAAUCUUGUUAGUCAAUGAAACAAUUUUUAGAGCUUAUCACAAAUUUUAUACUAAGUUUUAGUGUCUGAUGUAGAUAACCAAAGAUUAGGUAAAAAAGAGUUCAAAAGCAAGAUCUUUUUACUAAAAUAAUUAAAAUUAUUACUCUCUCCAUCCUAAAUUAUUUGAACGGUAUUAGCUUUUACAGAAUUUAACAAAAAUUUUUUAACUUUAAUGUAUUUAAUGUUAAAAUUAAAAUUUUUUUAUAAAAUUAAAUUCCAUAAUUUUAAUAUCAAAAAAUAAAAAUAAUUUUAAAAUAUAAAAAAAGGUUUUAGAUGUUAAAGAAAAUAUAAUUUUGGGAUAUCAAAAAAAUUUUAAAUAUAAAAUGUCUGUCCAUUAAUAUAGUACAUAUUUCGAUUAUUGGGAAUAGAUUUUUAAUGACAUUUAAGCAAAAUUAUAUUAAGAAAAAAAAAUCUAAAUUAACUCAUAUUCUAAAUUAGAUAAUAUCUACUAAUAAAUAUGAAUCCAUUUGACCCACCCAUAUCCGGAAUCAUCAUCAAAUCUUGGACUCUUCGAAGUUCCAACUUUAGUAAAAUUAAAAAAAAUAAAAAAGUCCACGUUCCGAUGUUUGAUAUCAAGGCGUAGAAAGUUGGACCUAAAGUGACCAACACAAUCAAAUCUAUGAUAGUGAGCAGUUUCAUGGUAGGGAAUCCGUUUUCAACUUCUAUACCAUAUCAAUUAACUCAAAUCAACCAAAACAAAUUUGAGUAAAAUUUAGAGACUAGGAACAAAAAUAAUCUUCAAGUUAAAAUUCACUUAAUCUCAAUAAUAAAUGAUUUUGGAUUCGUAGUUCUUCAUUGAUGUUAUUUUCGAUUGCAUGAUUUUAUACGACAAGACAUAUUUUGUCCUAACAAACUCAUGAUUUUAGUGAAUCUCUUUAUCUUAAAUUAUAUAUAAAUUAAAAUUUAAUUUAAUUAAUUUAUAUUUUAAUAAAUUUAAAAUUCAAAUUUUAAUAAUUGUAACCUCUAAUUAUAUUUUUAUAUUACAAUCUUCUUUGAACAAAAAAAAAAAUUGUAUUACGAAGAAAUGACAAAUUAAAUGUUAACAAAUGAUUAGCUCAAUGGUUAAAGUUUGUGUCCAAUAAUGAUAGUUUUAGGCUCCAUUUAGAUGGAUGAUAAAAUUUAUUAAGGUGAAAUUAAAAAUAAUAAUAAAAUUUAUUGUAAUUAUGAUUGGAAAAAAAAUUACGAUAAUUGCAAUUGCAAAAAAAUUUUAAUAAAAAAUUUAUAUAAUUUAAUUUUAUUAAAGUUGACGUUUAAAUUCAAUUGAAAAUGCGAUGAACUUAAUCGCACAAAAAUAUGAUAAGAUCUAAAUGACUACUUAACUAAUUCUCUUGGUAUAAAGGGUUGGAAAAAAUGCAACUAUUAAGAUUACAAUUCAAAUUUUAAAUUAAUUUCUUUAAAGAAAUGUGUAGACAUUUGAAUUAAUCCUCAAAUAUAUAUUUUAUUAGAUAAAUUUAUCUUCAAAAUGCAUCUAAUGUCUCGUGAUACAUCAUAUUAUGAAUUAAGAAUCAAAUAAUUUAUUUUUAAAAAAAAUCGAAUAUCUUAUUCAGAAUUUUUUCUUUAAAAAAAACUAAAAAGGGAAAGCGAUAGGCGAGUGGGACAGUGAGGUCGACUCACAUUCGAUGCAUCUACUUGCAUGGCAGCAACUUGUAAAAUAAAAAUCAACAAAAACAAAGGCAUCACAGUCAAAAUAAAUCUCACCCAUUAUUAUGUGUAUGUACGCGCCGGCGUUGAAAGUCCUCAAUUCUGCGCACUCCUUCAUCCAUUGAACUAUGACUUUGCUAUCGCUCCAAGAGAGGCCUUUGCCCCCUUCCCCCCAGCAACCUUGGAUUUUGGGAGCAUCUUUGAAUCUCUUUCAUUACUAAUUUUAAUUUUUUUUCUCACAUCUUAUCAUAUCUUCUUCGUUUAUUUUGUGGGUGAGAAUGAGAUGUAUGUCUUUUUUUCAACAAAAAAAGUUUAAUGGAUUUGGUUUUAUUUGUUUGCAUAAAUAAAACGUGGGGUUUGUUUGGGCAAUUAAAAUGUUGCUACUUGUAGUAUUAAAAACAUAUAUUGCUACUUGUAGUUUUUGGGAUUAAGUUAAAUCUUCUAAACUUAAUGUCAGUGUAUUUUAUAUGUAUUAGAUAUGUAGUUGUAGUUAUAUACCAACUUAAUUAUUAUUUUAUUGAGUUAGGGUAAAGUUAGUACUAUAACAUACAUGGAUCCACAUCAUCUAUUCGAAUUCAAACUCAAUAUAAUUUUGUUUUAUCAAGAAAAAUUAAUUUAAAUAUAAAAUAAUGGUAAGUGAUGAAUAAAUAAUUUUUUAAAUAUUAUAUUAAUUAAUAUAUUUAUAAUUCAAGAAUCACAUUAAAUUUUUUAAAAUUUAAGUAUUAUAUUAAAUAUUUUAUUAUAAUUUAAAAAUCAUUUAAGAUAUUAAUCCAAUUCUUAAUCAAUUGAAAUUUUGUAUUUCUCUAGAAGAAUAAUGCGUGGCUCUUAUAUAGCAAAUGAGUUUGAAAUUACGUUUACUAAAGUUAGGAAAAAAGAAAAAUGAAAGUAUAGAGUUUGGGUAGAUAGCAUCUGGACCUUCUAAAUUUUAAGUUAAAUUUUAUUUUCAUUUCUAAUUUUUAAAACGUUAUAAUCAAAUCUCAAUUGUCUAAAGUAUCAUAUUUUGAUAAUUUUACUUAUGAAAUCGUUUAAAUUAAUAGUAAAUGCUAGCUAACAUCAUGUGGACAAUGUAAUUGAUAUCUUGUGUGAUAGAUGGAUUAAUAGAGGGACCAAAAUAAAAUUUUGUUUAAAGUUUAAGGACAAAAAAAUGAGACUAUCCUGAAUUUUUUAUAUAUCAAAUAUAUUUUAUAAAAUAUUAAAUUUAAAAUAAUAUUUUUAUAUAUUUUAAUUAUAAUAUAUUUUAUUCAUUAAAUAUAUUUUGUUUUUAAUAGAUUUUCAAAAUUCUUUUGAAAAAUUACUUAUCAUUUUAAAAAAUUAAGUAAAAAUUUUUACUGAUUUAAAAAAUAAAUAAAAAACUUCAUUUCUUUUUAAAAUAUUAAGUAAAAAAUUUCAAAUAAUUUAAUAUUCUUUAUUUAAUUUUUAUAGUUGUAGAAAAUUAAAAAAAAAAAAAGGCAGUCAAAAUGGUCCUUAUUGCCUCUGAUCUGGUAUGCAGAAGAAAUCAAAGUAUUGAAAAUAUUUUUUUAUUUUUAAUAGUAUAAAAUUUAUAAUAAAAUAUUUCAAAAUAAUUUUUUUGAUAGAAAAUAGAAUUUUGAAUAGAUUAAUAAAUCUUUUUUAAAAUAAUAUUUAAUAUUUUUAAUAGAAAAUAAACUUUUUGGGUAGAAAAUAAUAUUUUUUGUUAUGAUUUAUUAUUAAAACAGUAUUUAUUAAUAUAAAAUAGUCUUUUAUUUUCAAAUUGGUAAUGAAUUUUUUCAAAAAGAUUUUAAAAUUUUUAACUUAAUUUUAAUUUUUAAAAAUUUAUUUUUAUCAAAUGCAAAAAAUAUUUAACUAAUAAAUUAUAUAACAAUAAAAAUAUAAAAUUAUUAUUUUAUAUUUUAUAAAAAUAUAUUUGAAAUAAAAAAUUUGGAGCUCUAAACUUUGAGUAAAUUUCUAUUUUGAUCCUUUUAUCUCUCACGUGAGAUGCCAUAGAUACCAUUCACAUAACGUUAGUUGGCAUUUAACAUUAAUUUAGAUGAUUUCAUAAAUAAAAAAGUCAAAUUAAGAUAACUUUAAAUAUUAAAAAUCUAACUUGAACAGUUUAAAAAUUAACAUCAAAAUAAAUUUAAUUCAAAAUUUAAGGAUCACAUAAAUUAUUAACUCUAUAAAAUGAGUCAAAUAUUUGAGUUUUUUUUUUUUAACAUGGUGGCUAGGUAUAAAUGUUCAACGUCCCCCUAAAAAAAUGGUUGUUAAAAGUCGUGUUAGAAUGUUUAAUUGACUAGGGAAAUGCAUGGCAGCUAAUAUUUCCAAACAACUCAACAAUACCAAAUUGUUGGUUUAAAUAUUUUGAACAUUGAUUUCUACCUAGUUAAAGCGAAUGAGAGUUUGUCCAAUCCAAUUUGUCAAUAUCUUGAAGAGAAAGUAUUUGAUAUUAUUCAUAAAAUUUUUGGAUUUUACAGAGGAGAUUGAUAGAUUGACACAUACUUUUGAAUCUAUCAAUAUCUUUAAUAAAUGAUUUUUGAUUCGUAGUUUUUCAUUGAUAUUACUUACAAAAACACAUCUUAUCUUAGUUUAAUAAUAAUUUUAACAUAUCUCUUUAUUUUAAAUUAAAACUUAAUUUAAUUUAUUCAUGUUUUAAUAAAUUUAAAUUUUAAAUUUUAACACUUAUAAUUUUCAAUCUUCAAAUUAUAAUUUCCUUUCAACAAAAAAGUUAUAUUAUAAGGAAAUAGAAAAUUAAACAUUAACAAAUGAUUGGUUUUAACAACUAAAGUUUAUGUCAAAUAAUCGUAAGGGGACAAAGCUUACAUAUUGAUAAAGAAAACAUGCAGAUAUUAAGAUUAAUUAAUAAAUUUAUUUUUUUACUAGUUUUAUCUCAAAAUGUUUGCCAUCUAAUGCAUCAUGAUAAAUCUUAUUAUGAAUCAAAUAAUUUAUUUAUCUCAAAUUUUUAUUAUUAAGUUUUAUUUUUAAAAAAUCGAAUAUCUUACUAUUAAUUUUUUUCUUUCUAAGAAAGUGAUAGGCGCGUGGGAUAGUGAGGCCUGCUCACAUUCGAUGCAUCUACUGGCAUGAUACCAACUUGAAAAUUUAAAUCAACUCAACAAAAGCAAACGCAUUACAAUCAAAAUGAAUCUCACCCAUAAUUAUGUGUGAUAAAGACGCGCCAGCGUUGAAAGUCUUCAAUUCUUCGCACUCCUCCAUCCAUUUAACUAAGACACUUUUAUGACUUUGCUGUCGUCUCAAAGAGAAGCCUUUGCCCCCUUCCCCGCCAGCAUCCUUGGAGCAUUUUUGAAUCUCUUUCAGUACUAUAUAUUCUAAUUUUUUCUCACAUCUUAUCAUAUCUUUUAUUUUUAUAUAUGUCAGGUAGAGACUUAAGCCUAACAUCCGUGUAAUUUUAGGUUAAAAAUUAUCGUCCAUGUAUCUAAAUCAAUCUCUUUUUCCACAUUGUAUCGAACGUUUAUGUCGUGCAUUUUAUUAGCUCUUCAAAAACUUGGGAGAAAGUUAAUAAGUAGACAUGUGCAUGUGGAUGAGAAUGAGAUGUAUGUUUUUUUCUUUAAACAUAAAAAUAUUAAUGGAUUUGGUUUUAUUGUUUGCAUAAAUAAAAUGGAGGUUUUGUUUGGGCAAUUCAAAUAUUGCUUCUUGUAGGAUCAAAAACAUAUAUUGCUACUUGUAGUUUUUGGGAUUAAGUUAAAUAUUCUAAACUUAAUGUAAUUGUGUUUUAUAUAUAUUAGAUAUGUAGUUGUAGUUAUAUACCAAAUUAAUUGUUAUUUUAUUGAGUUAGGAGUAAAGUUAGUAUAACUUACAUGGAUCCGAGCAAUUUCUUCUAAUUCAAACUCAAUCCAACUUUACUUCACAAGAAAAAUUAGUUUUAAUUUAAAUUAAUUUAAAAAAUUAAGUCAUAAUUCAAACUUAAAUUGAUUUAUUUUAAAAUUUAAUAAUUUAAACUCAAAAUAAUCCGAAUUUGAUAAUCCAGACUUGAAUAUUUUAACAUUAAAUUCAAAUAAUCUAACUCAAAAUGAUUUGAAAUUGAAAUAAUUUAAAUCCAAAUCGAUAUAAUUUUUUUUUCUCUAAAAUGAUUUGAUCCAAAAUAAUUAGACUUUUGCUACCCUCUUAAGGACUUGGGAUUAGUUAUUGAGUAUCAAAUAAAAUAAUGUAAUUGAUCUAACGUAAAACAUGACAUUGCAAGAAAACACUCUUAACAAUUAAAAUUUGAGAGGUUUCGUAUUCGGAUUUAUAUGAUGAAUAUUAGGGUUUAUCAAAUGAGGGAGAUCCAAAAUCUUUAUAUAUACACUGUACCAAAAAAGUCAUUAUGUAUAAAAAAAUUUAUAUGCUUAAUUUAUAGUAUUAAUUAUGGUCUUAAAACAUACUUAAUUGAUUGAUUUCAUCCAUAGAAAAAUUCAUAUUAAGAAUUUAGACUAAAAAAGGACUAAACAAGGAAUGUGACAAUUCUUUAAUUUAAAAAAAAAUGGAGUGAUUACUUAUUUUAACUAGUUUUGGGACUUUUAGGUGAUAUAGUGAGAUGAAUUUUUAUUACAAUGUAAUUACAUUUUAUAAUUGAACUUUUAAAGAUUCAAUGAAUAAAACGAUAUACAUGGCACGAUGAGAGUUCUCUCAUUUCAUUGGAUGAAUUUUUAAGGGUUAAUGUUAUAAAUAACCUUUAAAAUAUAAUUAGUUAUUCAAUGUGAUACUUGAAUUUUAAAAAUGUUUAAUAUGUUACUUAAAUUAUAAAUCUAUUAACAAAUGUGAUAUUCACUUUUAAUGUGACUAAAUUCAAAUAAUAAUAUGUGGUGGACUAAUAAUUUUUUAAUUGCCAUAUUAAUUGACAUAUUCAUAAAUCAGAUACUACAUUAAAAAUUUUUAAAACUUAAGUAUCAUAUUGACUAUUUUGUUAUAAUUUAAGGACAUGACAUUAACCAAAUUUUUAAUCAAUUGAAUUUUUGUAUUUCUCUAGAAGAAGAAUGCGUAGCUUCGAUGUAGCAAAUGAAUUUACAAAUUACAUUUACUAAAGUUGGGAAAAAUAAAAAGACUAAAGUAUAGAAUUAGGGCAAAUAAUACUUGUAGUCUGUAAACUUUAAGUCAAAUUUUACUUUUGUCUUUAAUUUUUAAAAAAGAUCUAAUUGGAAACUCAAUUGCCUAUUAAUAUAUUUUUUGAUAUUUUGAUUUAUUAUUAAUAUUUGUCACUUAUGUGUUUCUAUCUCGAUGAAUUCAUUAUUUAGUUUCCCAAUAAAAAAAGAUUAAAAGUCUACUUUUUUCAUAUUUUUUUAUUUGAUUAUUAUAUAUUUCAUUUGUAAUAAGUAGGGAGAGAAACUAUUCUUCACUUAUUUUUAUUUACAGUUUUAUUCUUUAUUUUUUCUUUUGUAUGUGAUUCAACACAAAGUUUAACCAAUUUAAUAUUAUUUGAACUUACAUUAGGUUUUCAACUUAAAGUUUAUACAUAUAUAAUAAAUCUUUGAUUCUUUCUUGUUUACAUAUAUAUAGUAAAUCUUUUGUUCUUUUUUUCUCAAACAUAUAUAAUACAUCUUUGAUUCAGCAUAUACUUCAUUAUAAAAUUAUUUUUUCCAAAAGCAAUCUUACAAUAUCCUAAAUUAUUAAAAUUUUGAGUUUUAAUAGCACUAAAAUUUUUUAAUGAUAUAAUUUCAUGACUAAAAAUGUAUAUUCAAAUUAAUAAAAAGGCAAAUAAUUUAUUAAAAGGAAUCAUCCAUUUCCUUUAAUUGAUUAAAAAAGUAGGUGAAAUUACAUUAAAAUCUUAAAUUAAGGCAAACUUAAUCACAUGCAUAUAUUAUUACUUUUAGAUACCUUUUGAAUAUAUGCAUAUGUAAUUUUUAUAUUUUUGUUAAAAAUAAUAUUUUUAUGCAUAAUUAUAUAUAAAAAAUAGCCCAUGCAUAGCACGGGCUACAAAUUAGUAAUAUUUAAAUUUUAAAAUUUUUUAAUAUAAUAUUUAAAUUAUAAAUUUAUUAAUUAAUGUGAUACUUAUUCCUAAUAUAAUUAGUUUUAAAUAAUGAUACAUGAUUAUAAAUAACCCUUCAAGUAGCAUAUUAAUUAAUAAAUUGAUAGUUCAAAUAUUAAAUUAGAUAUUUUUAAAAUUCAUAUACUACAUUAAAUAUUUUACUAUAGUUUAAAGGUCAUUCAUAAUAUUAUCAUAAUCUAGUAUAUAUACCAACUUAAUUGUUAUUUUAUCGAGUUAAGACUAUAUGCUUAAAAGAUUUAUUCAAAUUUGAACUUGAUUCAACUUUUUUUUUCAUAGGAGAUCACAGUUUGAAAAUAAAAAAAUGGAUUGCAAGUGUUAGGAUUCAAAUUUCAAACCUACUAAAUGAUACCUCUUAUAGGUGGAUGUAUGAACUUACUAAACUAAGUUACAAAUUCAACUCAAUCCAACUUCAUUUAUCAAGAAAAAUCAUCAAUUUGAAAAAUCAACAAUUUGAACUCAACCAAACUCUAUUUGUAAGACAAUAACAAUAAAUUAAGUCUUAUAUCCCAUAACUCUAGAGUCGAUUGUAUGAAAAGAAAAAAAAUGAAUCAUGUUAGGUUGUAGAUUUAAAUCCUCUUACAACACUCAUUUUUAUAAAAAAAAAAAAAAUAUUUUCAUCUACUUUUUUAACCCUCAUAUCAUUUCUUAUUACUUGUAUUAACAUUUUUCAUGAUUUACCUCUAAAAAUUUUGGUUUUUCUCAAAUUCAAAAACUCAUUUCUCCUACCAGUGUACAAAUAAGCCUACAUUUUAUCUAUCAAAUCCAUCUCAAAUGGCCCAUUCUAAUUUUUUUCUUCAAUUCAAACUACCUUUAAUUUUUUUUUUUGAAUUUCUUAUAAAAUUUUUCUUAAAAUUUUGGUGAAAAAAUUUUGAUUAAAAUACUAAAAAAGUCUCUAAACUAUUUCACUUUUCUUACAAAAGCCAAUAUAUUUUUAUUAUACCAAAAUAAGCCUUUAUUUUUUGACUUGUAUUCAAAUAAACCUUUAUUUCAAACAAAAGAUUUAUUUAUAUUAACGGUUUAUUUAGGUACAAAUUAAAAAUUAAAGAAUUAUUUGAAUAUAAGUAAAAGGUUAAGUACUUAUUUAAGUACAAAUUAAGUCUAAGGAUUAAUUUGAGUUUAACAAAUUUAUAAGGAUUAAUCUAAAUAAAAUGGUAUAAUUUAAAAAAUUUAUAUUAUUUUAACCAAAAAUUUCUAAAAACAUGUCAAAAGAAUGCCCCACGCACCCCCACUUGCGCAAUAGAAAAAACAAUUAUCAAAUAAACUUUCUUAAUUUUUAGUUUGGUCCUUAAAACUUUAAAUCUUUAGCCAAACAUUAUAAAAAUUCAAAUGAUAUAUGCAUGGAAAAUGUAUGAGACAUAUUCUAACCAUAUAAAUUUCAUACAUGAAAUUUGAAACAUGUGAGAAAAAUAUAUAGUCAAAGUUUUGAUUUUUCUAGUUUGAUUAUGGUUUUUCUCUUAAAUUCAUAGUGCUUUUAGUACCAAAUUUUUAUCAAAAAUUCAAAUCAUCAUAAGGCACAUAUUUUUGUAAAAAUUUUAGUCUAAAGCAUGUAUUUAGAUUUUUAUCAUUAAAAAUCAUGCUAAGUUUUAAAAAUAUUCUAGUAUACCAAAUAACUAUAGAAGCAAAUCUAGAAGUGAAAACAAGCAUAAUAAUGUUUUGAUUCCACUAUAGGAACUUAUUGAAAAAUAUAUGUAAGAAUAUUUGCAAAUUUAAGAUUAUUUACUCCAAUGCUAAUAUGAAUCCCCAAUAUCAAUUUGCUUACAUUUGCUUUAUGAAUCUUUAAAGAUUUAUUUUUUAUAUUACUUUUUAAACAACUUCUUGGAUCUUGCUAGUCAAUGAAACAACUUUUAGAGCUGUUCACAAAUUUUUUACCAAGUUUAGGGUUUUAGGUAGAUAACCAAAGAUUAGGAAAGAGAGAGUUGAGGAGCAAGAUCUUUUUACUAAAAUAACUAAAAUUAUUACUCUCUCCGUUCUAAAUUAUUUGAACAAUAUUAAAUUUCACGGAAUUUAAAAAAAAUUAACUUUAAUGUAUUUAAUGUUAAAAUUAAAUUUUUUUAUAAAAUUAAAUUUUUAGGAAUUUUAAUAUCAAAAAGUAAAAAAAAAUUAAAAUAUAAAAAAAUAAAAGUUUUAAAUGUUAACAAAAUAUAUAAUUUUGGGAUAUCCAAAAAAAAAAAAAAAAAGACAAAAGGAGUAGUUCUUUUUGUUAAUUUCUAUAAAUAUGUCUGCCCAUUAAUGUAGCACAUAUUUCAAUUAUUGGGAAUAGAUUAUUAAUAACAUUUAUGCAAAUUUAUAUUAAGAAAAAAAAAUAAAUUAGCCCAUAUUAUAAAUCAGAAAAUGACUACUAAUAAAUUUCAAUCCAUUUGGUCCACCUACAUUCGGAACCAUCAUCGAAUCUUGGACUCUUCCAAGUUCCAACUUUAGUAAAAAUAAAAAAUAAAAAUAAAAAUAAAAAAGUCCACAUUCCAAUGUUUGAUGCAAAGGCGUGGAAAGUUGGACCUAAAAUGACCCACACAAUCAAUUCUAUGAAAGUGAGCAGUUUCAUGGUAGGGAAUCCUCUUUCAACUUCUAUACCAUACCAAUUAAAUAAAAUCAAUCAAAACAAAUUUGAGUCAAAUUUAGAGACUAGGUAAAAAAAUAGUCUUCAAGUUAAAAUUCAUUUAAUCUCGAUAAUAAAUGAUUUUGGAUUCGUUAUUCUUCAUUGAUAUUAGUUACGGUUGCAUGAUUUUAUACGAUAAGACACAUUUUGUCCUAAUUAAAUCAUGAUUUUAAUAAAUUUUUUUAUCUUAUAUUAUAUAUAAAUUAAAAUUUAAUUUAAUUAAUUCAUAUUUUAAUAAAUUUAGAAUUCAAAUUUUAAUAUUUGUAAUCUCUAAUUAUAUUCUUAUAUUACAAUAUUCUCUCAACAAAAAGAAAAAUUUGUAUCACAAAGAAAUAACAAAUUAAACACUAACAAAUGAUUAGCUCAAUGAUUAAAGUUUGUGUCCAAUAAUAAUAGUUUUAAAUUUUAUUUGGAUAAACGAUAAAAUUAGUUGUGAUGAGAUUAAAAAUAAUAAUAAAAUUUAUUAUAGUUAUAAUUAAAAAAAAUUAUUGUAAUUAUGAUUGAAAAUUUUUAAUAAAAAAUUUAAAUUGAUUUGAUUUUAUUAAAACUGAUAUUCAAUUUAAUUAAAAAUAUGAUAAAUUUAAUUAUAUCACAUGAAAAAUGCUGAAAAAUGCGAUAAGAUUGAAAGGGCUACUUAGCUAAUUCUCUUGGUAUAAAGGGUUGAAAAAAAAAAUGCAACUACUAGGAUUACAAUUUUAAUUUUAAAUUAAUUUCUUUAAAGGAAUGUGUAAACAUUUGAAUUAAUCUUCAAAUUUGUCUUUUACUAGUUUAAUCUCAAAAUGUUCACCAUCGUGAUACAUCAUAUUCUGAAUUGAGAAUCAAACAAUUUUUUUAUUUAAAAAAAAAUCGAAUAUCUUAUUAAGAGUUUUUUCUUUAAAAAAAACUAAAAACGAAAAGUAAUAGGCGCGUGGGACAGUGAGGUCGACUGACAUUCGAUGCAUCUACUGGCAUGGUACCAACUUGUAAAAUAAAAAUCAACAAAAACGAAGGCAUCACAAUUAAAAUAAAUCUCACCCACUAUUAUGUGUGUGUACGCGCCGGCGUUGAAAGUCUUCAAUUCUGCACACUCCUUCAUCCAUUGAACUAAGACGCCUAUGCGACUUUGCUGUCGCUCCAAGAGAAGCCUUUGUCCCCUUCCGCCCAGCAUCCUUGGAUUUUGGGAGCAUCUUUGAAUCUCUUUCAUUACUAUUUAUUUUAAUUUUUUCUCACAUCUUAUCAUAUCUUCUUCGUUUAUUUUGCGUGUGGGAAUAAGAUGUAUGCCUUUUUUCUUUGUUUCAACAUAAAAAGUUUAAUAGAUUUGGUUUUGUUUGUUUGCAUAAAUAAAAGAGGCGUUUUGUUUUGGCAAUUAAAAUAUUACUACUUGUAGUAUCAAAAACAUAUAUUGCUACUUGUAGUUUUGGGGAUCAAGUUAAAUGUUCUAAACUCGAUGUCAUAGUGAUUUAUAUGUAUUAGAUAUGUAGUUGUAGUUAUUAUUAGAAAAAUGAGGUUCAGCCUCAUGUAAUUAAUUUUGAACCAAUUAAAGGUCAUGGGCCUUAAUUUUUUUUUUUUUACAUAGAAUCUUAAUUACUUAAUAAAAAGAUGUGGGGUUGUUUUAAUGUUAUAUCAUAAAACCAAAAAAAAAAAAAAAAAGCCAGGAAAAUUAGAGAGAAAAAGAAAAAGGGUGAGUUAGUUGAACGAAAGUCAAUUCAUGAUCCGAUUGAGCUGAAAUUUUGUCAGAAGGUUUAUGAUUCAGAGUUUUACAUUCUGAACGGGGAAGAUUGAGUUUGAAGCUCUCUAGGAAUAAGUCCAUAGUGUAUUUGUUGAGUCACCUAUUUAGUGAGAUUUCUCUAAUUAUCUCUUUAGUUAUUGAUUAGCUCUAGUUUUAACUAGAGAAGAACAUUGUAAAUCCAUUAUUUUAUAGUGAAGAUUUUUCUAGUGGUUCGUGAUUUUUUUUUCUACAAUGAAGGAUUUUUUACGUAAAUGUUGGUGUACUUUAUUUUUUCUGCGUUGUUGAUUGUUGAUUGUUAUCUAUUACUAUGGGCUUAUUACGAUAUAUUGCUUAUGCGCUGUUAUAUUUAUUACUUCAGGCUCAUCAAGUGGUAUCAGAGUAAGGGUUAUUUUGAGACAUCAAUACAGAAGCAGCCUUAAAUAGAAUAAAUUCUGUUUGAGAUCAUGAAAAGUGAUACAGGUUCUAUGAUAAAAUUGACGACAUCAAAUUAUUCAAUUUGAAAGCCUAUAAUGAAAGAUUAUCUAUACUGUAAAGAUUUGUAUGAGUCAGUAUUGAGUGAUUUAACUAAACCAACAGAUAUGAAAGAUGAAAAUUACAAGAAAUCAAACAAAAAGACACUAGCUACAAUCAAAAAAUUGAUUGAUAUUAGUGUGUUCUAUCAUGUAGCGUAGGAGACAGAUGCUCAUACUAUUUGAAAAAAAUUAACAACAUUGUAUGAGAGAAAAAUAUGUAUGCAUAAAGUUAUGAUUGUUAAAAAGCUUGUAACUUUACAAUAUAGGGAUGGAUGAUCGAUUACAAAGCACUUGAGUGAUUUUCAAGAUAUAUUUAAUCGAAUGACUAUUAUGGAGCUUAAGAUGGAUGAUGUAAUAAAGGCAUUGUUUCUUUUAGGUUCAUUGUCGAUAGCUAAAAUACUCUAGUUGUGACUAUUCUUAAUCCAGCUCUUGAUUAGAAGGUAAUAUUUGAUAUGAUAAAGAACAAUAUGCUUAAUGAAAAAGUAAAGCAAAAAGAUGUAGACCUUGGAAAUCAAGCUUUGGUACCAGAGAACAUGGGUAAAAAUAUCGACAGAGGUCAGAACUCAAAAGGCCAUAAUAAGUCCAUACAUAGAUUCAAGUCCAGAGAUAAAGUGAAGUAUUUUUAUUGUGGUAAAACAGGUUAGAUAAAACAACACUGUAAAAUCUUGAAACAAGAGCGAAAAGAUGUAGACCUUGGAAAUCAAGCUUUGGUACCAGAGAACAUGGGUAAAAAUAUCGACAGAGGUCAGAACUCAAAAGGCCAUAAUAAGUCCAUACAUAGAUUCAAGUCCAGAGAUAAAGUGAAGUAUUUUUAUUGUGGUAAAACAGGUUAUAUAAAACAACACUGUAAAAUCUUGAAACAAGAGCGAAAAGAUGAAAAAAGUAAGAGUUUAGAUAAUGGUAAUAUUAUAGUAAUGAAUUCAGAUAGUGAUUCAAUUAUUUUGAUUUGUACAUAUAGUGAUUGUAAUCAUGUUAGUAAUCUCGUCAUUGAGUGGAUAGUUGACACAGGAGCAGCAUAUCAUUAUAUUCCUAAGAGAGAGUUGUUUAUAACUUACAAAAUCGAAGACUUUAGUUGCACCAAGAUGGGAAACAAUAAUGUGUCAUAGAUUGUUAGGAUUGGUGAUAUUGUUGUACAAACUAGUAUAGGCUACAUGUUAACUUUGAAGGAUGUCAGAUACAUUUCGGAUAUAAGAAUGAACUUGCUUGCUAUUAAUGUUAUUAAUAAGAAAGAAUAUGAGAGUUGACAAAAAAUGGGCAGUGAAAGCUUUUUAAAGGAUAUAUGAUAGUUGUAAGAAAAAAAUUAUGUUGCACAAUGUAUAAGACAUGGAUGCAAUUAAAUCGUAAUCAGGUAAAUGCUGUUAAGGAUGAUGCUUCUACAAACUUGUAGCAUAAGAGGUUGGCACACAUAAGUGAGAAGGGAUUACAAAUUUUGUCAAGACAGUCUCUUAUUCCUUUGAUCAAAAGUAUGUUUUUUGAUUUAUGUGAUCAUUAUUUAUUUGGUAAGCAUCAUAGAGUUUCUUUUUGUAAGAGUUCUUAAAGAAAAGAAAAUAUAUUAGAAUUGAUUUAUUCUGACGUAUGUGGUCUCAUUGAGGUUGAGUCAUUAGGUGGUAACAAGUGUUUUGUUACUUUUAUUGAUGAUGCUUCACGUAAGACUUGGGUGUAUAUGUUAAGAUAUAAAAGUAAGGUACUAUAAUAUUUUUAAAAAUUUUAUGCCAUGAUGAAAAAGAUGACAAAGUUACCCUUGAAAUGUAUUUAGACUGAUAAUGGUGGGAAACACAUAUCCAAAGACUUUAAAGAGUAUUAGUCAAAGUAUGAGAUUAGAUAUAAGAUGACAGAACCUGAAACACCGUAGCAUAAUGGUGUAGCUAAAAUGAUGAAUCACAUCAUUAUAAAAAAAGUCAAAUGUAAGUUAACGAUGGCAAAUUACCAAAAUCGGUAUGGGGUGAAGUAGCCAACAUAGCUUGUUAUUUGUUUAACAGAUCACUAUCAGUUCCUUUGGGCUUUGACAUUCCAGAAAGAGUGUGGACAGAAAAAGAUACUUCAUACUCUCACUUAAAAGUUUUUGGGUAUAAAACAUUCAUGCAUGUACCAAAAGAGCAGAAGUCAAAGCUUGACAGUAAAGUCACAUAGUGUAUGUUUAUAGGAGAUGAUGAUGAGGAAUUUGGCUAUAGAGUAUGGGAUCCAAUGAAGAGAAAGUCAGUUAAAAGUAGAGAUGUGGUCUUUCAUGAAAAAGAAAGCAUAGCAGACCUUGAGAAAAAUAAAAAGACUAUACAGGUUACUGUUGAGUGUGAUGUUUUAACAUCGAUAGGGGUUUCACAGAAAAGAGCCACAGAUGGUGGAAAUGAGCAAGAAACAAAACUUGAGGAUAUGAAUCAGAGAGAUGCAAUUAGUUUUGAGCAAGGGGAGCAAUCAUCUUUACCUAAGAUUAUUGAGCAGAGGGAACUACUUUUGGUAUCAGGUGAUAUAAGGUCUUAGCCUAAAAGAUCUACUAGAGAACAUAGGCCAUCUACCAGGUAUCCAAGUUUAAAUUUUAUUUUAGUUAUUAGUGAGGGGGAACUAGAGAGCUUUCAAAAUAUGUAGGCUAUUUCGGAUAGAGAGCACUAGUUAAAAGCAAUGAAAGAAGAGAUAGAGUCAUUACGAAAAAAUAAAAUAUAUGAUCUUGUUAAACUUUCGAAAGAGAAGAGACCGUUGAAUAAUAAAUGGGUGUUCAAGUUGAAAAAAAAAAUGAUGACAAGCUAGUGAGGUAUAAAACUUGAUUGGUGGUGAAAGAUUUUUCUCAGAAAUCAGGCAUCGAUUUUGAUGAGAUUUUCACUCCAGUUGUGAAGAUAAGUUCCAUUUGAGUGGUACUAAGAUUAGCAUCUAGUUUGAAUCUUGAGCUUGAGCAAUUUAGUGUUAAAACUGCAUUUUUGCAUGGUGACUUACAUGAAGACAUUUAUAUGAAUCAGCCUGAGGGUUUUGAAGUGAAAAAGAAAGAGCACUUAGUUUACAAAUUGAAGAAAAGCUUGUAUGGCUUAAAACAAGCUCUAUGACAAUGGUACAAGAAGUUUGAUUCUUUUAUAGUGAAUCACAGCUAAAAAAAAAUGGCAGUAGAUCCUUGUGUGUAUGUCAAAAAAAAUUUUGAUUGUAACUUCAUUAUUCUCUUAUUAUAUAUUGAUGAUAUAUUAAUUAUGGGAUAAAAUGUUGGAAUGGUUUGCAGGUUGAGAUAACAAUUGUCUAAGUUCUUUGACAUGAAGAAUUUGGGUCCAGCAAAAUAGAUUCUCGGUAUAGAUAUUAUCCGAAAUAGGAGAGCUAAAAAGUUAUGAUUAUCACAAGAAAAAUAUAUUGAAAGAGUGCUUAGUAGAUUCAAUAUGCAAUAUGUUAAAUCAGUUAGUAGUCCACUUGUCAACCAUUUUCAUUUGAGUAAGAAAUCUUGUUCGAUGUCUAAGGAAGAGCAACUAGCUAUGUUUAGUAUUCCUUAUUCUUUUGUAGUCGAUUCUUUAAUAUAUCUUAUAGUUUGUAUAUGACCUGACAUUGCUCAUGCAGUUGGUGUAGUGAGCAAAUUUUUUUCUAAACUGGGAAAGGCUCACUGGGAAGUAGUGAAAUGAAUUUUUAGAUAUCUAAGGGGUACUUCAAAAAUGUGCUUGAAUUAUAGAGUUUCACAAUCAGUUUUAGAAGGGUUUACUAAUGCUGAUAUGACAGGUGAUUUUGAUGGUAAAAAAUCUACUUUAGGGUAUUUGUUCACUUUUACAGAAUGAGCUGUGUCUUGACAGUUUAAGUUGUAAAAAUGUGCUACUUUGUCAACUACAGAGGCUGAGUAUAUUGCUGUAACCAAAAUAGGUAAAGAAAUGUUUGGAUAAAAUAUUUUUUCCUUGAAUUAGGGUUGAAUAAAAAAGAGUAUGUGGUAUUUUAUGAUAGCCAGGAUGCGUUAGAUUUGAGUAAGAAUAUCAUGUACCAUGCUAGAACAAAGCACAUUGAUGUUAGAUAUUAUUAGUUACAUUCAGUAAUUGAGGAACAACAGAUAUUGUUGAAGAAAGUCCAUACAAAUGAGAAUGUAACAGAUAUGUUGACUAAGAUACUUCUUAAGAAAAGCUUGAGCUCUAUAGUAACUUGGUCGAAAUGAGUUCCAUGGCCAAGGUAAGUUCCAAAUGAAACUGUUAUAGUGAUAAAUCCUCUCUUAAUAGGGCUAGAAGGGGAGAUUAUUGAAAAAAUGAAGUUCAGCACUAUGUAAUUAGUUUUGGAUCAAUCAAAGACCAUGGGCCUUGGUCUUUCUUUUUACACAGAGCCCUAGCUACUUAAUAAAAAGAAGUGGGGUUAUUUUAAUGUUGCAUCGCAAAACCAAAAAGGAAAAGAAGAAAAGCCAGAAAAAGUAGAGAGAAAAAGGAAAAGGGAGAGUUGGUUGAACGAAAGUCGAUCCGUGGUCCGAUUGAGCAUAAACUUUUUCAGAAAGUUUAUAAUUCAGAGUUCUACAUUUUGUAUAGGAAAGAUUGAGUUUAAAGCUCUCUAGGAACAAAUUCAGAGUGUAUUUGUUGAGUUACAUAUUUGGUGAGAUUUCUCCAAUUGUUUCUCUAGUUGUUGAUUAGCUUUAGUUUUAGCUAGAGAAAAACUUUGUAUAUCCAUUAUUUGAUAGUAGAUAUUUUUUUUGUGGUCCGUAAUUUUUCCCUCUACACUAGAAGAUUUUUCACAUAAAUCUUAAUGUGUUUUAUUUUUCCUGCGUUGUUGAUUGUUAAUUGUUGUCUAUUACUAUAAGUUUAUUAUGAUAUAUUGCUUCGGUGUUGUUGUGUUUAUUACUUCAGGCCUAACAGUUAUAUACCAACUUAAUUGUUAUUUUAUUGAGUUAGAGUAAAGCUAGUACUAUAACUUACAUGGAUCUAAAUAAUUUUUUCGAAUUCAAACUCAAUAUAAUUUUAUUUUAUUAUGAAAAAUUAAUUUAGAUAUAAAUGAUGAUAAGUGAUAGAUAAAUAAUCUUUUAAAUAUCACAGUAAUUAAUAUAUUUAUAAUUCAAGUAUUACGUUAAAAAUUUUUAAAAUUUAAAAAUUAUAUUAAAUGUUUCACUAUAAUUUAAGGAUCAUUCAAGAUAUUAACUCAAUUCUUAAUCAAUUGAAUUUUUGUAUUUCUCUAUAAGAAGAAUGCAUGGCUCUUAUUUGGCAAAUGAGUUUAAAAUUACGUUUAAUAAAGUUAGGAAAAAAGAAAGACUAAAGUAUAUAGUUACGGUAAAUAACAACUGUAAUCUUUAAAUUUUGAGUUUAAUUUUAUUUUGAUUCUUAUUUUUUAAAAAGUUUUAAUUAGAUCGCAAUUGCUUAAAGGUAUCAUAUUUUUGCCCUUUCACCUAUGAAACCAUCUAAAUUAAUACUAAAUGUUAGCUAGCAUCACGUGGACCUUACUAUUGACAUUUCAUGUGGCAAAUGGACUAAUAAAGAGACCAAAAUAGAAUUUUGUUUAAAGUUUAAGGACAAAAAAUAUAACUAUCCUGAAUUUUUUAUAUUUCAAAUAUAUUUUAUAAAAUAUUAAAUUUAAAAUAAUAUUUUAUAUAUUUUUAAUUAUAAUAUAUUUUAUUCAUUAAAUAUAUUUUUUUUUGCAAUAAAUGUUCAAAAUUCUUUUGAAAAAGUUACAUAGCAUUUUAAAAAAAUAAGUAAAAAUUUAUAUUUGUUUAAAAAAAUAAUAAAAAACUUCAUAUCUUUUUAAAAUAUUAAGUAAAAAUUUUCAAAUCAUUUAAUAUUCUUUAUUUAUAUUUUAUAUUUGUAGAAAAUUUUAAAAGAUAAAAAUGGCCAUUAAUGCCUUUAAUUUGGUAUGGAGAAUAAAUCAAAGUAUUGAAAAUAUUUUUUUUAUUUUCUAUAGUAUAAAAUUUAUAAUAAAAUAUUUCAAAAUAGAUUUUUUUGGAUAGAAAAUAAAAUUUUGAAUAGAUUAAUAAAUCUUUUUAAAAAUGAUAUGAAAAUUUCUACUUAAUAUUUUAAAAUGAUAUGAAGUUUUUUAUUUUAUUUUUUAAACCGAUAUGGAAUUUUUAUUUAAUUUUUAAAAUGAUAUAGAAUUUUUUUUAAGGGGGUUUUCAAAUUUUUAACUAAAAUUUAAUUUUUAAAAUAUUUUUAUUAAAAAUAGUAUUUUACUAAUAAUUAAUAUCAUAAUAAAAAAUUAUUUUAAAUUAUAAUAUUUUAUAAAAUAUAUAUGAAAUGCAAAAAAUCAAUUUUUUUCUUUAAUUAUUUUUAUUUUUCUUUAUUUUUCCUUUUUUUCUUCUUUAUAGAAUAUAUUUUGUAAAAUAUAUUAGAAAAAGGAAUAGAAAAUUAUAUUUAAUAUUUUUAAUAGAAAAUAAAUUUGUUGGAUAGAAAAUAAUAUUUUUCUUAUGAUUUAUUAGUAAAAUAAUAUUUUUUUAAUAUAAAAUAGUCUUUUAUUUUCAAAUUGAUUAGGAAUUUUUUCAAAAAGAUUUUAAAAUUUUUAACUUAAUUUUAAUUUUUGAAUAUCUAUUUUUAUCAAAAACAAAAACUCUUUAACUAAUAAACUAUAUUACAAUAAAAAUAUAAAAUUAUUAUUUUAAAUUUUAUAUUUUAUAAAAAUAUAUUUGAAAUAAAAAAUUUUGAGCUCUAAACUUUGAGUAAAUUCCUAUUUUGGUCAUUUCAUCUCCUACGGGAGAUGCCAACAGACGCCAUCCACGUGACGUUAACUGGUAUUUAACGUCAAUUUAAAUGAUUUCAUAAAUAAAAAAAAAUCAAAUUAGGAUAACUUUAAAUAUUGGAGAUCUAACUAUAACUUUUUUAAAAAUUAGAGAUCAAAAUAGAUUUAGUUCAAAGAUUAGGGAUUAUGGAUAUUAUUAACUUUAUAAAAUAAAUCAAUUAUUUGAAAAAUUUUUUUACAUGGUGGCUAGGUUUAAAUGUUAAACGUCCCCCUACAAAAAAAGGUUGUUAAAAGUCGUGUUAGAAUGUUUAAUUGACUAGGGAAAUGCAUGGCAGCUAAUAUUUCCAAACAACUCAACAAUAUCAAAUUGUUGGUUUAAAUACUUUGAACAUUGAUUUCUACCUAGUUAGAGCGAAUGAAAGUUUGUCCAAUCCAAUUUGUCAAUAUCUUUAAGAGAAAGUAUUUCAUAUUAUUCAUAAAAUUUUUAAAUUUUACGAACGAAAUUGACAAAUUAAUACAUACUUUUGAAUUUGUCAAUAUCUUUAAUAAAUAAUUUUUGAUUCGUAGUUUUUCAUUGAUAUUACUUACAAAAACACAUCUUAUCUUAGUUUAAUAAUAAUUUUAGCAAAUCUCUUUAUUUUAAAUUAAAACUUAAUAUAAUUUAUUCAUGUUUUAGUAAAUUUAAAAUUUAAAUUUUAACACUUAUAACUUUUAAUCUUCAAAUUAUAAUUUCCUCUCAACAAAAAGUUAUAUUAUAAAGAAAUAGAAAAUUAAACAUUCACAAAUAAUUGGUUCAACAACUAAAGUUUGUGUCAAAUAAUCAUAAGGGGACAAAGCUUACAUAUUGAUAAAGAAAACAUGCAGAAAUUAAAAUUACGACUUAAAUCUUAGAAAAAUUUAUUUUUAAUUUUUCUAAGAGAUAUGUAAAUAUUAAGAUUAAUUUUUAAAUUUAUUUUUUACUAGUUUUAUCUUAAAAUGUUUGCCAUCUAAUGCCUCAGGAUACAUCUUAUUAUGAAUAGAUAAUCAAAUAAUUUAUCUAUCUUAAAUUUUUAUUAUAAGUUUUAUUUUUAAAAAAUCGAAUAUCUUAUUAUUAAAUUUUUUCUUUCAAAGAAAGUGAUAGGCCCGUGGGAUAGUGAGGCCUGCUCACAUUCGAUGCAUCUACUGGCAUGAUACCAACUUGAAAAUAUAAAUCAACUCAACAAAAGCAAAGGCAUUACAAUCAAAAUGAAUCUCACCCAUAAUUAUGUGUGAGAAAGACGCGCCGGCGUUGAAAGUCUUCAAUUCUUCGCACUCCUCCAUCCAUUGAACUAAGACACUUUUAUGACUUUGCUGUCGUCUCAAACAGAAGCCUUUGCCCCCUUCCCCCCCAGCAUCCUUGGAUCAUCUUUGAAUCUCUUUCAUUACUAUUUAUUCUAAUUUUUACUCACAUCUUAUCAUAUUUUUUUAUUAGUUUUUUUAUGUUUAUGUCACCAGUAGCCACUUAAGCCUAACAUCCGCAUAAUUUUAGAUUAAAGAUUAUCGUUCAUGUAUCUAAAUCAAUCUCUUUUUUUAAUUUGUAUCGAACGUUUGUGUCGUGCAUUUUAUCGGCUCUUCAGAAACUUGGGAGAAAACUAAUAAGUAGACAUGUGCAUGUGGAUGAGAAUGAGAAGUAUGUUUUUUUCUUUAAACAUAAAAAGAUUAAUGGAUUUGGUUUUAUUUGUUUGCAUAAAUAAAAUGGAGGUUUUGUUUGGGCAAUUAAAAUAUUGCUACUUGUAGUAUCAAAAACAUAUAUUGUUACUUGUAGUUUUUGGGAUUAAGUUAAACAUUCUAAACUUAAUGUCAUUAUGUUUAUAUAUGUUUUAGACAUGUAGUUGUAGUUAUAUACCAACUUAAUUGUUAUUUUAUUGAGUUAGGAGUAAAGUUAGUAUAACUUACAUGGAUCCGAAUGAUUUGUUGUAAUUCAAACUCAAUCCAACUUUAGUUCAUCAAGAAAAAUUAGUUCUAAUUUAAAUUAAUUUGAAAAAUUAAUCCAUAAUUCAAACUUAAAUUGAUUUAUUUUAAAAUUUAAUAAUUUAAACUCAAAAUAACCCAAAUUUAAUAAUCCAAACUCGAAUAAUUUUAAUGUUAAACUCAAAUAAUCUAACUCAAAAUAAUUUGAAAUUGAAAUAAUUUAAAUCCAAAUUGAUACAAAUUUUUUUUUUUAUAUAAAAUGAUACGAUCUAAAAUAAUUUGACCUUUGCCACAUUCUUAGGGACUAGGGAUUAGUUAUUGAGUAUCAAAUGAAACAAUGUAAUUGAUCUAAUGUAAAACAUGACAUUGCAAGAAAACACUCUUAACAAUUAAAAUUUGAGAGGUUUUAUAUUCGGAUUUAUAGGAUGAAUAUUAGGAUUUAUCAAAUGAGGGAGAUCCAAAAUCUUUAUGUAUACAAUGUACCAAAAAAAUCAUUAUGUAUAAAAAAAUUUAUAUGCUUAAUUUAUAGUAUUAAUUAAGUACUUAAAACAUACUUAAUUAAUUGAUUUCAUCCACAGAAGAAUUCAUAUUAAGAACGUAGACUUAAAAAUGACUAAACAGGGAAUGUGACAAUUCUUUAGUUUAAAAUAAAAAAAUGGAGUGAUUACUUAUUUUAACUAGUUUUCGGACUUUUACGUGAUAUAGUGAGAUGAAUUCUUAUUACAAUGUAAUUACAUUUUACAAUUGAACUUUUAAAGAUCCAAUGAAUAAAAUAAUAUACAUGGCACGAUGAGAGUUCUCCUACUUCGUUGGAAGAAUUUUUAAGGAUUAAUGUUGUAAAUAACCUUUAAACUAUAGUAAGAUAUUCAAUGUAAUAUUUGAAUUUUAAAAAUUUUUAAUAUGUUAUUUAAACUAUGAAUUUAUUAACAAAUGUGAUACUUAUUUUUAAUAUGGCUAGCUUCAAAUAAUUACAUAUGACAGAUUAACAAUUCUUUAAAUGUCACAUUAAUUAACAUAUUCAUAAGUCAAGUAUCAUAUUAAAAAUUUUAAAAUUUUAAAUAUUAUAUUGAUUAUUUUAUUAUAAUUUAAGGACAUGGUAUUAACCCAAUUUUUAAUUGAUUGAAUUUUUUUCAACAUAAAAAGUUUAAUGGAUUUAGUUUUGUUUGUUUGAACAAAUAAAAGAGGGGUUUUGUUUUGGCAAUUAAUAUAUUGCUACUUGUAGUAUCAAAAACAUAUAUUGCUACUUGUAGUUUUCGGGAUUAAGUUAAAUGUUCUAAAUUCAAUGUCAUAGUGUUUUAUAUGUAUUAGAUAUGUAGUAGUAGUUAUAUACCAACUUAAUUGUUAUUUUAUUGAGUUAGAGUAAACCUAGUACUAUAACUUACAUGGAUCCAAAUAAUUUAUUCGAAUUUAAAUUCAAUAUAAUUGUAUUUUAUCAAGAAAAUUUAAUUUAAAUAUAAAUAAUGAUAAGUGAUAGAUAAAUAACUUUUUAAAUAUCACAGUAAUUAACAUAUUUAUAAUUUCAGUAUUACAUUAAAAAUUUUUAAAAUUUAAAUAUCACAUUAAAUUUUUUACUAUAAUUUAAGGAUCAUUCAAGAUAUCAACUCAAUUCUUAAUCAAUUAAAUUUUUGUAUGUCUCUAGAAGAAGAAUGCACGGCUCUUAUUUGGCAAAUGAGUUUAAAAUUACAUUUAAUAAAGUUAGGACAAAAGAAAGACUAAAGUAUAAAGUUAGGGUAAAUAGCAUCUAUAAUAUUUAAAUAUUGAGUUAAAUUUUAUUUUGAUUCUUAUUUUUAAAAAAAUUUUAAUUAGAUCUCAAUUGCAUAAAAGUAUCAUAUUUUGGCCCUUUCACCUAUGAAACCAUCUAAAAUAAUAAUAAAUGUUAGCUAACAUCAUGUAGAUGAUACCAUUGACAUUUCGUGAGGUAGAUGGAUUGAUAGAGAGGUCAAAAUAGAAUUUCGUUUAAAGUUUAAGAACAAAAAAUAUGACUAUCCCAAAUUUUUUAUAUUUCAAAUAUAUUUUAUAAAAUAUUAAAUUUAAAAUAAUAUUUUUAUGUAUUUUUAAUUAUAAUAUAUUUUAUUCAUUAAAUAUAUUUUUUUGUAAUAAAUUUUCAAAAUUCUUUUGAAAAAAUUACAUAGCAUUUUAAAAAAUUAAGUAAAAAAUUAUAUUUGUUUAAAAAAUUAAAUAAAAAACUUCAUAUCUUGAAAAUAUUAAGUAAAAAAUUUCAAAUCAUUUAAUAUUCUUUAUUUAAAUUUUAUAUUUGUAGAAAAUAAAAAAAAAAAAUCAAAAUGGUCCUUAAUGCCUCUAAUCUGGUAUGGAGAAGAAAUCAAAGUAUUGAAAAUAUUUUUUAUUUUUUAUAGUAUAAAAUUUAUAAUAAAAUAUUUCAAAAUAGAUUUUUUUGGAUAGAAAAUAAAUUUUUGAAUAGAUUAAUAAAUCUUUUUUUAAAUGAUAUGACAAUUUUUACUUAAUAUUUUAAAACGAUAUGAAGUUUUUUAUUUGAUUUUUUUAAACCAAUAUGGAAUUUUUAUUUAAUUUUUAAAAUGAUAUAGAAUUUUUUUAAAGGGGUUUUCAAAUUUUUAACUAAAUUUUAAUUUUAAAAAUAUUUUUAUUAAAAACAGUAUUUUACUAAUAAUUAAUAUCAUAAUAAAAAAUUAUUUUAAAUUAUAAUUUUUGAUAAAAUAUAUAUGAAAUGUAAAAAAUUCAAUUUUUUUCUUUAUUUAUUUUUAUUUUUCCUUUUUUUCUUCUUUAUAAAAUAUAUUUUGUAAAAUAUAUUAGAAAAAGGAAAAGAAAAUUAUAUUUAAUAUUUUUAAUAGAAAAUAAAUUUUUUGGAUAAAAAUAAAAUUUUUUAUUAUGAUUUAUUAGUAAACUAAUAUUUUUUAAUAUAAAAUAGUCUUUUAUUUUCAAAUUGAUAUGGAAUUUUUUCAAAAAGAUUUUAAAAAUUUUAACUUAAUUUUAAUUUUUGAAUAUCUAUUUUUAUCAAAAACAAAAACUAUUUAACUAAUAAAUUAUAUUACAAUAAAAAUAUAAAAUUAUUAUUUUAUAUUUUAUAAAAAUAUAUUUGAAAUAAAAAAAAAUUGAGCUCUAAACUUUGAGUAAAUUUUUAUUUUGAUCCUUUCAUCUCCUAGCAAGAUGCCAACAAACAACAUCCACAUGGCGUUAACUGGUAUUUAACGUCAAUUUAAACGAUUUAAAAAAAAAAAGAGGAUAAAUUAGGAUAACUUCAAACAUUGGAGAUCUAACUAUAACUUUUUUUAAAAAUUAGAGAUCAAAAUAAAUUUAGUUCAAAGAUUAGGGAUUAUUUUUACAUGGUGGCUAGAUUUAAAUGUUCAACGUCCCCCUAUAAAAAGGUUGUUAAAAGUCGUGUUAGAAUGUCUAAUUGACUAGGAAAAUGCAUGGCAGCUAAUAUUUCCAAACAACUCAACAAAACCAAAUUGUAGGUAAAAAUACUUUGGACAUUGAUUUCUACCUAGUUAAAGCGAAUGAAAGUUUGUCCAAUCCAAUUUGUCAAUAUCUUUAAGAGAAAGUAUUUUAUAUUAUGUAUAAAAUUUUUAGAUUUUAUAAAUGAAAUUGAUAGAUUGACACAUACUUUUGAAUCUGUCAAUAUCUUUAAUAAAUGAUUUUUGAUUCAUGGUUCUUCAUUUAUAUUAUUUACAAAGAUACAUUUUAUCUUAGUUUAAUAAUAAUUUUAGCAAAUCUCUUUAUUUUAAAUUAAGACUUAAUUUAAUUUAUUUAUAUUUUAGUAAUUUUAAAAUUUAAAUUUUAACAAUUAUACUUUUUAAUUUUCAAAUUAUAAUUUCCUCUUAACAAAAAGUUAUAUUAUAAAGAAAUAGAAAAUUAAACUUUAACAAAUGAUUGGUUCAACAACUAAAGUUUGUGUCAAAUAAUUGUAAGGGGACAAAGUUUACAUAUUAAUAAAGUAAACAUGCAAGUAUUAAGAUUACGACUCAAAUCUUAUACAAAUUUAUUUUUUAUAAGAGAUAUGUAAAUAUUUAGAUUAAUCUCUAAAUUUAUUUUUUACUAGUUUUAUGUCAAAAUGUUUGCCAUCUAAUGCAUCGUGAUACAUCUUAUUAUUAAUUGAGAAUCAAAUAAUUUAUCUAUAUCAAAUUUUUAUUAUAAGUUUUAUUUUUAAAAAAUCGAAUAUCUUAUUAUUAAUUUUUUUCUUUCUAAGAAAGUGAUCGGCUCGUGGGAUAGUGAGGCCUGCUCACAUUCGAUGCAUCUACUGGCAUGAUACCAACUUGAAAAUAUAAAUCAACUCAACAAAAGCGAAGGCAUUACAGUCAAAAUGAAUCUCACCCAUAAUUAUGUGUGAGAAAGACGCGCCGGCGUUGAAAGUCUUCAAUUCUUCGCACUCCUCCAUCCAUUGAACUAAGACACUUUAUGACUUUGCUGUCGUCUCAAAGAGAAGCCUUUGCCCCCUUCCCCGGCAGCAUCCUUGGAGCAUUUUUGAAUCUCUUUCAUUACUCUUUAUUCUGAUUUUUUCUCACAUCUUAUCAUAUCUUUUAUUAUAUAUAUAUAUGUCAGGUAGAGACUUAAGCCUAACAUCCGUGUAAUUUUAGGUUAAAAAUUAUCGUCCGUGUAUCUAAAUCAAUCUCUUUUUCCACUUUGUGUCGAACGUUUAUGUCGUGCAUUUUGUUAGCUCUUCAAAAACUUGGGAGAAAGCUAAUAAGUAGACAUGUGCAUGUGGAUGAGAAUGAGAUGUAUGUUUUUUUCUUUAAACAUAAAAAGAUUAAUGGAUUUGGUUUUAUUGUUUGCAUAAACAAAAUGGAGGUUUUGUUUGGGCAAUUAAAAUAUUGCUACUUGUAGGAUCAGAAACAUAUAUUGCUACUUGUAGUUUUUGGGAUUAAGUCAAAUAUUCUAAACUUAAUGUAAUUGUGUUAUAUAUAUAUAUUAGAUAUGUAGUUGUAGUUAUAUACCAAAUUAAUUGUUAUUUUAUUGAGUUAGGAGUAAAGUUAGUAUAAUUUACAUGGAUCCGAGCAAUUUCUUCUAAUUCAAACUCAAUCCAACUUUACUUCAUCAAGAAAAAUUAGUUUUAAUUUAAAUUAAUUUAAAAAAUUAAGUCAUAAUUCAAACUUAAAUUGAUUUAUUUUAAAAUUUAAUAAUUUAAAAUCAAAAUAAUACGAAUUUGAUACUCGAAUAAUUUUAACGUUAAAUUCAAAUAAUCUAACUCAAAAUGAUUUGAAAUUGAAAUAAUUUAAAUCCAAAUCGAUAUAAUUUUUUUUAUCUAAAAUGAUUUGAUCCAAAAUAAUUUGACUUUUGCCACCCUCUUAAGGACUUGGAUUAGUUAUUGAGUAUCAAAUAAAAUAAUGUAAUUGAUCUAACGUAAAACAUGACAUUGCAAGAAAACACUCUUAACCAUUAAAAAUUGAGAGGUUUCGUAUUCGGAUUUAUAUGAUGAAUAUUAGGAUUUAUCAAAUGAGGGAGAUCCAAAAUCUUUAUGUAUACACUGUACCAAAAAAGUCAUUAUGUAUAAAAAAAUUUAUAUGCUUAAUUUAUAGUAUUAAUUAAGGUCUUGAAACAUACUUAAUUGAUUGAUUUCAUCCACAGAAAAAUUCAUAUUAAGAAUUUAGACUAAAAAAAGACUAAACAAGGAAUGUGACAAUUCUUUAAUUUAAAAAAAAAAUGGAGUGAUUACUUAUUUUAACUAGUUUUGGGACUUUUAGGUGAUAUAGUGAGAUGAAAUUUUAUUACAAUGUAACUACAUUUUAUAAUUGAACUUUUAAAGAUUCAAUGAAUAAAACGAUAUACAUGGCACGAUGAGAGUUCUCUCAUUUCGUUGGAUGAAUUUUUAAGGGUUAAUGUCAUAAAUAACCUUUAAAAUAUAGUUAGUUAUUCAAUGUGAUAUUUAAAUUUUAAAAAUUUUUAAUAUGUUACUUAAAUUAUGAAUCUAUUAACAAAUGUGAUAUUCACUUUUAAUGUGACUAAAUUCAAAUAAUAAUAUGUGGUGGACUAAUAAUUUUUUAAUUGCCUUAUUAAUUGACAUAUUCAUAAAUCAGAUUCCACAUUAAAAAUUUUUAAAACUUAAGUAUCAUAUUGACUAUUUUGUUAUAAUUUAAGGACAUGACAAUAACCGAAUUUUUAAGCAAUUGAAUUUUUGUAUUUCUCUAGAAGAAGAAUGCGUAGCUUCUAUGUAGCAAAUGAGUUUACAAAUUACACUUACUAAAGUUAGGAAAAAUAAAAAUACUAAAUUAUAGAAUUAGGGCAAAUAAUACUUGUAGUCCGUAAACUUUAAGUCAAAUUUUACUUUUGUCUUUAAUUUUUAAAAAAGAUCUAAUUGGAUACUCAAUUGCCUAAAAUUAACUUAUUUUAGUUUUUUUACCUAUAAAACUGUUUAAAUUAACAGUAAAUGUUAGCUGACACCACGUGUAUGGCACAAUUGACAUCUCACAUGACAAAUGAACUGAUAAAAUGAUCAAAAUAGAAUUUCGCACAAAGAUUAGAGACCAAAGAUGCUACUAUCUCGAAAUUUUUUAUAGUUUAGAUAUAUUUUAUAAAAUAUUAAUUUAAAAUAGUAUUUUUUAAAUUUUUUAAUAUUUUAUCAUUAAAUAUAUUUUGAUUUUAAUAGAUUUUAAAAAAUUAAAAUCAAGUUAAAAUUUUCAAAUUCUUUUGAAAAAAAUUACAUAUCAUUUUAAAAAAUUAAGUAAAAAAAUUUUAUUUUCAUAUCUUUUUAAAAUAUUAAGUAAACAUUUUUUAAAUUAUUUUAUUUUCAUUGUUAAAAUUUUAUAUUUAUAGAAAAUUAAAAAAAAAGGCAAUCAAAACAGUCCUUAUUGCUUCGAUCUCGUAAGGAAAAGAAAUCAAAGUAUUGAAAAUAAUAUAUAUAUAUAUAUUAUAAAUAUAACUAAACUUUAAUUUUUAAAAUAUUUUUCUAUUAAAAAUAAUAUUUUACUAAUAAUUAUUAUCAUAAUAAUAAUAAAAUUUAUUUUAAAUGAUAACAUUAUGUAAAAAAUCAAAUUUCUCUUUAAUUUUUUCUUUUUUCUUCUUUAUAAAAUAUAUUAGAAAAAGGAAAAGAAAAAUAUAGUUAAUAUUUUUAAUAGAAAUUAAAUUUUUUGGGUGGAAAAUAAUUUUUUAUUAUGAUUUAUUAGUAAAAUAAAAUUUUAAAUAUAAAAUAGUCUUCUAUUUUUAAAUUGAUAUAGAAUUUUUUUCACUAAGAUUUUUAAAAAUUUUAACUUAAUUUUAAUUUUUGAAUAUCUAUUUUUUUGUCAAAAACAGAAAAAAUUUAAUUAAUAAAUUAUGUUACAGUAAAAAAUAAAAAAUAAAUAUUUUAAAUUUAGUAUUUUAGAAAAUUAUAUUUGAAAUACAAAAAUUGAGAUAGUAACUUCCUUAUUCUCUAAAUUUUAUGCAAAAUUCUAUUUUGAUCCCUCCAUCUACCACAUAAAAUGCUAAUCGACACUAUCCACAUGGUACGUGUUAAUAUUUAACGUCAAUUUAGGCGAGCUCAUAAAUGGAAGAAUCAAAUUAGAAUAAUUUUGAGUAAUUAAAGAUUUAGUUAAUGUUUUUUUAAAUUUAGGAUCAAAAUAUAAUUUAACUCAUAAUUUAAGAACCAUGGGAGUUAUUAAUUCUAUAGAAUUAAUCAAAUAGUUGAAAAUUUUUUACAUGGUGGCUAGGUUUAAAUGUUCAAAGUUCCCAUAAAAAAAAAAAGUCGUGUUGUAAUGUUUAAUUGACUAGGGAAAUACAUGGCAGCUAUUAUUUCCAAACAACUCAACAAUACCAAAUUGUUGGUUUAAAUACUUUGAACAUGGAUUUCCACCUAGUUAAAGUGAACGAACCAAGUUUGUCAAAUUCAAUUUGUCAAUAUCUUAAUUUCAUAUUGAUAGUGAAAUUUUUAAAUUUUAUAAAUUAGAUUAAUAAAUUGACAUGAAUUUUUUUGGUGUAUUGAAAACAUAAAGAAUGAAUUAAAAAAUAAAAUAUGUAUCAAUUUUUAAUUUUGUUUGUUAAGUUAAGAAAUUUUAUUAAAAAUGUAUGGAAAAAGAACUUUUAUCUUUAAUGUGUAAGAAAAAUAAAAUUGGGCAAAAAAUAUUGCGAAUUUCCACAACUUCAUUUUGUUAUUGCCUUCUUGGCAAUUGUCAUGAAGUUUCGUCCUUGGCUUUGCAAAGUAAAUAAUGGACGGAAAUCAGUUGUCAUUUUUUUUUCUUGUCAUAAACGUGAGAAAAAAAAAUUGUUUAUGUUUGUGCUAUUACUUUUGCUUUUUAGGCCCAUCACUUUUCCUUUUUCAACUAAAUUUUAGUCCAAUCUUUCUAUUUAGUGUCAUUUACAAAAUAAAGCUUAUGUCCAAAUACACUUAACAAUCUUGUAUUUCAAUCAAGAUCGGAAAUUUUAACAAUAUAAGAGAUAUAUGAUUUAGACUUGGUGUUUAAAGUAGAUGAAAGUGACAAAUUUUUUUGUAAAAUUCAAUUUAACUAUAUAUGAUUUUCAUAAAUUUGGAUUGAUUCUAAAAGAAACGAGGCAAGUGUUGAUCUCCGAUUAAUGAUUUUAAUCUAUAAUUUCAUCGUCAUCAUUAUCAUCAACAUUAUUAUUAUUAUUAUUAUUUAGUUCUCAUCAAAAUUAAGAAAAUGUAGAUGAACCUUAUAAAAUCAAAAUUCUUGUUAUUUAUUAAAAUUUAUAUUAAAUGAAAUUAUUAGUGUAAUUUAUUAUUAAAACAUUAAAUGAUAUCAUUAUAAGAAAAUUUUUUCCCUAUAUUUACAGGUGAAAGGAUCAUGCAUACUAAUAGGUAAUAUUUCAAUAAAACAUUUUUCCAACUUAUAGUAGAAAAAUAGAAACCUUAAAUUGAACAAAAAAAAAAAUCAAUGAAGCUCACAAAUUUACCAUUAAAUACUGAUAAGCAAUUUUUAAUUAAAAAUAGUGAUUAAAAGGAAAUUAAUGACAACUUAACUGAGCAUAACUUGUAAUUGUAAAACCUUGCUUUAGUGACGAUAACUCGAUUUUUGUUGGUUGUACUUAUUUGUUUGUGUUUAUGAAUAUUUUCUCAUAAAAAAAAAAUGUUCCCACGUGAGUCAUAAAACAGACAUCAGAAUACUUUACAACCAAUCAUCUAACUUUUAGACAAAAAGAAUAAAUUAAUUUCCGUAACAGUUAUAUUAUUAUAAUAAUAAAAUAAUUUCUCAAAUCAUAAAAAAACUUUUAUUAUUAUUUUCUCUACUUUUUCAUCUCCAAAAAAUCAUAACCAAAUGACAAAAAAAAAAUUAGUGUCUGUAAUCACUGAUUAAGGAUUAUUUAAUUAUUAUAUUUAAAAUUUUUUUAUUUAAUGUUUUAUUUUCACCAAUUCAACAAAAUUAAUGCAUUAAUUAUAUAUUUUUUAAAUAUUAUCUUAACUAGUGUCACUAACCGUUCAUUAAUUUUUUUCAACAUGAAAACAAGUUUAAUCAAUUUUUAAUUUCAAUGAAACCCAGUAAACAUGUUGACAACAAUUAUUUAAUAAUUAAAAAAUAUUAUGUCUUGAAUUAAUUUAUAAAAUAUUUAAAAAUGUACCAAAAAAGAUUCAGCUAAAUAUAUUGAGAUCUGUCGCCUUGAUUCUGUCUGAUACGCAACAAGACUCGAUACGGAUUUCUUGAUUAAAAAAAAAAAAAUCAAACCACUCCUUCACAUUAAACCCCUAAAUCAACGGCUGAGAUUUUCCGCAGCCAUCAUUCAACUAUAUAUAUAAACUAAUAUGUCAAUCAUUUCCACCUGAAAAAUUUCUCCAAAUCUCUAACUGGUUUCAUUCUUUCAUUAUUCUCUCAAAACCCCAAUCCCAAAUCCUUUAAUCUUCUUUCAAGAAAAUUUAGUUACUUUUGUUUUGUUAUCUGAACAUUUAAUCUGAAUAAUUGGUUCAGUUUGUAGAAGAGCUUGGAUACUCGAUUUUUAUUAAAAGAAUAUUUGAUUUAUCGCCUUUUGGCGAGAAAUGAUAAGGGUUUUGACGAUGACAAGAUUGGAGGAGAGCAACUGGACGAUGGCAAAGUCUUUUGGGUCAUUUGGACUAGGGGGAUUACUACUGCUGGCGGCGUUGGCUGCUUCUAUGAUGGUUCUUCCGCUGGUGUUGCCGCCGCUACCGCCUCCGCCAUUGAUGCUUCUGCUGUUUCCAGUUGGGAUCAUGGCUGCUCUCAUGUUCUUGGCGUUUUACCCCACGGAGGCUACUGGAAAUGUCGUUGUUCAUACAGUAUAAGAACACAUGUUAAACGUGUCUUUCAUAGGAAGAUGGUCGGCCAUUGGGUCGGCGGCUCUGCUGAGGUCGUAGAUGUUGUUGAUUUCUUAUGACUAUAUAUUUGUACAACAUUUACAUUACUUUAUUGUUAAUUAUUUCUUACAAAUGAAUUAUACAUUCAAUUUUGAGAAAAAAAAAAAAAAAGAAAUUUGAAAGUAUAAACAUCAUAGAAAAAAUUUGUGAAUAAUUCCCUUUUCUUCUUUGUUUUCUACAUUUAUGGGGUUAUUAAUACAAAAAUAAUGCAUUUUAUGGUUUAAUGAUAUUAUCAAUGUGUUUAUCAAAAUAAUUAUUUAGUAGAAUAUUUUAUUUUUUGUUCUUAAGAUUUGAUUUUCGUAAAAAGAAAUUAAAAAUAAAAUCUUAAAUACAUGAUAUCAAUGUUAUUAAAUUUGAUAACUUUAAAUACGUUAAAAAAAUUAAAUAAAAAAAAUAAAAAUAAUAUAAUUUAAAAUUUUAAUAAAAAUUAUAUAUGUAUUUGAUAAAAAUAAAAAAUAUAUUUUAUAUUUGACGAAUUUAAUAUAAUUAUUUUUAUUUUUAUAUGUGUUUAAUAUAAAAUAAAUAUUAUAUAAAUAUAAAUAUAAAUAUAAAUAUAACAAAUAUAUCUUUAAAAUGAUUAAGGCGAAAAAAAUAGAAACAAUCUAACAAAGGAGCUGAAGAGCAGCCAUAAAACUUUAUGGAACAAGAGUGAAUAGGAAGUUGCACGAUUCAGCAGCCUUUUUAAACCAUGUUCAAAAUGGUUCAACCUUAAUGCUCAAAAACAUUAUUAUUAUUAUCUCAUGCUUUAAAAUUAGAUUAGCAUUUCAAUUUUGGAAAAGUUGGUCGUAACUACAGUGAUUUUGAAAAGCAUUUUGGCCUCAUGGGAUAUUAUUCUUGUGAUCAUAUCACAAAAAUAAUUGAUAUAUGUAACUUUGACACAAUUAAUAUGAACUCCUAUGUUCAUCAAAUAACAAUGUUCUACCUUUCUUCAAGUCUCAAUGCGCGGUUUUAGCCGCCUAAGGUUGAACAUGAAUUCUUUUUAUACCAUCUCUAAAUAUAUUGUUAUUGAUUUUUUUAAAAAUAUUACAGUAAUUUUUAAUUUAUUGAUGUAAAUGACAUAAAUUUAUUUAAUUUGGAAAUAUCAUAUUUUUCUACGUAAUUCAACUUAAACAAAAUUAAAUUAUAAUUAAAUUGAUUCAUAUAAUCACCUUUAGUAAAUGACAUCAUACUGUGACAUUUUUUUAUUAGGCGUGUAAAUGAUAUAUUAGUAUUUAUAAAUUACUCAGGUUCGAUUAGAAUAAAAUUCGAAUUCGACUCAAUUAUUAUCGAAUCAAGCUCGAGCUUGAGUAACUUGAUUUAUUAAUCGAGUCAAGUUUGAAUAUUUUUAUACUGACUCGAGUAGCUUGCGAGCCUAAUCGAGUUUUUAUAUUUUAAUAUAUUAGAAUUAUUUAAUUGAUAAAAUAUCUCAAACUCGAGUUCGUGCUCGAGCACAAAUAACUGAACUUUUGUCAAAUAUAAAAAUUAAACUUAUUUUUACAUUUUAAUUGAAUUUAAUCAAACGAAUUCGAGUAAUUCGAUUUUUAUUUUUAAUCAAGUUCAAGUGAAAAAAAAACUCGAUCGAAUUCAAACCGAAUUUCGAGCAUUUAAUUUAAAUUCGAGUUCGAACUUAAUAUUGUAUUGACUCGAACUAGAUUGAUUAUACUUUUAAUUUUUAUACUGAGAUUUUUUUUGUAAGAAAAGAAAUUUAAAUAUUUUGUUAGUUUCAUUGAGUAUUGUCACAUUAGAAAUUUGUAUGUCCAUGAUCAUAUUAAUCAGUUAAUUUUCUUAAUUAUAGUUGAAUUAACAUGUGAUAACCUUCGCUUGUAGAUUAAAAAAAAAAAAUUCACUUUCGAGAUACACGAUAAUUUUUUAAUAUUUUAAUCUUUGAUAAUACUACGGCCGAUUUCACUUGCUUUUUCUAGCAUCUUUAAGUCGUUUUAAGAUCCAAUAAAAUGAAAAUUACAGUCUGGAAUAUUCCCUACCAACAACUCGUGCUCUGAAUUUAAUCUAUUUCUGCAAAGUUGUGCUGAAUGCUGAUGCAAUCUCUGCUAAACAUCUUGAAAUUGUACUCUUAUUCUUAUAUUAUUUCCAGCAAAAAGAAGAUUAAAUCAAAGAUGCAUCUUACAUUGAAAAUUCCAAGUGCAGGAAACUGCAUUGUAACUCUGAUUGGGUAGCAAAAAAACAGUUUAAACUAUGACACAUUGUCAAAAUGUUUGAACCAGUUGGAACUACUUCAAAGACUCCAAAGUCUUUGGAUUCAUACCAUAUGUCCGAGUUAACAACAAAACAAACAUCAUCCAGCCUAGAUUUCCAAGAACCAAAACCUACUAUUAAUACUAAUAUACUAUGAGUUUUGCUAACGAUUAGUAACGUUACUAUUUAAAGUAAUAUUAUCGAAAUGCACUGAAAAAAUAUAUUACUUGAUAUAAUAACCUUAAAGAGUGCCCUUAGAACACUGCGGUUGAAAAAGUAAUGAACUUUUCAAUGCAUUUCCCUCCUUAUACUAGUUUAGAAUCUUUUGACAAAGAAAAGAUCCUUGCCGUUCCAUCUAUACAGUAAAAAAAAUUGUUUUAACUCCAUCCAAAUUUGGGCAUAAAUUAAACAACUUGGAACUACAACGUGCACAAAUUGGUUUCGAGACGAUUUGCUUUAACGGUUGGAAGAAAAAUCCGGUACUUUAACUCAAUUAAGCAGUAAAUAUAUUAGUCUUGUUCUUCUCACAUUUCAUUGUCUAGGAUAUCCCGCAUCAUUUGUAUUGGAAUGAGGCCUUCAGUGCGGAUUGCCAGCUUGUUUUGAUCAGGGCUGAUGAAGAAUAAAGUUGGCAAUCCUCUAACCUGGUACAACAGAAUUUCAAGUUCCACUCAGGUCACACACUAUACUAAACUGAAAGGAAGAUUUCCAGGCAAUUUGACGUAAGAUGCAAAACAGCUGUUUUAAAUUAGGCGAAUGGUUGCUGCCAUUACAGAAAAUGUGCACUGUGAAAAGGGGGGGAAAGGAGAAAUUAAGAAAUGAAUAUUACUUGGAAAAUUACCUGCAUAUUGUGCGCAAAUUCAUACUCAUCAUCAGCAUCGACUUUGACAAUAAUUGCAUUUUUCUCAUACUCCACUGCUAGCUGUGAUUAAAAAAAUAUAGAUAUAGAGAUUAUACUUGAGUAAAUCUCCAAACUGGAUCAAACAAAUCAGGCUGGUCCUAUUUGUUCACAAUAACCAACUACUCCAAACUUUUUCAACAUUGGUUAAUGAGUAUAAAUUUCAGUGAAUAAUGAGAUACAAAAUAUAGUUUGACGACAAAACUUUUUAUAAAUAAGCAACCAAAUAUAAAAAGUAAAGCCUGGUUUAACGCAAUCAAAUAUCUGAAUUUAAUUUGAGAAGAGAUGGAUGAAAGUGUUAAUUAAGCUCUGCAUGGUUAUUUAAGUGGGUUCAAGGACAUAACAUAGUUAAGGGCCAUCUUUUUGUCACUUUCCGGAAAGAGGCAUCUCAAAAUAUUUAGAAUAUAUAGAAGCUAUCUUUCAUAAUUGUGAUGAAAUGAGAAUUGUCAGCAAGCAUCUAACUUGUGCAUUAAAUGCAAAACUGCAGCAUUUUCCAAUGCCAUUUUUAGGACCUACUUUCCCAAAAAAUUAAGUUUAUACCAUGUUAAGGAAUGAUAGAUUCAGAAAAUGUUUGUCGAAAACUCACAAUAACAUCAUUUCUUUAGCAGAAAAUUCCGUAGUACAAAAUGUCAGAAAGUUUAUUGUACCAACGGAAAAAUGUCAGCAGGUCUCUACUCCUUUAAUUCUUCUACAGAGGCUACUCUCCUGGAGAAAAAUGGGUGCUCCAUACCAACCUGGAUCACCGGAAGAGAAAUGGAAGUCCCACAACGUACUCAUCUUAUUUUAUGAAACUACUUCAAUAACAUAUAGUGCACCUGCAUAUCUAAACCUCUUUGGUCAUGGAGUUGCUUCCCCUGCCCAUUAUUUUCCUCUUUAGUUUUCAGCUAUAGUCUAGUGCAUUGGCUUGUUUUUAUAGCUCUUAAGAUCCAUCAAAAAGAAAACUACUACACAAUCUGAAAUAUUCCUUAUUGACAACUUGUACUCUGCAUUUAAUCUAUUUCUGCAAGUUCUGCAGCCAGACCAGAUCAUGGCCGAUACAAUCUCAGCUGAACUCUUGAAAUCAUGGUUUUGUCUUCUACUAUGAAGUAGGAUUUCAACUCUUGAUGACCCUACAUCCAAAGCCAGAUCCUACAAUGAUCUUGCUUUUAAUAAUGGAGCAUGGCAAUUAGGUUAUUUUGGGAUUUUUUAUUGCAAAAAUUGUAAAAUCAGGAUCAAGAAGUUCAAUCUUUAUAAUUAUAAGCACUAGUAUGAUUGCAGUUGGGUUAUUAUGGUAAAUUUUUAUCGCAAAAUUAUAAAAUCAGGAUAAAGAAUUUCAGUCGUUUUAACUGUAAACAUUAGUACAAUUGACGAUAAGCUAAAAUAAACACCAGACCAGUACAUUAUUCCCCAGAUAAGGAAAAAUACUAUUCUUAUUCACAGAUUCUAUCUGUUUGAAACAAAUGUAAACGUCACAUAAGUUCUAGGAUAGAAAAUUCUUUUAGAAUGAUUUUAGAGGCCUAUGAUUUAAUUGUUCAUUCAUGACAGUUGAGGUCGACUUUCUGAUAUUUUACACCAACAUUCUAUAUUUUAUAAUAAGCUAUAAAAGAGUGUUGUAAAAUUAUAAUUUUGUGCGUAUUAUUAUUUUUUGUAACAUAAUCUUUUUUUAUUUAGUAUUAUAUUUUUAUAGGUAUAUUUUCCUUAAUUAUUCAAGUUAGAAUUAUCUUAUUAAUCUUAAUUAUGAUUAUUUGAUUUUUUUUCUUUUUAUUUCGGCUUUGAUUUAGUGUUCUUGAAUAUUUUACUAUGAAAAUUAAUUGAUACUUAUUUUUUCCCCAAUUUUAUAGUUGCAAGGUUUUCAUAUUAAAACAAAAAGUUAUGAUGUUAAAAAAAGAAUGUGAAUGAUGGUAAGUUUAUUUUAUCAAAAUUUUAAUUUUUUUAUAGACCUCUUUGAAUGAUUUGAUUUGAUCUAUUUAUAUAUUUUUUGAUUUUUUGAUUUAUUAUUAAUAUUUGGCACUUAUGUUUUCUAUCUCGAUAAAUUUCAUUAAUUUAAUUUCCCAAUAAAAAGGAUUAAAGUCUACUUUUCUUCAAUCAUUUAUUUGAUUAUUAAAUAUUUAUUAUAAUAUGAAGGGAAGAAAACUAAAAAUAUUCUUCAUUAUUUUUAUUAUACAUUAUAUUUUUUUUUUUUCUUUUUAUGUAAUUCAGCCAAAAAUUUAACCAUUUGAUAUAUUUGAAUUUACAUAGUUUCAACUUAAAUUUAUACAUAUAUAACAAACUUACAUUUACAGUCCUAUAAAAUCUUUGUUCUUUUUUUCUCAAACAUAUAUAAUACAUUUUGAUUCAGGCAUAUACUUCAUUGAUAAAUUUAUUUUUUGCCAAAAAUAUAUUUACAAUGUCCUAAAUAUUUAAAUUUUGAGUUUUAAUAGCAUUAAAUUUCUUUAUUGAUAUCAUUUAUGACUAAAAUAUGCAUAUUCAAAAUAAUAAAAAGGUAAAUAAUUAUUAAAAGGAAUCAUGCAUUUCCUUUAAUUGAUUAAAAAAGUAGGUGAAAUCACAUUAAAAUCUUAAAUUAAGGCAUACUUAAUCACACUUAUGGAAAAAUGUUUAAUUUGAUUUUUCUCAUUUAACUUUUUAAUUACAGGUAGUAUCCAUAUGAUAAUGAGUUACUCUUAAAUAUCAUUUGGAUAUAUGCAUGUGUAAAUUUUAUUAAGUGUUUAAUUAAGUAUUAAACAAUAUUAUUCAUUGAAUGUUUGAAUAUUUUACAAAAUAUUAUUCUCUUAGAUAUCAUUUGAAUAUAUGCAUAUGUUAUUUUUAUAUCUUUGUUAAAAAUAAUAUUUUUAUGCAUAAUUAUGUAUAUAUAAAAAUAACCCGUGCAUAGCACAGGCUACAAAUUAGUAAUAUUUAAAAUUUAAAAUUUUUUAUUAUGAUAUUUGAAUUAUAAAUUUAUUAAUUAAUGUAAUACUUAUUCCUAAUAUGAUUAAUUUUAAAUAAUGAUAUGUGAUUAUAAAUAACCCUUCAUGUGACAUAUUAAUUAAUAAAUUGAUAGUUCAGGUAUUAAAUUAGAUAUUUUUAAAAUUCAAAUACUAUAUUAAAUAUUUUACUAUAGUUUAAGGAUCAUUCAUAAUAUUAUCACAAUCUAAUAUAUAUACCAACUUAAUUAUUAUUUUAUUGAGUUAAGACUAGAUGCUUAAAAGAUUUAUUCAAAUUUGAACUCGAUUCCACUUUUUUUUCCAAUAGGAUGUCAUAGUUUGAGAAUAGAAAAAUGGAUUGCAAAUGUUAGGAUUCAAAUUUUAAACCUACAAACUAAUUGAACUAAGUUACAGAUUCAACUCAAUCCAACUUCAUUUAUCAAGAAAAUUCAUCGAUUUGAAAAAUCAACAAUUUGAACUUGACCAAACUCUAUUUGUACAAUAACAACAAUAAAUUAAGUCUUAUAUCCUAUAAUUCUAUGGUUGAUUGUAUGAAAGAAAAAAAAAAUGAAUCAUGUUAGGUUGUAGUUUUAAAUUUUCUUGCAACACUUUUAUCUAUAUAAAAAAUAUAUAUAUAUAUAUAUAUUUUCAUCUACUUUCUUAACCUUCAUAUCAUUUCUUAUUACUUCAACGUUUUUUGUGAUUUACCUCUAAAAGUUUUGGUUUUUCUCAAAUUCAAAAACUCAUUUCUCCUACUACUGCAUAAAUAAGUCUAUAUUUUAUCUAUCCAAGCCAUUUCAAAUGGCUCUUUCUCUCUCUUUUUUUUUUUUUUUUCCUUCAAUUCAAACUACCUUUAAUUUAUUUUGAAUUUCUUAUAAAAACUUUCUAAACAUUAUGAAAAUUAUAAAUCAAUUUUUAAAAAAUUUUAGUGAAAAAAUUUUGAUUAAAAUAUAAAAAAGUCUCUUAACUAUUUCACUUUUCUUAAAAAAAGCCAAUAUAUUUUUAUUAUACCAAAAUAAGCCUUUAUUUUUUUUUAUUUGUAUCCAAAUAAACCUUUAUUUCAAAUAACAAAUUUAUUUAUCUUAAGGAUUUAUUUAGGUACAAAUUAAAAAUUAGAGACUUAUUUGAAUAUAAAUAAAAGGUUAAAUACUUAUUUAAGUAAAAAUUAAAGUCUAAGGAUUAAUUUGAAUUUAACAAAAUUAUAAGGAUUUAUCUAAAUAAAAUGAUAAAAUUUUAAAAAACUUUAUUAUUUUAACCAAAAUUUUCUAAAAACAUGUCAAAAUAAUGCCCCACGCACCCCCACUUGCGCAAUAGAAAAAAAAUUAUCAAAUAAACUUUCUUAAUUUUUAGUUUAGUCCUUAAAACUUUAAAUCUUUAGCCAAACAUUAAAAAAAUUCAAAUGAUAUAUGCAUGGAAAAUGUAUGAGACAUAUUCUAACCAUAUAAAUUUCAUACAUGAAAUUUGAAACAUGUGAGAAAAAUAUAUAGUCAAAGUUUUGAUUUUUCUAGUUUGAUUAUGAUUUUUCUCUUAAAUCAUAAGUGCUUUUAGUACCAAAUUUUUAUAAAAAAUUCAAAUCAUCUUAGGGCACAUAUUUAUGUAAAAAUUUUAGUCUAAAGCAUUUGUUUAAAAUUUUAUUAUUAAAAAUUAUUCUAAGUUUUUAAAAAUAUUCUAGUAUACCAAACAACUAUAGAAGCAAAUCUAAAAGUGAAAACAAGCAUAACAAUGUUUUGAUUCCACUAUUGGAACUUAUUGAAAAAUAUAUGUAAGAAUAUUUGUAAAUUUAAGAUUAUUUACUCCAAUGCUAAUAUGAAUUCCCAAUAUCAAUUUACUUACAUUUGCUUCAUGAAUCUUUAAAGAUUUAUUUUUUAAAUUACUUUUUAAACAACUUCUUGGAUCUUGUUAGUCAAUGAAACAAUUUUUAGAGCUUAUCACAAAUUUUAUACUAAGUUUUAGGGUCUGAGGUAGAUAACCAAAAAUUUAGUAAGAGAGAGUUGAGGAGCAAGAUCUUUAUACUAAACUAAUUAAAAUUAUUAUUCCUUCCAUUUCAAAUUGUUUGGAUUGUAUUGAUUUUCAUGGAGUUUAAAAAAAAAUUUUUAAUUUUAAUAUAUUUAAUAUUAAAAUUAAAUUGUUUUAUAAAAUUAAAGUUUCAUGAUUUUUAAUUUCAAAAAGUAAAAAAAUUAUAAAAUAUAAUUUUAAAUAUAAAAAAGAAUUUUAGAUGUUAAAAAAAAUAAAAUUUUGGCAUAUCGAAAUUUUUUUAAAAAAAAAAUAAGACAAAAGGAGCUCUUCUUUUUGUUAAUUUCUGUAAAUACGUGUGUCCAUUAAUAUAGCACAUAUUCCAAUUAUUGGCAAUAGAUUUUUAAUAACAUUUAUGCAAAAUUAUAUUAAGAAAAAAAAUCUAAACUAACCCAUAUUAUAAAUUAGAUAAUGUCUACUAACAAAUUUGAAUCCAUUUGGUCCACCUAUAUUUGGAAUCAUCAUCGAACCUUGGACUCUUCCAAUUUCCAACUUUAGUCAAAUAAAAAAAAUAAAAAAGUCCACUUUCCAAUGUUUGAUAUAAAGGCGUGGAAAGAUGGACCUAAAACGACCAACACAAUCAAUUCUAUGAUAUUAGUGAGCAGUUUCAUGGUAGGGAAUUCUUUUUCAACUUCUAUACCAUAUCAAUUAAAUCAAAUCAACCAAAACAAAUUUGAGUAAAAUUUAGAGCCUAGGUAAAAAAAUAGUCUUCUAGUUAAAAUUCAAUUAAUCUAGAUAAUAAAUGAUUUUGGAUCCGUGGUUCUUCAUUGAUGUUAUUUUCGAUUGCAUGAUUUUAUAGGACAAGACACAUUUUGUUCUAAUUAAAUCAUGAUUUUAGUGAAUCUCUUUAUAUUAAAUUACAUAUAAAUUAAAAUUUAAUUUAUUUAUUUAUAAUUUAAUAAAUUUAGAAUUCCAAUUUUAAUAUGUGAAAUCUCUAAUUAUUAUUUUUUUAUAUUACAAUCUUCUCUCAACAAAAAGAAAAUUUUAUAUUACAAAAAAAUAACAAAUUAAACGUUAACAAAUGAUUAGCUCAAUGGUAAAAGUUUGUGUCCAAUAAUAAUAGUUUUAAGCUCUAUUUAAAUGGAUAAUAAAAUUAGUUACAAUGAGAUUAAAAAUAAUAAUAAAAUUUAUUAUAAUUUCGAUUAAAAAAAAUUAUUGUAAUUAUGAUUAAAAAAUUAAUAAAAAAUUUAUACUGACUUAAUUUUAUUAAAAUUGAUAUUUAAAUUUAAUUAAAAAUGUAAUAAAUUUAAUUGUACCACGUUGAAAGUACUAUAGGAUCUAAACGACUACUUAGCUAAUUCUCUUGAUAUAAAGGGUUGAAAAAAAUGCAACUACUAGGAUUACAAUUCAAAUUUUAAAUUAAUUUCUUUAAAGAAAUGUGUAAACAUUCGAAUUAAUCUUCAAAAUUAUCUUUUAUUAGUUUAAUCUCAAAAUGUUCGCCGUCUAAUGCCUCAUGAUACAUCAUAUUAUGAAUUAAGAAUCAAACAAUUUAUUUUUUUAAAAAAAUCGAAUAUCUUAUUAAGAAUUUUUUCUUUAAAAAAACCUAAAAAGGAAAAGUGAUAGGCGCGUGGGACAGUGAGGUCGACCCACAUCCGAUGCAUCUAGUGGCUUGGUACCAAUUGCAAAAUAAAAAUCAACAAAAACAAAGUCAUCGCAAUCAAAAUAAAUCUCACCCAUUAUUAUGUGUGUGUAUGUGCCGGCGUUGAAAGUCUUCAAUUCUUCACACUCCUUCAUCCAUUGAACUAAGACGCUUGUAUGAACGACUUUGCUGUCGCUCCAAGAGAAACCUGUGUCCCCUUCCCACCAGCAUCCUGGAUUUUGGCAGCAUCUUUGAAUCUCUUUCAUUACUAUUUAUUUUAAUUUUUUUCUCACAUCUUAUCAUAUCUUCUUCAUUUAUUUUGUGGGUGACAAUAAGACGUAUGUCUUUUUUUUUUUUUUCAACAUCAAAAGUUUAAUGGAUUUGGUUUUGUUUGUUUGCACAAAUAAAAGAGGGGUUUUGUUUUGGCAAUUAAAAUAUUGCUACUUGUAGUUUUCGGGAUUAAGUUAAAUGUUCUAAACUCAAUGUCAUAGUGUCUUAUAUGUAUUAGAUAUGUAGUAGUAGUUAUAUACCAACGUAGUUGUUAUUUUACUGAGUUAGAGUAAAGCUAGUACUAUGACUUACAUGAAUCCAAAUAAUUUAUUCGAAUUUAAUUCAAUAUAAUUGUAUUUUAUCAAGAAAUUUUAAUUUAAAUAUAAAUAAUGAUAAGUGAUAGAUAAAUAACCUUUUAAAUAUCACAGUAAUUAACAUAUUUAUAAUUUCAGUAUUACAUUAAGAAUUUUUAAAAUUUAAAUAUCACAUUAAAUUUUUUAUUAUAAUUUAAGGAUCAUUCAAGAUAUCAACUCAAUUCUUAAUCAAUUGAAUUUUUGUAUUUCUCUAGAAGAAGAAUGCAUGGCUCUUAUUUGGCAAAUGAGUUUAAAAUUACAUUUAAUAAAGUUAGGAAAAAAGAAAGACUAAAGUAUAAAGUUAGGGUAAAUAGCAUCUGUAAUAUUUAAAUAUUGAGUUAAAUUUUAUUUUGAUUCUUAUUUUUUAAAAAAAUUUAAUUAGAUCUCAAUUGCAUAGAAGUAUCAUAUUUUGGCCCUUCCACCUAUGAAACCAUCUAAAAUAAUAAUAAAUGUCAGCUAACAUCAUGUGGAUGAUACCAUUGACAUUUCAUGUGGUAGAUGGAUUGAUAGAGAGGUCAAAAUAGAAUUUCGUUUAAAGUUUAAGAACAAAAAAUGUGACUAUCCCAAAUUUUUUAUAUUUCAAAUAUAUUUUAUAAAAUAUUAAAUUUAAAAUAAUAUUUUUAUGUAUUUUUAAUUAUAAUAUUUUUUAUUCAUUAAAUAUAUUUUUUUGUAAUAAAUUUUCAAAAUUCUUUUGAAAAAAUUACAUAGCAUUUUAAAAAAUUAAGUAAAAAAUUAUAUUUGUUUAAAAAAUUAAAUAAAUAACUUCGUAUCUUUAAAAUAUUAAGUAAAAAAUUUCAAAUCAUUUAAUAUUAUUUAUUUAAAUUUUAUUUUGUAGAAAAUUAAAAAAAAUCAAAAUGGUCCUUAAUGCCUCUAGUCUGGUAUGGAGAAGAAAUCAAAGUAUCGAAAAUAUUUUUUAAUUUUUUAUAGUAUAAAAUUUAUAAUAAAAUAUUUCAAAAUAGGUUUUUUUGGAUAGAAAAUAAAUUUUUGAAUAGAUUAAAAAAUCUUUUUUUAAAUGAUAUGAAAAUUUUUACUUAAUAUUUUAAAAUGAUAUGAAGUUUUUUAUUUGAUUUUUUAAACCAAUAUGAAAUUUUUAUUUAAUUUUUAAAAUGAUAUAGAAUUUUUUUAAAGGGGUUUUCAAAUUUUUAACUAAAUUUUAAUUUUUAAAAUAUUUUUAUUAAAAACAGUAUUUCACUAAUAAUUAAUAUCAUAAUAAAAAAUUAUUUUAAAUUAUAAUAUUUUAUAAAAUAUAUAUGAAAUGUAAAAAAUUCAAUUUAUUUAUUUAUUUUUCUUUAUUUUUCCUUUUUUUCUUCUUUAUAAAAUAUAUUUUGUAAAAUAUAUUAGAAAAAGGAAAAGAAAAUUAUAUCUAAUAUUUUUAAUAGAAAAUAAAUUUUUUGGAUAAAAAUAAUAUUUUUAUUAUGAUUUAUUAGUAAAAUAAUAUUUUUAAUAUAAAAUAGUCUUUUAUUUUCAAAUUGUUAUGGAAUUUUUUCAAAAAGAUUUUAAAAAUUUUAACUUAAUUUUAAUUUUUGAAUAUCUAUUUUUAUCAAAAACAAAAACUAUUUAACUAAUAAAUUACAUUGCAAUAAAAAUAUAAAAUUAUUAUUUUAUAUUUUAUAAAAAUAUAUUUUAAAUAAAAAAAAAUUUGAGCUCUAAACUUUGAGUAAAUUUCUAUUUUGAUCCUUUCAUCUCCUGGCAAGAUGCCAACAAACAGCAUCCACAUGGCGUUAACCGGUAUUUAACGUCAAUUUAAACGAUUUUAUAAAUAAAUAAAAAAAGCAUAUUAGGAUAACUUUAAAUAUUGAUUUCUACCUAGUUAAAGCGAAUGAAAGUUUGUCCAAUUCAAAUUGUCAAUAUCUUUAAGAGAAAUUAUUUUAUAUUAUUCAAAAAAUUUUUAGAUUUUACAAACGACAUUAACAGAUUAACACAUACUUUUGAAUCUGUCAAUAUCUUUAAUAAAUGAUUUUUGAUCCGUAGUUCUUCAUUGAUAUUUUUUAUAAAAACACAUCUUAUCUUAGUUUAAUAAUAAUUUUAGCAAAUCUUUUUAUUUUAAAUUAAAACUUAAUUUAAUUUAUUCAUGUUUUAAUAAAUUUAAAUUUUAACAUUUAUAAUUUUUAAUUUUCAAAUUGCAAUUUCCUCUCAACUAAAAGUUAUAUUAUAAAGAAAUAAAAAAUUAAACAUUAACAAAUGAUUGGUUCAACAACUAAAGUUUGUGUCAAACAAUCGUAAGGGGGACAAAGCUUACAUAUUGAUAGAGAAAACAUGCAAGUAUUAAGAUUACACUCGAAUCUUAUAAAAAUUUAUUUUUUAUAAGAGAUAUGUAAAUGUUUAGAUUAAUUUUUAAAUUUAUUUUUUUUACUAGUUUUAUCUCAAAAUGUUUGCCAUCUAAUGCAUCAUGAUAAAUCUUAUUAUGAAUCAAGAAUCAAAUAAUUUAUCUAUCUCAAAUUUUUAUUAUUAAGUUUUAUUUUUAAAAAAUCGAAUAUCUUAUUAUUAAUUUUUUUCUUUCUAAGAAAGUGAUAGGCGCGUGGGAUAGUGAGGCCUGCUCACAUUCGAUGCAUCUACUGGGAUGAUACCAACUUGAAAAUAUAAAUCAACUCAACAAAAGCAAAGGCAUUACAAUCAAAAUGAAUCUCACCCAUAAUUAUGUGUGAGAAAGACGCGCCGGCGUUGAAAGUCUUCAAUUCUUCGCACUCCUCCAUCCAUUGAACUAAGACACUUUUAUGACUUUGCUGUCGUCUCAAAGAGAAGCCUUUGCCCCCUUCCCCGUCAGCAUCCUUGGAGCAUUUUUGAAUCUCUUUCAUUACUAUAUAUUCUAUUUUUUUCUCACAUCUUAUCAUAUCUUUUAUUAUCAUAUCUUAAGUCAGGUAGAGACUUAAGCCUAACAUCCGUGUAAUUUUAGGUUAAAAAUUAUCGUCCAUGUAUCUAAAUCAAUCUCUUUUUCCACUUUGUAUCGAACGUUUAUGUCGUGCAUUUUAUUAGCUCUUCAAAAACUUGGGAGAAAGUUAAUAAGUAGACAUGUGCAUGUGGAUGAGAAUUAGAUGUAUGUUUUUUUCUUUAAACAUAAAAAUAUUAAUGGAUUUGGCUUUAUUGUUUGCAUAAAUAAAAUGGAGGUUUUGUUUGGGCAAUUAAAAUAUUGCUACUUGUAGGAUCAAAAACAUAUAUUGCUACUUGUAGUUUUUGGGAUUAAGUUAAAUAUUCUAAACUUAAUGUAAUUGUGUUAUAUAUAUAUAUUAGAUAUGUAGUUGUAGUUAUAUACCAAAUUAAUUGUUGUUUUAUUGAGUUAGGAGUAAAGUUAGUAUAACUUACAUGGAUCCGAGCAAUUUCUUCUAAUUCAAACUCAAUCCAACUUUACUUCACAAGAAAAAUUAGUUUUAAUUUAAAUUAAUUUAAAAAAUUAAGUCAUAAUUCAAACUUAAAUUGAUUUAUUUUAAAAUUUAAUAAUUUAAACUCAAAAUAAUCCGAAUUUGAUAAUCCAGACUUGAAUAUUUUAACGUUAAAUUCAAAUAAUCUAACUCAAAAUGAUUUGAAAUUGAAAUAAUUUAAAUCCAAAUCGAUAUAAUUUUUUUUUCUCUAAAAUGAUUUGAUCCAAAAUAAUUAGACUUUUGCUACCCUCUUAAGGACUUGGGAUUAGUUAUUGAGUAUCAAAUAAAAUAAUGUAAUUGAUCUAACGUAAAACAUGACAUUGCAAGAAAACACUCUUAACAAUUAAAAUUUGAGAGGUUUCGUAUUCGGAUUUAUAUGAUGAAUAUUAGGAUUUAUCAAAUGAGGGAGAUCCAAAAUCUUUAUAUAUACACUGUACCAAAAAAGUCAUUAUGUAUAAAAAAAUUUAUAUGCUUAAUUUAUAGUAUUAAUUAUGGUCUUAAAACAUACUUAAUUGAUUGAUUUCAUCCAUAGAAAAAUUCAUAUUAAGAAUUUAGACUAAAAAAGGACUAAAUAAGGAAUGUGACAAUUCUUUAAUUUAAAAAAAAAUGGAGUGAUUACUUAUUUUAACUAGUUUUGGGACUUUUAGGUGAUAUAGUGAGAUGAAUUUUUAUUACAAUGUAAUUACAUUUUAUAAUUGAACUUUUAAAGAUUCAAUGAAUAAAACGAUAUACAUGGCACGAUGAGAGUUCUCUCAUUUCAUUGGAUGAAUUUUUAAGGGUUAAUGUUAUAAAUAACCUUUAAAAUAUAGUUAGUUAUUCAAUGUGAUACUUGAAUUUUAAAAAUGUUUAAUAUGUUACUUAAAUUAUAAAUCUAUUAACAAAUGUGAUAUUCACUUUUAAUGUGACUAAAUUCAAAUAAUAAUAUGUGGUGGACUAAUAAUUUUUUAAUUGCCAUAUUAAUUGACAUAUUCAUAAAUCAAAUACUAUAUUAAAAAUUUUUAAAACUUAAGUAUCAUAUUGACUAUUUUGUUAUAAUUUAAGGACAUGACAUUAACCAAAUUUUUAAUCAAUUGAAUUUUUGUAUUUCUCUAGAAGAAGAAUGCGUAGCUUCGAUGUAGCAAAUGAAUUUACAAAUUACAUUUACUAAAGUUAGGAAAAAUAAAAAGACUAAAGUAUAGAAUUAGGGCAAAUAAUACUUGUAGUCUGUAAACUUUAAGUCAAAUUUUACUUUUGUCUUUAAUUUUUAAAAAAGAUCUAAUUGGAAACUCAAUUGCCUAAAAUUAACAUAUUUUAGUUUUUUUACCUGUAAAACUGUUUAAAUUAACAGUAAAUGUUAGCUGAUACCACGGUAUGGCACAAUUGACAUCUCACAUGACAAAUGAAUUGAUAAAAUGAUCAAAAUAGAAUUUCUCAGAAAGAUUAGAGACCAAAGAUGCUACUAUCUCAAAAUUUUUUUAUAUUUUAGACAUAUUUUAUAAAAUAUUAAUUUAAAAUAGUAUUUUUAAAUUUUUUAAUAUUUUAUUCAUUAAAUGGAUUUUGUUUUUAAUAGAUUUUCAAAAAUUAAAAUCAAGUUAAAAUUUUCAAAUUCUUUUGAAAAAAAUUACAUAUCAUUUUAAAAAAUUAAGUAAAAAAAUUUUAUUUUCAUAUCUUUUUAAAAUAUUAAGUAAAACUUUUUAAAAUUAUUUUAUUUUCAUUGUUAAAAUUUUAUAUUUAUAGAAAAUUAAAAAAAAAAAGGCAAUCAAAACAGUCCUUAUUGCCUCGAUCUGGUAAGGAAAAGAAAUCAAAGUAUUGAAAAUAAUAUAUAUAUUAUAAAUAUAACUAAACUUUAAUUUUUAAAAUAUUUUUCUAUUAAAAAUAAUAUUUUACUAAUAAUUAUUAUCAUAAUAAUAAUAAAAUUUAUUUUAAAUGAUAACAUUACAUAAAAAGUCAAUUUUUUCUUUAAUUUUUUCUUUUUUCUUCUUUAUAAAUUAUAUUUUAUAAAAAAUAUUAGAAAAAGGAAAAGAAAAAUAUAGUUAAUAUUUUUAAUAGAAAUUAAAUUUUUUGGGUGGAAAAUAAUUUUUUAUUAUGAUUUAUUAGUAAAAUAAAAUUUUAAAUAUAAAAUAGUCUUCUAUUUUUAAAUUGAUAUAGAAUUUUUUUUCACUCAGAUUUUAAAAUUUUUAACUUAAUUUUAAUUUUUGAAUAUCUAUUUUUUUGUCAAAAACAGAAAAUUUUAAUUAAUAAAUUAUGUUACAAGAAAAAAUAAAAAAUAAAAAAUAAAUAUUUUAAAUUUAAUAUUUUAGAAAAUUAUAUUUGAAAUAAAAAAAUUGAGAUAGCAACUUCCUUAUUCUCUAAAUUUUAUGCAAAAUUCUAUUUUGAUCCCUCCAUCUACUACAUAAAAUGCUAAUCCACACUAUCCACAUGGUAUGUGUUAAUAUUUAAUGUCAAUUUAGGCGAGCUCAUGAAUGGAAGAAUCAAAUUAGAAUAAUUUUGAGUAAUUAAAGAUUUAGUUAAUUUUUUUUAAUUUAGGAUCAAAAUAUAAUUUAACUCAUAAUUUAAGAACCAUGGGAGUUAUUAAUUCUAUAGAAUUAAUCAAAUAGUUGAAAAUUUUUUACAUGGUGGCUAGGUUUAAAUGUUCAAAGUCCCCAUAAAAAAACAAAAAGUCGUGUUGUAAUGUUUAAUUGACUAGGGAAAUGCAUGGCAGCUAUUAUUUCCAAACAACUCAACAAUACCAAAUUGUUGGUUUAAAUACUUUGAACAUGGAUUUCCACCUAGUUAAAGUGAACGAACCAAGUUUGUCAAAUUCAAUUUGUCAAUAUCUUAAUUUCAUAUUGACAGUGAAAUUUUUAAAUUUUAUAAAUUAGAUUAAUAAAUUGACACGUAUUUUUUUGGAGUAUUGAAAACAUAAAGAAUGAAUUAAAAAAUAAAAUAUGUAUCGAUUGUUUAAUUUUGUUUGUUAAGUUAAAAAAUUUUAUUAAAAAUGUAUGGAAAAAGAACUUUUAUCUUUAAUGUGUAAGAAAAAUAAAAUUGGGCAAAAAAUAUUGGGAAUUUCCACAACUUCAUUGUGUUAUUGCCUUCUUGGCAAUUGUCAUGAAGUUUCGUCCUUGGCUUUGCAAAGUAAAUAAUGGACGGAAAUCAGUUGUCAUUUUUUUUUUCUUGUCAUAAACGUGAGAAAAAAAAAUUGUUUAUAUUUGUGCUAUUACUUUUGCUUUAUAGGCCCAUCACUUUUCCUUUUUCAACUAAAUUUUAGUCCAAUCUUUCUAUUUAGUGUCAUUAACAAAAUAAAGCUUACGUCCAAAUACACUUAACAAACUUGUAUUUCAAUUUUUAAUUUCAACGAAACCCAGUAAAAAUGUUGACAAUAGUUAAUUAAUAAUUAUUUAAUAAUUAAAAAAUAUUAUGUCUUGAAUUAAUUUAUAUAAUAUUUAAAAAUGUACCCAAAAAGAUUCAGCUAAAUAUGUUGAGAUCUGUCGCCUUGAUUCUGUCUGAUACGAAACAAGACUCAAUACAGAUUUCUUGAUUAGAAAAAAAAAAAAAAAAAAACCAAACGACUCCUUCACAUCAAACCCCUAAAUCAACGGCUGAGAUUAUCCGCAGCCAUCAUUUAACUAUAUAUAUAUAUAUAUAUAUGAACUAAUACGUCCACCACUUCUACCUAAAAAUUUCUCCGACUCUCUAACCGUUUUCAUUCUUUCAUUAUUCUCUCAAAACCUCAAAUCCCAAGUCCUUUCAUCUUCUUUCAAGAAAAUGUGAUUACUAUUGUUUUGUUAUUUGAACAGCUAAUCUGAAUAAUUGGUUCAGUUUGUAGAAGAGCUUCGAUACUCAAUUUUUAUUAAAAGAAUAUUUGAUUUAUCGCCUUUUGGCGAGAAAUGACAGAGUUUUGACGAUUACAAGAUUGGAGGAGAGCAACUGGACGAUGGCAAAGUCUUUUGGGUCAUUUGGACUAGGGGGAUUACUACUGCUGGCGGCGUUGGCUGCGUCUAUGAUGGUUCUUCCGCUGAUGUUGCCGCCGCUACCGCCUCCGCCAUUGAUGCUUCUGUUGCUUCCAGUUGGGAUCAUGGCUGCUCUCAUGUUCUUGGCGUUUUCCCCCACGGAGGCUGCUGGAAAUGUCGUCGUUCUUGUUCAUACAGUAUAAGAACACAUGUUAAACGUGUCUUCCAUAGGAAGAUGGUCGGCCAUUGAUGGGCGGCUCUGCUGAGGUCGUAGACGUACGUUGUUGAUUUUAUUUGAAGAGUACACCGUCCUUUCCAUGUUUGAUAACAUGGGUGCACCUCCAGAAUUCCUUCAAUCUGUAAUAUCUUAUCUUUUGCGUGGGAAGUUGAUAGAGAUCCUAUUAAUCUUGGACGUAAAAUAAAGAAGUUGGUCGUGGAACUAGUAAUAGUUCAAGCAGCUGAUGAUGAGAUUGAUGACGUGAUUGAUGAGUCAUCAACUACGUUGAAUUUCAAGCCUGCUAGUAAAUCUUCUAUUCAAGCUUUGAAAAGGGUGAAAUUUGGCAACGAUGAAGAUAGUCUUUUAUCCUUGAAGAAGAGGAGAAGACGUGAGGAUAUGAAUUCCAAGAAACAAUGUACUAUUUGUUUGGAUGAUUUCAUCGACGGUGAGGAGAUUGCUUCGAUGCCUUGUGGACAUGUUUACCAUGAUGGUUUCACUUUUAGAUGGUUUGAAACGAAUCACUUGUGCCCAUUAUACCGAUAUGAGAUGCCAAGUUGAUCUAAUUUAUAUCUUUUCCAAGUGGUGAAAAUAACUUAUUUUAUUUUGUUAUUGAAUGUGCGUUUGAGAAAAGGAAAUUGUUUUGGUGCUUUUGGGAAAAAGGUUGAGAUUGAACUCGUAUAAUUUGCUAACAUAGUGGAUAUUAUUCGAAUUUGUCCUAUGAUUUUUUCCUCAACGUGGGAGGAUUUUUCAUGUAAAUAUUUUUGUUUUUAUACUAAUGCUUGCAAUUUCUGUUUAAUUGAUUGAUUUGAAUAAAUUUUAUUAUGAAUUAUUAUUGGUUUGUGUUGUAGUGUCUAUAAUUCGUUUAUGAAAGUUUAAUACCUGAGGUUUAAUAAUUUUUGCUCAUUGGAAGAUACUAUUAAAUCUUAAUUUCUUUUCAUGAUCACAUUAAAGAGGAUCAAAAAACUUUAUUUGCUCCUUAAAGGGUUUGUUCAUAUACAUUGAUCCCUCAUAUCAUUUUUUUUUUCUUUGGUUCCUUCAGAAAGUUUUGUUUCCAAUUAACUAAAAAGCACAUCACCAAAACCAAAAAGAAACAAUUCAACCAAUGCAAAUUUUAUAUCUAGAAAAGGGCCAAACAGUGCUCAUUAAUGUGCUCUUAAAUUUUGGAAAUUACUGUUAGAAGCACUCUUUUUCCAAUUUUGAUUUUGUUUGCCAUAUUUUUAUGAAGCAAAAGGUUAAAAUAAAGAUGGGUCCUGUAUUAGUUAUUAUGGAAAUAUCUGUGGGCUGGACUAUAAUUUUGAGUCAUUACUGGCAUAAUUCAUUAUUCUAUUUUAUUGAACUAAAAUAAAAUAAACUUUUUAUAUAUAAUUUUUUUCCCAAUUUGUCUUUCCUUUGUCAUUCUUUUUUCAAGACAAAGGUUAAGAAUUUGAUAUUUCAACUUUUUUAAUGUUAUUUUAAAGAUUAUUGUCAAAGUGAUCCUAUGUUAAAAAUCAAAAUUGAGGCAAAUAGAUUAUCAAGUUAUUUUUGUAUGUCAUGAUGUGCAAUACAAAAUCUAAAACAGCUCAAACCUAUCUUUUAUAUAAGAAUUUAUUUUACAUAUAAUCUCAAUAAAAUCACCCUUGAUUUUGUUGAGUGAGGCAUUAAUUUUAACACAUUGCUUGUAUGAUUUCUCAAUUUUAUUUCCCUAUUUUAUUAUUUUUCACAAUUAAUUAUUUUCUUAAUUAUAUAAUUUAAUUAUAUCUUUAUUAAUGCCUAUAAAUACAUUACAUUAUGCUUAUAAACUCAUUUAAAAAUAAUAUAUAUAAGAUUUUAUGUAUUUUACCAAUGAAUCACAAUUUAUCAUUGUAUUAAUCACAACGGCAAAAAAAAAUUUAUACGAUGACAAGUUAUGAUUAUUGUUUAUAUUAUUGAUUAUAUAUUAACAGUGUAUUAAAUAUAAAUUUUAAAAUUAAAAUUAAUAAAUAUAAAUUACUUCAAAUUUUAUGAAUUAAAGAUAAUUUAUUUUUUAUAAAAAAAAUCAUAAUUUGAAAGUAAAAUCAAGAAUUGCAAAUACUAAUAUUAAAAUUCAAACCUUUUGAAUGUUAAUUUUUUAAGAUUUAAUUUCAACUUUCACAAGAAACAUGUAAUACACUUGAAACAUGGAUACAUGUGAAUCUUGCACAAACCAAUUAAAGGCUAGACAGGCACAUGUCACCAAUGUCUUGGUCUCUCCCAACUUUAGUCAAAUAAAAUGUCCAUGUUCCAAUGUUUAAUUAAAACACAUGGGAAGUUUAACCUAAAAUGUCAAACGCAAUCAACUCUUUUGUUGUGGAAGGGAUCCUCUUUGAACUUCUAAACCAAAUCAAAAUAAAUUAAAUCGACCAUAAUAAUUUGUUGGCAUUAGAGAUUAGACAUCAAUAUGGGUAAGCCCCAAGUUAAAAUUCAUUUAAUCUAUAAAAUAAAUGAUUUUGGAUGCAGAUUAUUAUUUUUUAUUUGAAAUUGUCAACAUUUUAAUCUUAAUAAUUAAAAUUAAAAACCCAACAUCCUAUAAUAAAAUACAUAAUUAUUUGUUAUAAUAAUACAUUAAUUAUAAAUUUUUUUCUUAAAUAUCACAUUAAUAAGUGUUAAAAAAAAUUAAAUAACAUAUUUAUGUUGAAUUUUAUAUAAAAAAUUACAGACACUAACAAAUGGGUGGCUUGAUAUUUAAAGUUAGCCUAGUUUCAAAACCAACUAAUGUUAAAUUUUUUAAUUUAAUCUCAAAUUAUUUUUUUGGUAUGAGACUUUUUGGUAUUUAGUAGUUAUUUUAAAUCUCAAUUAAUUCAGAAUUAAAUUGAAUCAAAUCCCAUAAAGGGAUAAACUCUCUCAAACUUUUUUUUUAUUUAUAAAAUUCAAAAUUAAAAUUUUAUUUAAAAAAAUUAAGUUAUGUACCACUUGGAUUAACAAGCGCGGUUAUUUAAUCUCAAAUUAAUGAUUUCUUAUGAAGAAUAUAAUAAAACAUUUAAUCUUAAUUGAAAACCGACCCAUUUAUUGAUCUUGAAUUUUUGUAUUAUAAGUUUUUUAAAAUUAUGUAAAUUUUUAUUAUAAAAUUAAAAAAAAAAAAAGAAGUGAAAGGCGCGUUACUAUUGAGGUCGGUUCACAUUCGACCCAUCAUUAUCUCUGUGUGUGUCAGACGCGCCUCGGUUGAAAGUCUUCACACUCCAUCCAUUGAACUAAGACAGUUCUACGACGUUGCUGUCGUCUUCCUCAGCGUUCUUCGAUUUUGGGAACGUCGUCUUCCAAUCUCUUUUUAUUUUAAAAUUUUCACACCUCAUCGUAUCUUCUUCUUGUUUUUGUAAGCAGGUGGGUUGAAAAUGGGAUAUAUGUUUUUUUUUUUUUUUAAAUUAAUGAUUUGGUUUUAUUUGUUUGGCUAGAUAUGAUGGGAUUUUGUUUGGGUAAUUACAAUAUUGCCACUUGUGGUUUUUGUAUUAAGUUAAAUAUUUUAAACUUAAGUCAUUGAGUUUUAUAUAAUUUAGUUGAUUUAACGAUAGGAAUGGUGUUUGAAUUAUAAUAAAAAUUUUAUACUUUAUGUAAAUAUAUAAAAGUUAAGUUUUUGAUAUAAAAGGAAAUAAUUUAUUUAAUAUAAAAAGAAAUAAUCUAUGUGGAUAGGUUAUAUUUUUUAUACGUAAAAUGUUACAAGUAAAUGUCAUGUGUUAUAUAAUUAAUGAAUUUAAUUAUAUAAUUAAUUUUAAAAUAAUUUAUUAUGGCUGAAUUAAUUACUUUUAAAUAUUAAUAUUCUUGCAUCCAAUAAAUUAGUUAUAAUUAAUUUGAUCAUUAAUUCAAAAAAUCAAAAUUUAAAUAAAAAACUAAGUAAUCAAGAAUAAUUUUACUUAUUUACUAAUCAUUAUUUAUAAUUAUAUAAACAUUUUAAUUUAUUAGAAUAAUCUAGUAUACACACACACACACACACGUACACACACAUAUACACACACAAAAAAAAACUUCCAUAUAUUAACUUGAAAAAGAAAAGUCUGUAAGAUAAUUUUUUUUACAUGAAUACUAUCAAACAAUGUCAUGUGUUUUGAUUAUAAUCAACGAUUCAAUUUUUAAAAUUAAAAUUACAAAUUAAUUUAAUUUGUAAUAUUUUUCAAUUAUCAUCCAAAAAAUAUUUUUAACUUUUCAAUAGCUUUAAUUUUAGUUUCUUUUUUUUAACUUUAAAUAUGAAUUUUUUUUCCUAUUGUUUUUAUAGUAAAAGUCUUAUUGGCCAAUCAAUAGCUUUCAUUUUGUUUUGAAUUCUCUAAAAUUUUUUAUACUUAUAUUACCUUAAUUUUGGGUGUUUGAUUACAAAAAUAAAAAGAAUUAACAGGUCAAAUUAUGUAUUUAAAAUUUAAACUCUAUAAUAAUAUGUAAUUAAAGGAGUCAAAAUUUUUUUAUAAUAAUAUGUAAUUGAUUGAUAACUCAAUCAGUGAAAUUCACAUUUUGUGAAUGUAUAUGUUGUCUAUAUAUAUAACGGUGAUAUAAUGAAUUUGACACAUUCAACAACCAGUGUAAAAAAAUUUUCACUUGUACUCUUUAAGUUUUUUUCUUUUAAUACAUUAUUUAAAUAAUUGUAUAAUUUUUUGAUAGAUUUGAUAAUUCAUAUAUUCAUAUCGUGUAAAAUACUAAAAAUUUAUAUAUUCAUUCUAUGUUUUACACAAAAAUUAUAUGUUACAAUUCGUGUCAACACAAAAAUAUGAAAUAAUUUUUUUUUUGUUUUGUUAAACCUAUUCAUAGUUUUUGCAAAAAUUUUAAACAGUAUUAUUUUUGUGUUUUUUAUCCAUAUUAUUUUCGUAUCUUGUCAUCGUAUUAUAUUUGAAAUUGUUAGGUCUACUUUCUGAUAUUUUACACCAAUAUUCUAUAUUUUAUAAUAAGCUAUAAAAGGGUGUUGUAAGAUUAUAACUUUGUGAAUAUUAUUAUUUUUUGUAACAUACUUUUUUUGAUUUAGUAUUAUAUUUUUAUAAGUAUAUUCCUUAUUUAUUCAAGUUAAAAUUAUUAGAUUAAUCUUAAUUAUAGUUAUUUGAUUUUUGUUUAUUUCAGCUUUGAUUUAGUGUUCUUGAAUAUUUUACUAUGAAAAUUAAUUGAUAAUUAUUUUUUUUCCAAUUUUAUAGUUGCAAGGUUUUCAUAUUAAAACAAAAAGUUAUAAUGUUAAAAAAAGAAUGUGAAUGAUUGUAAAUUUUUUUUAUCAAAACUUUAUUUUUUUUUUUAUAGACCUCUUUGAAUGAUUUGAUUUGAUCUAUUUAUAUAUUUUUUGAUUUUUUGAUUUAUUAUUAAUAUUUGGCACUUAUGUGUUUCUAUCUCUAUAAUGAAUUCAUAAUUUAAUUUUCCAAUAAAAAAUGAUUAAAAGUCUACUUUUUUUAUUUUUAUUUGAUUAUUAAAUAUUUCAUUUGUAAUAAAUAGGGAGAGAAACUAUUCUUCACUUAUUUUAAUUUACAGUUUUAUUCUUUAUUUUUUCUUUUGAAUGUGAUUCAACACAAAGUUUAGCCAAUUUAAUAUUAUUUGAACUUACACUAGGUUUUCAAGUUAAAGUUUAUACAUAGAUAAUAACCUUUGAUUCUUUCUUUUUUUACAUAUAUAUAGUAAAUCUUUUGUUCUUUUUUUCUUGAACAUAUAUAAUACAUCUUUGAUUCAGGAUAUACUUCAUUAUAAAAUUAUUUUUUUCUAAAAACAUAUCUCAUAAUGUCCUAAAUUAUUAAAAUUUUGAGUUUUAAUAACAAUAAAAUUUUUUAAUGAUAUCAUUUUAUGUGUAAAAUAUGUGUAUUCAAAUUAAUUAAAAGGCAAAUAAUUAUUAAAAGGAAUCAUGUAUUUCCUUUAAUUGAUAAUAGGUGAAAUCACAUUAAAAUCUUAAAUUAAGGCAAACUUAAUCACGUUUACGAAAAAAUAUUUAAUUUGAUUUUUUCCAUUUAACUUUUUAAUUAUAGGUAGUAUCCAUAUGAUAAUAAGUUACUCUUAAAUAUUUUUUGGAUAUAUGCAUGUGUAAAUUUUAUUAAGUGUUUAAUUAAGUAUUAAAAAAUAUUAUUCAUUGAAUGUUUGAAUAUUUUAAAAAUAUUAUUCUCUUAAAUAUCAUUUGAAUAGAUACAUAUGUAACUUUUAUAUUUUUGUUAAAAAUAAUAUUUUUAUGCAUAAUUAUAUAUAGAAAAAAUAACUCGUGCAUAGCACGAGCUACAAACUAGUAAUAUUUAAAUUUUAAAAUUUUUUAAUAUGAUAUUUGAAUUAUAAAUUUAUUAAUUAAUGUGAUACUUAUUCCUAAUAUGAUUAGUUUUAAAUAAUAAUACGUGAUGAUAAAUAAUCUUUCAAGUACCACAUUAAUUAAUGAAUUGAUAGUUUAGGUAUUAAAUUAGAUAUUUUUAAAAUUCAGAUACUACAUUAAAUAUUUUAUUAUAGUUUAAGGGUCAUUCAUAAUAUUAUCACAAUCUAGUAUAUAUACCAACUUAAUUGUUAUUUUAUCGAGUUAAGACUAGAUACUUAAAAGAUUUAUAUACACACAUAUACACACAAAAGAUAACUUCAAUAUAUUAACUUGAAAAAAAAGUCUGUAAGAUAAUUUUUUUUUUUUUUACAUAAAUACUAUCAAACAAUAUCACGUGUUUUGAUUAUAAUCAACAAUUCAAUUUUUAAAAUUAAAAUUACAAACUAAUUUAAUUUUAACUAUUUUUCAAUUAUCGGCCAAAAAACAUUGUUAACUUUUCAAUAGCUUUAAUUUUAAUUUUUUUUUAAGUAUGAAUUUUUUUUUCUAUUGUUUAUAGAGUAUAAGUCUUAUUGGCCAUUCAAUAACUUUCAUUUUAUUUUGAAUUCUCUAAAAUUUUUUUAUACUUACAUUAACUUAAUUUUGGGUAUUUGAUUACAAAAAUAAAAAGAAUUGAUAGGUCAAAUUAUAUAUUUAAAAUUUAAACUCUAUAAUAAUAUGUAACUAAAGGAGACAAAAAAAAAUUUAUAAUAAUAUGUAAUUGAUUGAUAACUCAAUCUUUGAGAUUCACAUUUUGUGAGUGUAUAUGUUGUCUAUAUAUAUAAUGAUGAUAUGAUGAAUUUGACAAAUACAACAACUAUUGUAAAAAAAUUUUCAUUUGUGUUCUUUAAUUCCUUUUUUUUUCUUAAUACAUUAUUUAAAUAAUGGUAUGACUUUCUAAUAGACCUGACAAUUUAUGUAUUUGUAAUGUGUAAAAUAAUAAAAAUUUAUGUAUUGAUUAUGUGUUUUACACAAAAAUUAUGUGUCACAAUUCAUGUUAAUACAAAAAUAUGAAAUAAAUUUUUUUGUUUUGUUAAACCUAUUUAUAGUUUUUGCUAAAAUUUUAAACAAUAUUAUUUUCAUCUUUUUUAUUCAUAUUGUUUUCAUGUCAUGUCAUCAUAUCAUAUUUGAAAUUAUCAGGUCUACUUUUUGAUAUUUUACACCAAUAUUCUAUAUUUUAUAAUAAGCUAUAAAAGGGUGUUGUAAGAUUAUAACUUUGUGAGUAUCAUUAUUUUUGUACCAUAAUCUUUUUUUUAUUUAGUAUUAUAUUUUUAUAAGUAUAUUUUCCUUAAUUAUUCAAGUUAGAAUUAUUAGAUUAAUCUUAAUUAUGGUUAUUUGAUUUUUUCUUUUUAUUUCAGUUUUGAUUUAGUGUUCUUGAAUAUUUUACUAUGAAAAUUAAUUGAUAAUUAUAUUUUUUUCAAUUUUAUAGUUGCAAGGUUUUCAUAUUAAAACAAAAAGUUAUAAUGUUAAAAAAAGAAUGUGAAUGAUGGUUAAUAUUUUUAUCAAAACUUAAAUUUUUUUAUAGACCUCUUUGAAUGAUUUGAUUUGAUCUAGUUAUAUAUUUUUUUUAUUUUUUUAUUUAUUAUUAAUAUUUGGCACUUAUGUAUUUAUAUCUCUAUGAUGAAUUCAUUAUUUAAUUUCCCAAUAAAAAAUGAUUAAAAGUCUACUUUUUUCUUUUUUUUAUUUGAUUAUUAAAUAUUUCAUUUGUAAUAAAUAGGGAGAGAAACUAUUCUUCACUUGUUUUUAUUUACAGUUUUAUUCUUUAUUUUUUCUUUUGUAUGUGGUUUAACAUAAAAUUAAACCAAUUUGAUAUUAUUUGAACUUAUAUUAGGUUUUCAACAUAUUAGGUUUUCAACUUAAAGUUUAUACAUAUAUAAUAAAUCUUUGAUUCUUUCUUUUUUACAUAUAUAUAGUAAAUCUUUUGUUAUUUUUUUCUUAGACAUAUAUAAUACAUCUUUGAUGUAUCAUAUACUUCAUUAUAAAAUUAUUUUUUUUCCAAAAGCAUAUCUUACAGUGUCCUAAAUUAUUACAAUUUUGAGUUUUAAUAGCAAUAAAAUUUUUUAAUGAUAUCAUUUUAUGACUAAAAUAUGUGUAGUCAAAUUAAUAAAAAGGCAAAUAAUUAUUAAAAGGAAUCAUGCAUUUCCUUUAAUUGAUUAAUAGGUGAAAAUCACAUUAAAAUCUUAAAUUAAGGCAAACUUAAUCACAUUUAUGAGAAAAUAUUUAAUUUGAUUUUUUCCAUUUAACUUUUUAAUUACAUGUAGUAUUCAUAUGAUAAUGAGUUGCUCUUAAAUAUCAAUCGGAUAUAUGCAUGUGUAACUUUUAUUAAGUGUUUAAUUAAGUAUUAAACAAUAUUAUUCAUUGAAUGUUUGAAUAUUUUAAAAAUAUUAUUCUUGUAGAUAUCAUUUGAAUAUAUUCAUAUGUAACUUUUAUAUUUUUGUUAAAAAUAAUAUUUUUAUAUAUAAUUAUAUAUAAGAAAAAUAACUCAUGCAUAGCACGAGCUACAAACUAAUAAUAUUUAAAUUUUAAAAUUUUUAAAUAUAAUAUUUGAAUUAUAAAUUUAUUAAUUAAUGUGAUACUUAUUCAUAAUAUAAUUAAUUUUAAAUAACGAUAUGUGAUUAUAAAUAACCCUUCAAGUACCAUAUUAAUUAAUGAAUUGAUAGUUCAGGUAUUAAAUUAGAUAUUUUUUAAAUUCAAAUAUUACAUUAAAUAUUUUACUAUAGUUUAAAGAUCAUUCAUAAUAUUAUCACAUUCUAGUUUAUAUACCAACUUAAUUGUUAUUUUAUCGAGUUAAGACUAGAUGCUUAAAAGAUUUAUUCAAAAUUUCAACUUUUUUUUUUCACAAGAGGUCAUAGUUUGAGAUUAAAAAAAUGGAUUGCAAGUGUUAGAAUUUAAAUUUCAGACUUACUAAAUGAUACCUCUUAUAUGUGGAUAUAUAAACUAACUAAAUUAAGUUAUAGAUCCAACCCAAUCCAACUUCAUUUAUAAAGAAAAAUCAUCAAUUUGAAAAAUCAACAAUUUGAACUCGACCAAACUCUAUUUGUACAACAACAAUAAUAAAUAAAGUUUUAUAUCCCAUAAUUUUACGGUUGGUUAUAUGAAAGGGAAAAAAAAUAAAUCAUGUUAGAUUGUAGUUUUAAAUCUUCUUAUAACACUCAUUUAUAUAUAUAUAUAUAUAUAUAUAGCAUCUUCAUUACUUUCUUAACUCUCAUAUCAUUUCUUAUUAUUUGCAUCAACAUUUUUGAUGAUUUUCCUCUAAAAUUUUUGAAUGUAAAUAAAAGGUUAAGCACUUAUUUGAGUACAAAUUAAAGUCUAAGAAUUAAUUUGAGUUCAACAAAUUUAUAAGGAUUUAUCUAAAUAAAAUGAUAAAUUUUAAAUUUUUAUUAUUAUUUUAACCAAAAUUUUCUAAAAACAUGUCAAAAGAAUGCCCCAAGCACCCCCACUUGCGUAAUAGAAAAAAAUUAUCAAAUAAACUUUUUUAAUUUUUAGUUUAGUCCUUAAAACUUUAAAUCUUUAGCCAAACACUAAAAAAAUUCAAAUGAUAUAUGCAUGGAAAAUGUAUGAGACAUAUUCUAACCAUAUAAAUUUCAUACAUGGAAUUUGAAACAUGUGAGAAAAAUAUAAAGUCAAAGUUUUGAUUUUUCGAGUUUGAUUAUGAUUUUUCUCUUAAAUCAUAAGUGCUUUAGUACCAAAUUUUUAUAAAAAAUUCAAAUAAUCUUAGGGCACAUAUUUAUGUAAAAAUUUUAGUCUAAAGCAUUUGUUUAAAUUUUUAUUAUUAAAAAUCAUUCUAAGUUAUUAAAAAUAUUCUAGUAUACCAAACAACUAUAGAAGCAAAUCUAAAAGUGAAAACAAGCAUAACAAUGUUUUGAUUCCACUAUAGGAACUUAUUGAAAAACAUAUUUAAGAAUAUUUGUAAAUUUAAGAUUAUUUGCUCCAAUGCUAAUAUGAAUUCCCAAUAUUAAUUUACUUAUAUUUGCUUCAUGAAUCUUAAAAGAUUUAUUUUUUAUAUUAUUUUUUAAACAACUUCUUGGAUCUUGUUAGGCAAUGAAACAAUUUUUAGAACUUAUCAUAAAUUUUAUACUAAGUUUUAGGGUCUGAAGUAGAUAACCAAAGAUUAGGUAACAAGAUCUUUUUACUAUAAUAAUUAAAAUUAUUACUCCUUCUGUUUUAAAUUAUUUGGAUGGUAUUAACUUUUACAGAAUUUUUAAAAAAAAUAACUUUAAUGUAUUUAAUGUUAAAAUUAAAUUUUCAGGAAUUUUAAUAUCAAAAAGUAAAAAUAUUUAAAAUAAAAAAAUAAGAAAAAAGGAGAAGUUCUUUUUGUUAAUUUCUAUAAAUAUGUCUGUCAAUUAAUAUAGCACAUAUUUCAAUUAUUGGGAAUAGAUUUUUAAUAACAUUUAUGCAAAAUUAUAUUAAGAAAAAAAAUUCUCAAUUAACUAAUGUUCUAAAUUAGAUAAUGUCUACUAAUAAAUUUGCAUCCAUUUGACCCACCAAUAUUUGGAAUCAUCAUCGAAUCUUGGACUCUUCCAAGUUCCAACUUUGGUAAAAUAAUAAUAAAAAAAAAGUCCACGUUCCAAUGUUUGAUAUAAAGGUGUGGAAAGUUGGACCUAAAAUGAUCCACACAAUCAAUUCUAUGAUAGUGAGCAGUUUCAUGGUAGGGAAUCCUCUUCCAACUUCUAUACCAUACCAAUUAAAUAAAAUCAUCCAAAACAAAUUUGAGUAAAAUUUAGAGACUAUGUACAAAAAUAGUCUUCAAGUUAAAAUUCACUUAAUCUCGAAAAUAAAUAAUUUUGGAUUCGUGAUUCUUUAUUGAUGUUAUUUAUGAUUGCAUGAUUUUAUAUGAUAAGACACAUCUUAUCCUAAUUAAGUUAUAAUUAUAGUAAAUCUCUUUGUCUUAAACUAUAUAUAAAUUAAAAUUUAAUUUAAUUAAUUUAUAUUUUAAUAAAUUUAGAAUUUAAAUUUUAAUAUUUGUAAUCUCUAAUUAUUUUUUUUAUAUUACAAUUUUCUCUCAACAAAAAGAAAAUUUUAUAUUACAAAGAAAUAACAAAGUUAAACGUUAACAAAUGAUUAGCUCAAUGGUUAAAGUUUGUGUCCAAUAGUAGAAGUUUUAAGCUUCAUUUAGAUAGGUGAUGAAAUUGGUUACAAUGAGAUUAAAAAUUGUAAUAAAAUUUAUUAUAGCUAUGAUUGAAAAAAUUUAUUAUAAUUAUAAUUAAAAAAAAUUUUAAUGAAAAAUUUAUAUCGAUUUGAUUUCAUUAGAAUUAUCGUUUGAAUUCAAUUAAAAAUGCGAUGAACUUAAUUACGUCACAUUGAUCACAUUGAAAGUGCGAUAGGAUUUAAAUGGCUACUUAGCUAAUUCUCUUGGUAUAAAGGAUUGAAAAAAAAUGUAACUAUUUGGAUUACAAUUCAAAUUUUAAAUUAAUUUCUUUAAAGAAAUGUGUAAACAUUUGAAUUAAUCUUCAAAUUUAUCUUUUACUAGCUUAAUCUUAAAAUGUUUGCCAUCUAAUGCCUCAUGAUACAUCAUAUUAUGAAUUAAGAAUCAAACAAUUUAUUUAUUUAAAAAAAUCGAAUAUCUUAUUAAGAAUUUUUUUCUUUGAAAAAAACUACAAAAGGAAAAGUGAUAGCCGCGUGGGACAGCGAGGCCGACCCACAUUCUAUGUGUAUUCUGGCAUGGUGCCAACCUGCAAAAUAAAAAUCAACAAAAACGGAAGACAUCACAAUCAAAAUAAAUCUCACCCGUUAUUAUGUGUGCGACGCGCCGGCGUUGAAAGUCUUCAAUUCUGCAGACUCCUUCAUCCAUUGAACUAAGACGCCUGUAUGAAUGACACUGCUGUCGCUCCAAGAGAGGCCCUUGCCCCCUUCCCCCCAGCAUCCUUGAAUUUUGGGAUCAUCUUUGAAUAGCUUUCAUUACUAUUUAUUUUAAUUUUUUCUCACAUCUUAUCAUAUCUUCUUCAUUUAUUUUGUGGGUGAGAAUGAAAGGUAUGCCUUUUUUUUUUUUUUUAAUGAAUUUGGUUUUAUUUGUUUGCAUAAAUAAAAAAGGGUUUUUGUUUUGGCAAUUAAAAUGUUGCUACUUGUAGUAUUAAAAACAUAUAUUGCUACUUGUAGUUUUUGGGAUUAAGUUGAAUCUUCUAAACUUUAUGUCAGUACUAUAACUUACAUGGAUCCAAAUUAGUGUGUUUUAUAUGUAUUAGAUAUGUAGUUGUAGUUAUAUAUCAAUUUAAUUAUUAUUUUAUUGAGUUAGGGUAAAGUUAGUACUAUAACUUACAUGGAUCCAAAUCAUCUAUUAGAAUUCAAACUCAAUAUAAUUUUAUUUUAUCAAGAAAAAUUAAUUUAAAUAUAAAAUAAUAAUAAGUGAUGGAUAAAUAAUUUUUUAAAUAUUAUAUUAAUUAACAUAUUUAUAAUUUAAGUAUCACAUUAAAUAUUUUAAAAUUUAAGUAUCAUAUUAAAUAUUUCACUAUAAUUUAUAAAUCAUUUAAUAUAUUAACUCAAUUCUUAAUCAAUUGAAUUAUUGUGUUUCUCUAUAAGAAGAAUGCGUGGCUCUUAUCUAGCAAAUGAGUUUGAAAUUACGUUUACUAAAGUUAAGAAAAAAGAAAGACAAAGGUAUCAAGUUUAAGUAAAUAGCAUCUGUAGUCUCUAAAUUUUGAGUUAAAUUUUAUUUUGAUUCUUAAAUUUUAAAAAAUUUUAAUUAGAUCUCAAUUGUCUAAAGGUAUUAUAUUUUGAUUAUUUUGCCUAUGAAAAUUGUCUAAAUUAAUAGUAAAUACCGACUAACAUCAUAUGAAUGAUGUAAUUGACAUCUUGUGUGACAGAUUGAUUGAUAAAGGGACCAAAAUAGAAUUUUGUUUAAAGUUUAAGGACAAAAAAUGUGAGUAUCCCGAAUUUUUUAUAUUUCAAAUUUGCCAAUAAACACCAUACACAUGGCGUUAGUUGGCAUUUAAUAUUAAUUUAGAUGAUUUUAUAAAUAAAAAGGUUAAAUUAAGAUAACUUUAAAUAUUAAAAAUCUAACUUGAACUUUUUAAAAAUUAAAAAUCAAAAUAAAUUUAAUUCAAAAUUUAAGGAUUAUAGAAAUUAUUAACUCUAUAAAAUGAGUCAAAUAUUUGAAAAUUAUUUUUUAACAUGGUGGCUAUGUAUAAAUGUUCAACGUCCCCCUAAAAAAAAGGUUGUUAAAAGUCGUGUUAGAAUGUUUAAUUGACUAGGGAAAUGCAUGGCAGCUAAUAAUUUCCAAACAACUCAACGAUACCAAAUUGUUGGUUUCAAUACUUUGAACAUUGAUUUCUACCUAGUUAAAGCGAAUGAAAGUUUGUCCAAUCCAAUUUGUCAAUAUCUUUAUUGUAACAGUUUUGUGUCCGUCCGAUGAAUUUAGAAAAAAAAAAAAUAAUAACAGAGUCGUCAUCAAUUUUUUUUUACUAUGUGCGAUUGACCAUUUACUAAAACAUAUCAUUUUAAUAAAGUUUUAAAAUUAAUUAAAAUUUAUUAAAAAAGUAAUUUUACUGUCUACGAAAUAGUCUAAGUUUGCGAGUCGAUUAUGUGUGGGGAAUGAUUAGCACCCUCACAAUGCCUGUUAAAAACGGUACCAAUUAACAACGUGUUAUCCUUUGAUUUUGAUAAAAAUAGUCCAAUUUUCGAUGUUCGAAAAAUAAUUUUCUUGAUUUUUUAUUUAUUAGAAAAAAACUUUUAUUCUCAAGAAAAAUAAAUUAAAACUUUUUUAUUGAAAUAAUUUUAAAAUGUUACAGUACGUGGUAACAUUAAAAGAAUUUAAAAUGUUACCAUGUUGAUGCACACAUUUUAUUCUCCUUUGUUAGAAAUUUUAUUAAUUAUUUAUAUUUUAUUUAAAAUUUUGAAGAAAAAUGAAAAUUUUUUUAUAUUGAAGAUUUUCUAUAAAUAUUUCAAUACACUGGUAAUAUUAAGAAAAAAAUCUUUUUAUCUAGGGAUUCCUUAAAGCAUCUCUACUCGGAAUACUAAGAUUGUUGGUUCGAUCCGUCUUUCAGGCUUUUUUGGGGUUUAGACACAUAUUAUUUGCUAUUGAUAAUUCUAGGCGUUUUCUUGGCAUAAAUGCCUUCACCAAUCGCUUUAAAAAAUUUAUCAUAGAAUAUUAAAGGCAUUUUUGAUUGAGAGACACCUUUAAUAAUCGAUAAAAAAAAAAUAGGGUCGAUUAUUGAAGGCAUUUUUGGCCAAACUCGCCUUCUAUAAUUCAGUAAUUUUUUUUUUGAAUUUUUAAAGGCGGUUUUAUAAUAAACACCUUCAAAUAUUUCAUAGACAAAAUUUGGAUGGGAUGGUUGAAAGCGUUUUUGGCUUAAAACGCCUUUAAUAGUUGUAGGGAUAAUUUUUAAUGGUCGGAUUAUUGAAGGUGACUAUAUCCAAAAACGCCUUCAUAACUUUUUAUUGGGAUUAUUCAAGGCAUUACUAGUAGAAAAAUACUAUUCAUAAUUCAUUCGAUUUAUUUUUAGUUGGUAUUAUUGAAUGUAUUUUUUUGCCCAAAAUGCCUUUAAUAUUUAAGACAAUAAUUUCUUAGGGGGUUAUUGAAGGCGAUUUUGGUAAAAAAUACCUUUAAUAUUUUUUGUAGGGGUGAAUGAAAGCGUUUUCUUGCUAAAAAUACCUUCAUUAAUCGCAUUAAAUAAACAUAAUUAAUAUGUGAAGUCAAUUGUACGUUUAUGCCUAGAAAACAUUUGGUUUAUAUAUCUGAUACUAUGAAUUACAUUUUGGAAUUUGCAUAAUGAACAUUAUUGUUUUUCAAAAACUUUAUCACACAUCUGAAAUUAAAAUUGAUAAUGUUGCCAUAUUACUAUACUUUUUUGAAAUAAUCGUACUCAGUAAUUUAAUAAUUACAGAUAGUGUAUUCAUAUUAAGUAUAUCAAUAAUAUUAAACCAAUACCCCCAAUGUACAAACUUAAAGUUUCCAUUCAACAUUGCAUGUUAAAAACAUCAUAACAAUUUGUUCUAUAUAUAUUUACAAUCAACCAACAAUGAUAAUACAUAAUCACACCAUUCUUUACGGACUUCAUCUAGCUCCUUUUCUGUGAAGCUUUCUUUACCCUCUCACUAAAAAAAAUAUCAGAAGUAAAUGUUAAGAAAUGAGAUCAUAAUGUACCAUUUUAUUUUUUUGAAUAUAUAACGAGUUUAUGAAAUUUAUACUAACUUUGAAUGGUGUGUUCAUAAAAUCAUGUAACACAAUCUCCCGCAUAACACAAAUGACAUAAUAUCCACAUUCAGUAUUACCGGAUUGACGACGAACCUGAAAAUUAAAUUAAGUCGGUUUAGAAAAUAGUUAUCUACACAAACUCAGCAUUAAAAGAAUAAAUUUGACAUUUACUGGUAAUGACACCCAUUUUUAUUUCUUUAUCUUCUUAUUGAAUGCAUAUAUUACCCUAAAUUAAAAAGAAAAAAAAUUAGUGAGAACCUAAAUAAAAUUCACAAUAUGAAGAAACAAAACAUAUAUAAUAUAAUAAAAUACUGUAAUACCUCUUUAUAAAAGUUUCGAUGUCGGGGUUAGGCAUCCCCGUUGGAUUAACUGAAUUAAGAAGGUAUGGCGUUAAGGAUUUGGUGUCAAACACAAUAAGUACCCAAUGACGACUGUAAAAUAACAACAAUGAUAUACUCAGAAUAAACAUCAAAUCAUAAAAUGGAGCAAGUUGGAGUAAUUAAGGUUUAAAUAUAGCUUACAACACAUUAUACGAAAGCAAAUAAUAAUCAGCCAGUCUUUUCAUACAUUGGAUCACAUGAUUAGCACGAUACACAAAUAUGCCACUCUGCUCAUUAAUGAAGUUGGAGUCAAUGAAUUGAAAUUUAUUCGUCAACUGUUUCCCUUUCAGCUCUCUAUAUAGGAAGCUACACGAUAACAAUCAAUACUGUCGGUUACUAUUACACCCUAAUACUAACUUAUUACAUAUUGAAUGUGCAUAUUUGUAUUUAUAAGCUUACCUCAUAUAAGUAACGAUUUCAGCAGUUGAUAAUUCAUCCAUUUCACAAAAUUCUUUCACCUCAUCCACACCAAUGAAAGAAAAUGAUUGUUUAUCAAAUAAGUUUUCCUCAGCCUUAAUGGAUAUGAAGUUUCCACCUGUAUAUUUGUCUAGUGAAUAUUUUGUUAACUUAUCCAUGGAAGUCUAGGCAAAGGUUAGACGUUGAGGCUAAACGUCCUCCUACAAUAUUAAACUUAUCUAUAAGUAUUAAAACCAAAUCAAUCAAUAUAAUAAUCAAAUUAUUAUUCAAAUUAUAACAAAAAUUUUACUUCUUGGGUGGUAGCGGAUGAUGGGAUUGCUUCAUUACUUGCAUCGACAGCUUCUUGCACAGGGACGAUACUAUUAGGUUGGGGUACUGACUUUACCUGCUGCAUUGCUACCAAUAUGGACUCCAAAGCAACGAGUCUUUGCUGUUGGUCAUUGAAGCGUUGCUCCUGGUCAUUAAUUUGUUGCUAUUGUUGCAAAAUUAUUGCUUCAUAUUAUGCAUUUCUCAUUCUUGGGGUUUUUGCUUAUUUACCAAAAUACAUGAUGGCAAGACAAAUUUACCAACCCCAUGAACCCGAUCGGGACUUUCUUUAGCGCCUAAUGCUAAAGACAAAGGAUAUUCACCAUACUGGGUUACUAGUUCACCAGAUUUAACUUUGGUAGCAUAAUCAUCCUGAAAGAUAAUAAUAAGUUAGGCUGUUAGAAUAUAUCUACACAAGCUAGUAUACACUUAUGCAUACAACCACAUUGCCAAUCAUACAUUAUAGAGUAGUUAUACAUAUAAUCUUUUUUGUCAGUUCCUCAGUUGCUUCAUUUACGAAGGAUCCAUCCUUUUGUAGAUGUCUUUAUUUUCAGACAUUCCAUCUGAAAACUUUUUUGUUUAAACUCACUAAUUCCUAUUAAAUUAUCCUAAUAAAAGAAUCAGAAUGUAUAAAGUGAAUGUUCAUAAAUAUUCACUAAUGAGUAUAAAACAGGUGUGCGAAGACAUACAAGCUCAUACUUCACAGUUGCAUAUCAUUUUCUUGUUGUCCGAUGAUGAUAUUGCUGUUUGGCCUGAAUGUCUCGAUGUUGUUCUAUGAUUUUUUACAAAAUCAAGAAAUUACGUUAAUCACAUAUAAAAAUCAAAGGCUAUAUUGUAUAAAGACUUAUAAACUUGGUUUAAUUUGGUAAUAAGUUUGCGUAUCGAAAAGUUUUCUGAAAGCCGAUAUUGAACAAAAUUUGUCCAAUCUUUCACACUUAUGACAUCUGCAUAUGCCGUAGGUGGAAUAGCCAAAACAUAACCUUCACCAGCCAUCGAUAAAAUAUAUUGAGUUGUCAAUCUGCUUUUAAAGUCUCUGAAAGCUUUUCCAGCAGAUUGUAACACAAUCUUUUUACACUCAAUUGAGAAGUCGAACCAUUCCUAAAUAAGUUAACACAAAUAGUAUCAACACAUUGAAUUUCAUUUAAAUGAUCAUAUAAUAAAGUUUACGAAAUAGUUGCAUAAACAUACCACAACGGACUGCCAUAUCUCAUCAUUUAGAUAAUCAAAAACUUUUCACCAAUUGGUGUACGUAAUUAAAAUUCUCCUACGGAUGAUGGCCCCAAUAUGAGUAGCCAUCUUGGCAGCUCCUUUCGAUACAGGCUACCCACUUUGAUUGAAGUCAACAUAAACUUUUAUGUCAGCCAGUUUGAUUUAUUUAUUUGGGCCCCUUCCCUUUUUUUUUUUGCUUACACUUCUUUCUUUUGCAUGUUCAUUAAAAGGAGAAUAAUGUUGUUCGAAGUCCAUAUUACCUACAAUAUUGAUCAUAAUUAUAUAAAUUAUACAAUACGACCCUCUAAAUUGAUCAUUGUACUUAAUUUAAUACAACUAAUACCAUACUGAGAACAGAAACAUCAUUUAGCACAUUAUUCAGCAAUGUGCUCAUACACACCCUUUAGCAAACUACUCAAAAACACCAUUCAGCCCCCAUUCAAACCUAUUUAGCAAAACAAUAUCAGACAACAAGUUCAACAAACCAUUCAGCAUGAAAUAUUAUUCAAACCCCUAAUAUCAUACAAUAUCAUUCGGUAAUACAAUAUCAGUCAACAAGGUUCAACAAACCACAACCUAGAGGAAUGCAUACUACAUAGAAAUAGCAUACUUGCCAAUAUUAAUGAAAAUAUAUAAACGCAUAUGCCAAUAUUAAGGAACUGAAAAAACAAAAAUUCUCUAUUGAAGGCGUAAAUAAUACAGUAAACUAAAAAAAAAAAGAAUUACCAACUUAAAACAGAGGUUCGCAAUGGUGAUUUGUUGAAGGUCAGAGGUGAAGAAUUGGAGAAAGAAAGCAAUGGUCUAGUAAAAAUGUGUUUAGGGGUUUGAUUUGUUUGGUAGAAUAACGCAGCUUCUAAUCGUUCUGUGUACCAGGACUCUGUAACUUCCUAUGUUCAAGGUAGGGAAAUGAAUAUAAAAUUAAUUAAUAAAGGCAUUUCCAUGGAACAACACCUUUGAUAAUCACUUGAAAAUUUUAUUGGAGAUUAUAAAAAAUGUUUCUUCUAAAAAAGAUGCCUUUAAUUAUAAGCCUUUAAAAUUGUCCAACCAACUUAUUAAAGGCAUUUUUUUAUAAAAAAAAUGCCUUUUCUAGAUUUUAAAAAUUAUAAAAAGUGUUUUCAGAAAAAAAUCACCUUCAAUAAGUAUGGAUUUUCAGAGUUUAUAACAAAUUAUUAAAUGCAGCUUAUAAUAAAAUAUUCCUUUAAUAAUCCGAGAAAAUUUUUUUAAAAAAAUAUUAAAGGCGUUGUUAUCUGAAACCACCUUCAAUAAUUAUAUACAAACUGUGAUAGGAAUUAUUAAAGGCAUCUAUCUUAAAUAUAUGCCUUUAAUAACAAUGUUACAAUUUGUGUGGUGUUAUAUAAAAGGUAUUUUACAGUAGAAGACGCCUUUACUAAUUCCCAAAAUAUUUAGUGAAAAAAUUUUGAAAGCUUCAGUUAUUAACAAAUGCCUUCAGUAAUUGAAGGAGCCAUUUCUAAUAAACGCCUUCGAUUACCAUCGUGGUAUAUUGAAGGUGUUUUAUAACAAAAGAUGCAAUUAAUAAUCCUAGAAACUUUAUUAGAAAAAUUAUUGAAGGCAUUGUUUUCUACAAUCGCCUUCAAUAAUUAUAUACAACUGUGAUAGGAAUUAUUAAAAGCGUUUAUCUUAAAUAUACACCUUCAAUAAUAGUGUUACAAUUUGUGUGGUGGUAUAUAGAAGGUAUUUUACAGUAGAAGACGCCUUUAUUAAUUCUCAAAAUAUUUAGUGAGAAAAUUUUGAUGGCGUCUGUUAUUAACAAUCAUAUUUAGUAAUUGAAGGCGUCUUUUCUAAUAAAUGCUUUCAAUUACCAUCGUGGUAUAUUGAAGGUAUUUUAUAAUAAAAGACGCUUUUAAUAAUCCUGAAAACUUUUAUUAGAAAAAUUAUUAAAGGUGUUGUUUUCUAAAAUCGCCUUCAGUAAUUAUAUACAACCUGUGAUAGAAAUUAUUAAAGGCGUCUAUCUUAAAUAUACGCUUUCAAUAACAAUGUUACAAUUUGUGUUAUGGUAUAUAGAAGGUAUUUUACAGUAGAAGAUGCCUUUACUAAUUCUCAAAAUAUUUAGUGAGAAAAUGUUGAUGGCAUUUGUUAUUAACAAACACCUUCAGUAAUUAAAGGUGCCUUUUCUAAUAAACGUCUUCGAUUACCAUCGUGGUAUAUUAAAGGCAUUUUAUAAUAAAAGACGCUUUUAAUCAUCCAGAAAACUUUUAUUAGGAAAAUUAUUAAAGGCGUUGUUUUCUAAAACUGCCUUCAGUAAUUAUAUACAAACUGUGAUAAAAAUUAUUAAAGGCGUCAAUCUUAAAUAUACACCUUCAAUAAUAGUGUUACAAUUUGUGUGAUGGUAUAUAGAAGGUAUUUUAUAGUAAAAGAUGCAUUUACUAAUUCCCAAAAUAUUUAGUAAGAAAAUUUUGAUGGCAUAUAUUAUUAACAAAUGCCUUCAGUAAUUAAAGGUACCUUUUCUAAUAAAUGCCUUCCAUCACCAUCGUAGUAUAUUGAAGGCAUUUUAUAAUGAAAGAUGCCUUUAAUAAUCUGAAAAAAUUUUAUUAGAAAAAUUAUUGAAGGUGUUAUUUUCUGAAAUCGCCUUCAGUAAUUAUAUACAAACUGUGAGAGAAAUUAUUAAAAGCAUUUAUCUUAAAUAUACGUCUUUAAUAACAGUGUUACAAUAUGUGUAACAGUAUAUAAAAGGUAUUUUAUAGUAGAAGACGCCUUUAAUAAUUUCUAAAAUAUUUAGUGAAAAAAUUUUGAAGGCGUCUGUUUCUAACAGAUGCCUUCUAUAAUGGAUUACUAAGUUUAAAGGUAUAUUAAAGGCACUUGUUCAAAUAAACACCUUCUAUUACCAUCGUCGUAUAUUGAAUAUGUGUCAUAAUAAAAGACGCCUUCAAUAAUCAACGAAAUUUUUUUUAGUGAAAUUAUUAAAGGCGUUAUUUUCUGCAAUAGCCUUCAGUAAUUAACUACAAACUGUUAUAUGAAUUAUUAAAGGUGUCUUUAUUAGAUAUACACCUUUAAUAACAAUGUUAGAAUUUCUAUGGCGAUAUGUUCAAGGCGCUUAUAAUAUAUUCAAAAAAUAUUUGGGAGGUAAUUAUUGUUGGUGUUUUUUGUUAGUAAAUGCCUUUCAUAAUCCUGUCCAAUAAAAAUCUUCCCAAACUUAACGCAUCCAAUCACUAACUUCAAGCUUCAUCUUCAUUAUUAUAUCUUUCCAAAUCAAGUACAAUUUACUUUCCCUUUUCUUCCGCUUUUAGUAUUUGAGCAUUGUCUUUUAGAACCCUAUUUCGACUAUUAAUAACUUAUUGACUUUAGCUUUUACUUCAUUCAACUAUUCCUUUAUCUCUUGCAAAUCAUGAUUUUUUUUCGUGAAAAUUUUUUUUUACAAAACCUACCUUAUUCCACCUUAUGUCAACCCCAAUACCAUAUACCCUUUGGUACUGUCUGCGUUAGCAGUAGAGUUUUAACAAUCAUAAUCUCUGAUAGCUGAUAAAUUACUUCACACCAAAGAGUUAUCGUUUUGUGUAAGUACUGUUCUUCUUAUUAUCUUUUGUUUAAAACAUAGUAAACUAUGCAAUUGUACAUGUUUAUUUUCAUAUUAAUUAUUUUUAUACAUUUGGUCUAAUUAUGUAGCAACUAAUAAAUGGAUAAAAGUUGGAUGCAAAAGUCUAGAUUAAGUCAAGAGUAUAGAGAUGGAGUGAAAAAUUUUCUUAAUUUUGCAUUUGAGAAUACAAGUGAAGAUAAUAUGAUAUUAUGCCCAUAUGUAAAAUGUGCUAAUAUCGAGUAGCAAAUGCGUCAAGUUGUUUAUGAGCAUUUAAUUUGUAUUAGAUUUCUAUCCGGAUAUGUUAAUUGAUAUUUUCAUGGAGACUCUAUACCGUCAAGGUCUUCCACUAUAGUUCUUUCAACAUCAAAGGCUCCCCAUCACCAACAUGAUCCUUUUAUAACAGAUGACAUUGAAGGCAUGUUGCGAGAUGCUUUUAACAGUCAUAACCAAAAUUUUCAUAAUCUUUCUCACAAAAAUGAAAGAUUUAAUCAGUUCAAUAUUGAAAUGCAUGAAUUUGGUAAACUUGGGAUAAGUGUACGUGACCAAUAACCUAGAAGAGAAGUAUCAAAGUUCUAUAGGUUACUUAAGGAAAUGAAUGAAAAACUCUUUGAGGGAUCGAAGCAUUCAAGGUUGUCUUUCUGUGUUCAUCUUUUUCACUUGAAAUGCUUAUGUGGAUGGAUGAAAAACUCUCUGACUUUAUUAUUACAGUUUAUGAAAAAAAAAAAUUUUUUGUAAAAAUCCUUAAAUCUUAUAAGGAAUCAAAGAAGAUGAACAAGGAUUUAGGUCUCGGAUAUGAAAAAAUUUAUAGUUGUCCCAAUGAUUGCAUGUUGUAUUGGGGGGAUAGAAAAAAUCAAGAAUCUUAUCAUUUAUGUGGUAUUUCUCAUUGAGUCGACAAAUAUCUCGAUGAAAGGCUAAAUGAUAAUGGUGAUGAGGUAUGUGUCAAAAAGAAGCCUGUUAAGGUUUUACGUUAUUUUCAUUAAUACCAAGACUGUAACGACUCUACAUGUCUUUCAAAACUUUUUCGUGUAACACAUAUAAAAAAAGAUAGAUCUUACAUGAAUGUCGAGACACAAGAAAUUACAAUAAUUUGUAUAAUCUAUUUUAACAUAAAGUAAAUAUUAACUCUUUUUAACAUAUAAUCAAUUAAUCAUUAAACUUGAUUAUUGUAUAUGAUAAAUUCAUAGGAGAAAACGAAAGAGAAAAUGGCUGCUGAGAUUGAAGUAGCAUCUAAAGGUUCUCUCAACAUGUAAGAAAUAAAAAAUCAGAUAUUCAUAAAAGUUGCUAGAAAAGAAAGGUAUGGAUGGGUCUAAGGCCUUGGAUUGGAUCCAACACCAUCUGCCUACUAUGAACAUAACUCUUCGUAAUUUACAUUCUCAGCAAGUCAGUCUUCGUGACAUAUUUCAAUAUUGAGAGAGGAGUUGCAAACUAUGCAACAAUAUUUUCAGCAAAUUAAAGCAGAAAGAGAACAUGAGCGUGCCAAAAUUGAAGAAGAACAUGCUAAAAUGGAGCUAGAGCGUGCAAAUUUUUAGUAGUUGCAUGAUCGAUUCGAUCAUCUUAUAAAUUUUAUGCAAUAAUAAUUUUCAAGAAAUGAUCUUGGUGCUCCAUCAAUUUAGGUAUUAUAUUUAUUAAAUAUUAAAAUUUUUAAAUAAAAAAUAAGCAUACAAUGAAGUGUUAAAAAUUGUAUGGUAUUAUUCAGUAGGUUGUUGAGCAUACUAGUGACCAAGGUAAAAAAUUUUCUUCAUCAAUUAGCAGCCAGCAAAAUAUAUGUAGUCAUCCAUUUCAUACAUUUUAAUUUUUUAUUUGGUUAAUGUAUUUACAAUAUUUGAAUGUUAUUAUACUAAUUAUUAAACUUUGUAUUAAUUAGAUGUAUAUUUAAACGUGAAUGAAAUUUAUAUUAAUUUCAGUUUCUGAAUUUAAGUUUUUUAUUGAAAAUAAAAUUUAUUAUAAAAAUUAUAAAAAAAAUAUUUUUACAUAAUGACGGUGUUUGCGUUGGGCAAUGCCACUAAAUAAAUAAUUUAGUGGCAUUUGUAGCAUAAAAUGUCAUUAGUGGUAGCGUCGCUCUUUCCAGCAAACGCCGCUAAUUCGGUGAUAUUUUUAUAGAAAUGCCACUAAAGCAAUGGCAUUUUUCUCAUAACAAUGCCACUGAAUUAGCAACGCUUAAAAUAUAUAAACGCCAUAAAUGUUGAGGCAUUUUCUGUUACAAACGCCGUCAAUACAGUGACGUUUUUCUCAUAAAAAUGCCACUGAAAUAACGACGUCUCUAAGAUAUAAAUGCUGCUAAAAUGACGGUGCUUCACAUACAAACGCCACUAAUAUUAAGGUAUUUUUUCAAAAAUGCCGCUAUUUACAAUGACGCAUGUAUAACUGCACUCUGUAUGGCAUUUUUUAAUAAAUGCCGUAACCUUAUAGUAGCGUUAAUAAACACCACUAAAUGGUUAAAGAAACGCCGCUAAAAACCAAAAUUCCUGUAGUGUUUGUUACCUUCUUAAGGACUUGGGAUUAGUUAUUAAGUAUCAAAUGAAAUAAUGUAAUUGAUCUAAUGUAAAACAUAACAUUACAAGAAAACACUCUUAAUAAUUAAAAUUUGAGAGGCUUCAUAUUCAAAUUUAUAGGACGAAUAUUAGGAUUUAUCAAAUGAAAGAGGUCCAAAAUCUUUAUGUAUACACUAUACCAAAAAAAUCAUAAUGUAUAAAAAAAUUUAUAUGCUUAAUUUAUAGUAUAAAUUAAGGUCUUAAAACAUACUUAAUUGAUUGAUUUCAUCCACAGAAGAAUUCAUAUUAAGAAUUUAGACUAAAAAAAGACUAAAUAGGGAAUGUGACAAUUUUUUUAUUUUAAAAAAAUGGAGUGAUUACUUAUUUUAAUUAGUUUUAGGACUUUUAUGUGAUAUAGUGAGAUGAACUCUUAUUACAAGGUAAUUAUGUUUUAUAAUUGAACUUUUAAAGAUUCAAUGAAUAAAACGAUAUACAUGGCACGAUGAGAGUUCUCCCACUUCGUUGGAUGAAUUUUUAAGGGUUAAUGUUAUAAAUCAUCUUUAAACUAUAGUAAGAUAUUCAAUGUAAUAUUUGAAUUUUAAAAAUUUUUAAUAUGUUACUUAAAUUAUGAAUCUAUUAAUAAAUAUGAUACUUACUCUUAAUGUGGCUAACUUCAAAUGAUGAUAUGUGAUUGAUUAACAAUCUUUUAAGUGCCAUACUAAUUUACAUAUUCAUAAGUUAGAUAUUAUAUUAGAAAAUUUUAAAUUUAGGUAUUGUAUUGACUAUUUUAUUUCAAUUUAAGGACAUGACAUUAACUGAAUUUUUAAUCAAUUAAAUUUUUGUAUAUCUCUAGAAGAAGAAUGCGUGGAUCCUAUGUGUCAAAUGAGUUUACAAAUUACGUUUACUAAAGUUAGGAAAAAUAAAAAGACUAAAGUAUAAAAUUAGGGCAAAUAAUACUUGUAGUUCCUAAACUUUAAGUCAAAGUUUAAAUUUUGUCUUUAAUUUUUAAAAAGAUCUAAUUAGAAACUCAAUUGCUUAAAAUUAUCUUAUUUUGAUUUUCUUACCUAUAAAAUUGUUUAAAUUAAUAGUAAAUGCCAACUGACACCACGUGUAUAGUACAAUUGGCAUCUCAUGUGAUAGAUGAACUAAUAAAGAGAUCAAAUAAAAUUUGCUCAAAGAUUAGAGACCAAAGAUGCUACUAUCUCGAAAGUUUUUAUAUUUCAUAUAUAUUUUAUAAAAUAUUAAAUUUAAAUAGUAUUUUUAAAUUUUUAAUAUUUUAUUCAUUAAAUAUAUUUUGUUUUUAAUAGAUUUUCAAAAAUUAAAAUCAAGUUAAAAAUUUCAAAAUUCUUUUGAAAAAAAUUACAUAUCAUUUUAAAAAACUAAGUAAAAAAAUUUUAUACUGGUUUAAAACAUCAGAUAAAAAACUUCAUAUCUUUUUAAAAUAUUAAGUAAAAUUUUUUAAAUUAUUUUAUUUUCAUUGUUAAAAUUUUAUAUUUAUAGAAAAUUUUUAAAAAAAGGUAAUCAAAAUGGUCCUUAUUGCCUCGAUCUGGUAAGGAAAGAAAUCAAAGUAUUGAAAAUAAUAUAUUUUUUAUUUUUUUUAUAAAUAUAACUAAAAUUUAAUUUUUAAAAUAUUUUUUAUUAAAAAUAAUAUUUUACUAAUAAUUAAUAUCAUAAUAAUAAUAAUAAUAAAAUUUAUUUUAAAUGAUAAUAUUAUGUAAAAAAUCAAUUUUUUCUUUAAUUAUUUUUAUUUUUCUUUAAUUUUUCUUUUUUUUAUAAAUUAUAUUUUAUAAAAUAUAAUAGAAAAAGGAAAAAAUAUAUAGUUCAUAUUUCUAAUAGAAAAUAAUUUUUUUAUUAUGAUGUAUUAGUAAAAUAAUAUUUUUAAUAUAAAAUGGUCUUUUAUUUUUUAAUUGAUAUGGAAUUUUUUUCACUAAGAUUUUAAAAUCUUUAACUUAAUUUUAAUUUUUGAAUAUCUAUUUUUUUAUGAAAAACAAAAUAAAUUUAAUUAAUAAAUUAUGUUGCAAGAAAAAAUAAAAAAAUUAUUAUUUUAAAUUUAAUAUUUUAUAAAAUUAUAUUUGAAAUAAAAAAUUGAGAUAAUAACUUCCUUAUUCUCUAAAUUUUAAGUAAAAUUCUAUUUUUGUCCCCUUGUCUACCACAUAAAAUGCUAGUUGACAUUACCCAUGUGGUACCAGUUGAUAUUUAAUGUUAAUUUUAAUGAUUUCAUAAAUGAAAAAAUCAAAUUAGAAUAAUUUUGAGUAAUUCAGAAUCCAAUUAAAUUUUUUAAAAAAUUAAAAAUCAAAAUAUAAUUUAACUCAAAAUUUAAGGACCACGGGAGUUAUUAACUCUAUAGAAUUAAUCAAAUAGUUGAAAAUUUUUUACAUAGAGGUUAGGUUUUAAUGUUCAAAGUCUCCAUAAACAAAAAGAAAAUUAAAAGUCGUGUUGGAAUGUUUAAUUGACUAGGUAAAUGCAUGGCAGCUAUUAUUUCCAUCACCUCAACAAUACCAAAUUGUUGGUUUAAAUACUUUGAACAUGGAUUUCUACCUAGUUAAAGUGAAUGAACCAAGUUUGUCCAAUUCAAUUUGUCAAUAUCUUUAUUUCAUAUCGAUAGUGAAAUUUUUAAAAUUUAUAAAUUAGAUUAAUAAAUUGACACGUAUCUUUUUAUGCAUUAAAAAUAUAAAAAAUUAAUUAAAAAAAUAUGUAUCAAUUUCUUAAUUUUGUUUGUUAAGUUAAAAAAUUUUAUUAAAAAUAUAUCAGAAUCGAACUUUUAUCUUUAAUGUGUAAGAAAAAGAAAUUUGGGCUAAAAAUAUUGGGAAUUUCCACAACUUCAUUGUGUUAUGGCCUUCUUGGCAAUUGUCAUGAAGUUUCGUCCUUCGCUUUGCAAAGUAAAUAAUGGACGGAAAUCAAUUGUCAUUUUUUUUUUCUUGUCAUAAACGUGAGAAAUAAAAAUUGUUUAUAUUUGUGCUAUUACUUUUGCUAUUUAGGCCCAUCACAUUUCCUAGUUCAACUAAAUUUUAGUCCAAUCUUUCUAUUUGGUGUCAUUUACAAAAUAAAGCUUAUAUCCAAAUGCACUUAACAAACUUUAUUUCAAUCGAGAUUGGGAAUUUUAACAAUAUAAGAGAUAUAUGAUUUAGACUUGGUGUUUAAAGUAGAUGAAAACGACAAGUUUUUUGUAAAAUUUAAUUUAAUUAUAUAUGAUUUUCAUAACUUUGAAUUGAUUCUAAAAGAAACUAGGUAAGUGUUGAUCUCCGAUCAAUGAUUUUAAUUUAUAAUUUCAUCGUCGUCGUCAUCAUCAAUAUUAUUAUUAUUAUUAUUUAGUUCUCAUCAAAAUUAAGAAAAUUUAGAUGAACCUUAUAAAAUCAAAAUUCUAAUUAUUUGUUAAAAUUUAUAUUAAAUGAAUUUAUUAGUGUAAUUUAUUAUUAAAACAUUAAAUGUUAUCAUUAUAAGAAAAAAUUUUCCCCUAUAUUUACAGGUGAAAGGAUCAUGCAUAGUUAUAGAUAAUAUUUCAAUAAAACAAUUUUCCAACUUAUAGUAGAAAAAUAGAAACCUUAAAUUGAAAAAAUAAAUAAAUGACGCUCACAAAUAUACUAUUAAUUACAAAUAAGCAAUUUUUAAUUAAAAAUAGUGAUUAAAAGUAAAUUAAUGGCAACUUAAUUUAGCAUAAUUGGUAAUUGUAAAACCUUGCUUUAGUGACAAUAACUCAAUGUUUGUUGGUUGUACUUAUUUGUUUGUGUUUAUGAAUUUUUUCUGAUAAAAAAAAAAUGUUCCCACGUAAGUCAUAAAACAGACAUAUCAGAAUACUUUACAACCAAUCAUCUAACUUUCGGACAAAAAGAAUAAAUUAAUUUGCGUAACAGUUAUAUUAUUAUAAUAAUAAAAUAAUUUCUCAAAUAAUAAAAAAACUUAUUAUUAUUAUUUUCUCUACUUUUUCAUCUAAAAAAAAAUCAUAAUCAAAGGACAAAAAGCAAAACUAGUAAGGAUUAUUAAUUAUUAUAUUUAAAAUUUUUUAUAUUUAUGUUUUAUUUUCACCAAUACAAAAAAAUUAAUGCAUUAAUUAUAUAUAUUUUAAAUAUUAUCUUAACUAGUGUCACUAACCGUUCAUUAACUUUUUUCAACAAAAAAACAAAUUUAAUCAUUUUUUAAUUUUUUUUUGAUAAAUUAUUUAGUCUAUAUGUCAAAAUAAGAUAUAUCGUACAUAACAGUUUAAGACAAAUGAUUACAGAUCGUACAUUCGAAAUGAUUUCAAUAAGUUAUUAACGAUAAAAUUUGAAUUUAAAAUUUUUUUAUCUAUAAUGAUAAAUCUAAUCGAUUGAACUAAUUAAUUAUUAUUAAUUUUUAAUUUCAAUAAAAUUUAUAAAAAAUAUUAAUAACAGUUAAUUAAUAAUUAUUUAAUAAUUAAAAAAUAUUAUGUCUCAAAUUAAUUUAUAAAAUAUUUAAAAAUGUACCCAAAAAGAUUCAGCUAAAUAUGUUGAGAUCUGUCGCCUUGAUUCUGUCUGAUACGGAACAAGACUCGAUACGGAUUUCUUGAUUAAAAAAAAAAAAAAACCAAACGACUCCUUCACAUUAAACCCCUAAAUCAACGGCUGAGAUUAUCCGCAGCCAUCAUUCAACUAUAUAUAUAAACUAAUAUGUCCACCAUUUCCACCUAAAAAAUUUCUCGAAAUCUCUAACUGGUUUCAUUCUUUCAUUAUUCUCUCUCAAAACCCCAAUCCCAAAUCCUUUCAUCUUCUUUCAAGAAAAUUUGAUUACUUUUGUUUUGUUAUUUGAACAUUUAAUCUGAAUAAUUGGUUCAGUUUGUAGAAGAGCUUGGAUACUCGAUUUUUAUUAAAAGAAUAUUUGAUUUAUCGCCUUUUGGCGAGAAAUGAUAAGGGUUUUGACGAUAACAAGAUUGGAGGAGAGCACCUGGACGAUGGCAAAGUCUUUUGGGUCAUUUGGACUAGGGGGAUUACUACUGCUGGCGGCGUUGGCUGCGUCUAUGAUGAUUCUUCCGCUGGUGUUGCCGCCGCUACCGCCUCCGCCAUUGAUGCUUCUGCUGUUUCCAGUUGGGAUCAUGGCUGCUCUCAUGUUCUUGGCGUUUUCCCCCCCGGAGGCUGCUGGAAAUGUCGUUGUUCAUACAGUAUAAGAACACAUGUUAAACGUGUCUUUCAUAGGAAGAUGGUCGGCCAUUGGGUCGGCGGCUCUUCUGCGGUCGUAGAUGUUGUUGAUUUCUUAUGACUAUAUAUUUGUACAACAUUUACAUUACUUUAUUGUUAGUUGUUUCUUACAAAUGAAUUAUACAUUAAAUUUUGAGAAAAAAAAAGAAGAAAUUUGAAAGUAUAAACAUCAUAGAAAAAAUUUGUGAAUAAUUCCCUUUUCUUCUUUGUUUUCUACAUUUAUGGUUUAUUAAUACAAAAAUAAUGCAUUUUAUGGUUUAACGAUAUUAUCAAUGUGUUUAUCAAAAUAAUUAUUUAGUAGAAUAUUUUAUUUUUUG